CGAAAUCUAGUUGAAGAUUAUAAGAUUUUGAUCAAAUUUAUGAUUACAUACCAAAUUUGAGAAAAAUUUACCGAACAACAGAGAGAGAGAGAGAGAGAGGGACAUGAAAGGUGGGAUGGUUGGAUCAGUAGCGGCAGAUCUUGGCGGUAGGCAUUGUGACGCAGACCUGAGCGUAUUUCUUCUUAGCCGCCUCUGUCCCUCGCUUGGGCUCCUCCUCGUCCGCCAUGGCUGCUUUAGCCAAGGAACAAACGGCCGCAGCUGCAGCAGUGAACAUGAGAUCCCUCCUCAUUGUGGUGCUGCUCUGUUCCUCCUUGGUCUUGACUUCUAAGCUGGUUGUGUUCUCGCUCUUCGAGGCUCUGACCACGGACAUCCUUCGUCCGCUGGUGGCUGACGGAAGCUUAGCGACGGCUGGGAGGAAUGUUGCUGUCAUGGUUAUCGAUGCCAUUGCUUGAUAGUUUACUGAAUUCGACGUCUGAUUCUACCCUCUCUCGCUCGUUAGCUAUCGGUCAAUGUGUUUUAAGAAGUUUGGGGGUGAUUUGAGUUUGUGGAAAGCGUUGAGUUUGAUGAGAAAUUAUCUAUUUCCCUAUCCAAAUAUGAUUUUGUGCGAAUUGGUUGUUGCCACGUGUCAUGUUCUAUCUUUGUUGAGAAUAACCAUGAGAGGCUCUCUCGCAAAAGGGGACUAGAUACUUUUGUCGUGCAGCCCACAUGUGGGUCCAUGUUCUAGUCUAUAGUCUCUAAAUGAAAUAAUCAAUACAACAUUUUUUUUUUUUUUGGGUCAUCAACACAUUCAAAUCGUAACACUAAGUUAACAAAUUAGACCUCUAAUUUCUUUGUGAAGGCCUUUUAGUCUAUAGUGAUUAAUCAAAAAUUUCACUGGAGCUGCAGAAAAAGCCAUGGAGUUUGCAAGCAGAGAAGGCAAAGCCACCACCAUCAACAUAGUUAUUGCUCAUAACAGCUACAUACUACCCACUUUAUUGCAAGCAGAGAAGGCAAAGCCACCACCAUCAACAUAGUUAUUGCUCAUAACAGCUACAUACUACAUUUUCUUUACACCCAACAGUGGAUACAACUAGAUUCUCUCGCGGAACCCAUCACUCUCCUUUAUUUACAUGCAUGCAGAUGGACAGAUAGAUGUCAGGACUAUAUGUAUAUGGUUUUAGAGUAAAAGAUAAGUUUGUUCAAUCAAGUGUCACGAGGGCCGUCAGAGGAUUGAGUCUUUCGUAGGUUCCAAUGAAGACCAUCAUGGAUACUGCGUAGGAAGUCAUGAGUAGAUUCAACCUGGCAAGCCGUCGAUACAGGCCAAGGUGCAAUGCUACACACUAGUGCAUCCCCUGCUUCAAGCUGUUUCCUACCUUUCCCAUCAAACGACACCCACGCAGAGCUUCUGCUGUUGAACGGCACUUGCACUCUCACCGUCACGUGGUCCGGUAAUAUCAGUGGCCGGAAAGACAAAGAAUGAGGACAGAUAGGUGUGAACAAGAUCCCAGGAACCUACACAAAAACAUCAAAAGUUCAGAAUCUUAAAAAUGCCAUCAUGAGGGAGAGCAUAUAUAUUACCUGUGGAUGGACCAUUGAUCCUCCAGCUGCAAGCGAGUAGGCGGUGCUACCAGAUGUUGUAGAGAGUAUAAGUCCAUCGCCUUGCACACAUGUGACAAAGGAGUUGUCGCAAUAGCAUUCAAGGUUUGUGAGGUAAGAUGAUAUGCCACGGUCGAUGGUGACUUCGUUGAGAACAAGCGUGUUCUCCUCUGUCUCGUAGUCAUGCCUUGCUUUAUCUCUGAUGAUGUGACACUGCAACCUGUGUCGUAGUGUAAUGCUUAUUGGACCCUUUAAAACCGCUUCCAGACAGUCUCGGUAUUGUUCGCUGUCUGUGGUAUCAUAUAAGAGUUAAAGAAUAAAAGUUCUAGUAAUAGAUAAUGCUUAUAAAGAAAAGCUGAUGAAAGAAAAAGAUUUUAAAGGAUACGGAAAGGAGUCAUGAAUCCAAGAGAUCCCAUGGAAAAUGGAACAAUUGGAGGCACUGGUCCUUUGAACAUGGAUGCUGCCUGUAACCGUGGAGAUGUUCCAUGUUAGAUCGUGUUAUAAAAAGGUGACAGAGAUGUGAAGUGAGGUUUGACAUUACCCAUAGAACAGUACCGUCCCCACCAAGAGUAAUAACAAGGUCAACCUUUGGGUGUAGAAGUGAAAUUUCUUUGUCUGCAUUUAACAAAAAGUUUAGCUGGAGCUAUCCAGGCAAUGGAUGUAAGAAUAUCUUUUACCAUCUUCCCAAGUUUGUACAAAGUCGAAGGAACUUGAUUCUGAUAAAAGUUCUGCCUUCACUCGUGGCUCCACGUAAACGUUCAAUCCUUUGUGCUCUCUCAACCAUCUGAAGUGGAAACAAAAUAUGUUUACUUCAUCUUAAAACAACAACACUUUUGCCUUCCAACAUAAGUUCAGAGAGAGCUACUGAAACUAAUCCUAUGGUUUGUGUAAAGCUAAUCUCAACGAUCUCUUUCCGAAACUAGUGCAAAAAGUGUAUAUACAGACCUGACCAUUUCAACAGAAAGAACUCGCACAGAAGUUGAGUUAGGUUUAGUGAAAAUAAUCACAGUUUGUGGAUUGGUUUCCCAUGUCAGUGAUAUCUGAAACACACAAGUUGUUUAAAUUGCAGCAUAUAUUUUUUUGCCGUUAGUUGUAAAUUCAGAGAGUGAAAACAGUCAGAAUAUAAAACUAUACCUGUUUACUGCUGCGGUCAGCUGUAGUGAUAUUUCCACUCUCAAACGAGACUAUUUCUUUCUUGUGUUGAUCAUUAGCCUGCCCCUUGCACCCCCAUGAAAGCUUAAAUGAUGCCUGCAUCAACGUUAAAACAGAUACUUAACGAUGCCAUAAAGAACAAAUGUUUUUGUAUACUAGCCGAGUGCUGAUAUGCUUAUAUGUUGCCUACUUAUGUUUAUUAACUUGCAUACAGACAAUAUAAGCAAUAACUGGACACAAGAGAUAAUUUUAUAUAUAUUACCUUUCUCUUCAGUUUGUUGUUACACCCAUUAGGACUGUUAGAUUCACCACCAUCUUGCAGAACAUCAUGGGAGCAAAUACGCUCCAAGGAAUACCUUUCUGACUUCCCAUUCUCCUGACCAUGACGCCGCGGAGACUUGGCUAAAUGAUCCAUCCCCUUGCUACCAGAUUCAUCGGCACACACUCCAUUCAACGGUGCUGUGAUACAUACAUAUUAUUCAAACCAAAGCUCUACUGGAACUAAUUAUUGAAAGUAACUUAGAAUGGAUUAUAGUAAAUCAUUCAAAGCUAAAACCUUUACUCAGCAACUCUUGGUUCUUAGACCUCUCCAACUCAUAUCUUCGCUUCCACUCAGCAGCCUCAGCUUGAGCCAAUGCCUUUCCUUCAGCAGAUCCUCUUAAAGCCUUUGCAACAGCUACACAAAACCUUAAAAGUGAGUUCUAACGACAAAGAAAACAACAAGUAAUCCAAAGCUUUACUUACUUCUCAAAGCCUCAGAAAACUCAAUGAGGUGAUCAUCUGUUGCUAGCAUAGGAGUCUGCUGAGUAAGAAGCUCCUCAACAGCUUUCUCUGAUUGAGCAAGUGAAGAACCAUUUUCUGGGUUUGAUCCCAAACUGUUUACAUCUCCAUUUCCAAAAGAGUCCUGCCAAGCAAAUUGAAUAAAGUUGAUAAUGUUCUGAUUCAAAGACAUAAGCUUUGAAGAUAAAACAUAACCAGAAACAGUUUCAUCACUAAUGAGCUGAAGAGAAGCUAAGAAAAAACUCUCUCACAUUCUCAAUUUCCAAAUCAAUUCUCAAUAAAAUGAUAUCAUAAAAAUCCCCAGAGAGAGAGAUUUUACAUAAAAAUCAAAACUUUAAAACGAAAAAAAUAAACAGUAGAGAGAAAUCAAAGGGACAAAACACGCAAAGCAGAAGAAAGAGUUAAACAAAGAAGGAGAGAUGUAAUGGAAGUACAGUGUAAUUGAGCUUGUAGCUCGACAUUGAAUUCUCUCUAUGAUCCAAGAAGAAGCUUAUGGAUAUUUCAUUGUCAAGACGGCAGGCAGAUUUAUAUACAGAGAAUAUGUGCAAGAAGGAAGGAAGGAAGAGUCGUAAGCAAAGCAUACAGCUUUUUUAUUUUAUUUUAUUUUAUUUUUGUGGAACAGUAAUUGCUUUGAAGUUAACGACCGGAUCUCACAUAUUUUUGACCCCCAAAUAAAGUCUUCUCUUAUAUUUAAAUAACAAAACAAAAAGGAAAUAUAAUACUUGCUAGAAAAGAUUUCAGAUAUUUUUCUUAAAGUUCUGUAUUUUAUACAGAUAAUAUUUUAAGAGAUCUGGAACUAUAGCUUUUUGAUAUUCAGAUUAGGAGAGUAAAUAUUGGGUCUGAUUGGUAAUUACUGUACCUUUAAAAAUUUUGCUGUAGAAAAAAAUCUGUAGACUUUUUGUUUUGGUUUUAGAUUUUAUUGUUGUAGAAUUUUCUGAAAAGUACUAAAAAAUUAUUUUAGAUAUUUGGCUCUGCAGACCACUUGUACAGCUGUAGGUUAUUUUAAGAGCUGUAGUUUCAAAAAAAAAAUUAAAGCUUGAUUGCUCUGAAUUUGGCGAUGUAUAAAUAAAUAGGGCUGUUGACAGCAUCUACAGCAACUACCAAUCACCUCCAAUUAUAUAGAGAAGAUGGUUUGAAUACGGGGCACGAAUAGAUUUUCUUUUUGGUUUUCGUACAUUUUUCAUGCAACACUAAAAUUUCAUACUCCUUCUAUUUUAUAAAAAUGCUAUUUUAAUGUUUUAUUACAAUGAUUGUUAUUUUAGAAUCUAAUACAAUUUAUACAUAUUUUUAUUUGAAUAUUUAUUACAAAAUGCAUUGAUAUUAUAAAAAAGUUUUUUUCAAUAACUAGGAAUAUAAUUAUUAAAGACAUAAAUGAACUCUUAUUUUUUGAAACACUUUUUUAAACACGAAUGAACUUUAAAUAUUUCCUUAAUUUUUAUGAAAUGUCAAAAUAAUGUAAUCCUCCACGAGAAUCAUUAAUUAACUUUCAUGUCUUUUCUAGUUCAUAAAUCAUUUAACGUGUGGUUUGUUAGUUAGACUGGUUGUGGCCUUGUGCCGUACGAAGAGUUUUAGGAACCUAAGGCAAAUUUUAAAAAUAAAUUAAUUUAUAAUUAUAUUGAAAACAAUUUUGCAAUAUAAUAUAUCGUUUUCAACAAAUACACAAAUCUAACGCUGUAAGAAUAAGUUUAUGCUAUAUUAGUCUAGAAAAAAUUAUAAAAAAUAAGUCUAAACCAUUAGAUUAUAAAUUUAUUUUAAAUUUUAGGACCCUAAAAAAAUUCAUAUUAAUCGGGAACCUAAGGCGAAUGCUUUUUUCAAUACACUACAGGCACGCCUCUGCCUUGUGGGCAUAAUGAAAUGAAAUGUCGACUUUAGGCUCCUAAUUCUAAAAAUAAUAUAUAGAUGUAGGGUGCGAAAUUGUUAUAGAAAAGUUAUUAAUAUUUUUACUAAAAUAUCUUUAGCCUCUAAGAUCUCAAGGAAACUAAGUUGCUAGAGGAGAAGAUAAUGCAUGCUUCAUGUAAAUGGUCCUAACUUUCGGAGAGGUGACGUCAAGAAUUUCUUUGAAAAACUUUUAUAUCUUAUUGCUACAUACAAGUUUCCAUGGUUUUUCAGAUUAAUUAUAAGAGUUUGGUUGAUUGGGAAAUUCAGUCCACAUAUAUAGUUUAUAUUUGAAUUUUGUAUGAUUAUCUUUCGGAAUACUUUAUCUACUGAUCGUUACGUGAUCGAAUUUUAUAUACUGGCCGAAUUUCGAUAAUGUUUUUAAACAGCCUAACAUAAUCUCCAGCAUUAUAUGUUCACAUGUGAACCACCUCUAUUAGAUAAAAAAAUCAUUUAACAACUUAACCAGCCAUUAUAUACCAAUGCCAUUAGAUCACACAAACCUGAAGUUUCAAAAGUCUUUCUUAAGUGUUCAAGCUUCUUCUUUCUAUAUAACCAAGUGUGAGAAAAUCAUUCGCUUGUAUCUCAUGCUUGAUUUCAUUGGACUCAAGGCUAUUUAAGUCCAAAAUACUAUAGGAAAUGCAUCUGCCAAAAAGUAUAAGACUGCAUACCAUGGAAAAUAAUGAUGAAGUUUUAACAUCCGCAGCUAUGAGAAUGGUAAGCAAUCCUAUCAACACUAGGGGAAUUAGGAGAUGAAUCCUAUCAACACUAGGGGAAUUAGGAGAUGAUGAUUUAGUAAAAAAAUAUUACAUAAUACGAUUGAAAAUGAGAAAAUGAAAAAAAAAAACAUUACUAUUUGCAGAUGCUAUGUAGAUAUAUUGAAUUUAAAGUUGGAUUUUGAAAUUAGAGUUCUUUUAUAUUAACCUAUUAAAUUAAUACUUUAUCCAAUGUUAAUUUAAGAAGUCAUAGUGUAUACGGAAGAUAUCAUUUUUGUUUUUAUUCAAAAUAGAUAGCAUAGUACCAACUUUACAAAAUUAGUUACUUUGGCAAUUAAAGAUUUUCUAUAGUAUGAGUGGUCCCUAACAACGCGUGGCUGAAUUUUCACUUUUUUCUGGUCCUCGAUCUCAACGUGGUUGCAGUCCGCUCGUGGGAUUUUGGUUCCACUACGUCUAAGUGCACACUAGACUUCUCGUGCAUCAUGAUUUCUACACGUAGUUAUCUGUAAGCCACAAAUCCAGUAGACGCUUUAGAUUUGAUAUGCGGAGUGGAGCUUCGAGAUUAGUAAAAUGCAGUGUUUUUUUGGACUUGGACGGCAAUUUCUGUUUCAUGGAAAUAUUCAACCAAGUUGACUUUGUAUUCCGAGAAUCCUCUGUUUUGUCGUAUAUUCCCAUGUUGCAAUAUGUUAUUUUCGCUAGAGAACGACUAAAGUCUUAUAUGUAUUUGAAUUUUAGAAAGGCCUUACUAAUAUUGCGACACUAAAAAUGUCAAUGAGGAAGUGUAAAUUUUCGCAAAUUUAUAGAAUAAGAUUUAACAUAAUAUUUUUCUUGAAGGAUAAUACUUUUUAGUUGCAUGUGAAUUCCCUUUACGUACUUUUGUUGACAUACUACCAAUUCAAAUGCUACUUACUAUCUGACUUUAAUUUGGUCACAACAAAUUUUUAUAGAGUUCACAUACUCAGAAAGUAAAGGGGUAGAAGUCAGCAAUACUUUGUAAUGAAUAUUUUGCCAUUUUUGUAUUGUCUGAAAAUAAAAGGUCAGUAGACUUUUGAGUUUUGAGGAUUUUGAUCUUGAAUUCUUGACCCAAAGUAUAUUUGGUACAUGUGCCAUCUUUCUCAAAUUGUCUUUUAUAUACCAAACAUAAGGUGUAAUCAACAUUGGCUUUCACAUUGUGUUUCCUUAAUAAAGAAUUGUUCCACAAUGUGUUUCCUUCUCGUAUACGAAUUUACAAACUAGAUAAUAAUGGCAUGUAUAUCCAUAACUUUAGAAGUACGUUAACAUUUGAUAAUCUUAAGUCUUAACACAUGUAUGCUUCACAAUGCUUUUACAAAAAAAAAUGUAUGCUUCAUAAACGUAAUAUCAUUUACAAAAAAAGAAAGAUGGAUAUGUUUGGUGGAGUGAGUCUCGGCCGUUUAAUCUCUGCACGUUCUCGUGAUCUUUCUGCGUUCCAUCCAAUCCAAGCCGAACAAUAUAAUGCUGGAGUAUUUUUCGAGUAUUUGGAUAUGUUUGAUAGUCUUUCCUUCACUUUCCAAGAAGAUUGCUCUCAGAUUUUAAUGCAUUUUAUAAGAAUGAUCCAACCCAUUUUAUAUGAAAAUGUUUGAUAACAGCUCUAAGAACAUGUGGGUCAAGUGGAGAACUGAUUCAAAGUCUUCCAUAGAGAUAGCUAACAUUGACGUUGACAAUGUUAUUAUAAAUUACUAACUAGUUUUCUUCUUAUUCUAUACAGUAUUUAGUAUUUCUUCGAAUGUUGUUUUCAUAGUCAUUCUUGUCUAUUUUCAUCUGCCCAUUUAAAAUAUAUCUAACAUUUCUUCUAGGCUCUUCUUACCCAAUCAAUUGGUUUUAUUCUUUGUUAAAAUUAAUCUAUUCAAACUUAAGCCUCUUUGGCUCAUAAUAAAUUAGGAAAAACGUUACAACAAUAUGACAUUCAAAUGCAACAAGAAACAUAACUAUGCUCUCUGCCUCCUUGGUUUCAGACUUUCAGGUUAUAUCAAAGAUUAAAGUUGACGGCGAAGAGAUGAAAGUGCUUGGCUUGUGUUUCUUGAGAUUCGGUCAUGUAUUGGUUCCUGCUGAUAAAGCUACGCAUCAAUACGCUUCUAAUCUCAAAUGUAAUUCUUGAGAUUCGGUCAUGUAUUGGUUGCUGCUGAUAAAGCUACGCAUCAAUACGCUUCUAAUCUCAAAUGUAACAAAAAUCACAAACACAGGUGAGAAGUGAAGACUUUGGGAUGAAUCAUACCUGUGUAGGAAGAAUGUCAAUUCUUGAUCCAGUGAUUGUCUCAUACAAGAAAAUGUACCUGCCAUAGUCACAGGUUAAUCUUCCAUGAGUUUUUUUUUUGGGUCAAGAACCAUGAGUUCUUUAAAACUAAUACUACUAGGCUACUAGUUAAAGCUACCAUUGUCCAGCAAAUGUUUAAUCUCACAGUCUCUAAAGAGUAUACACGUUCAAUGUUUCUUCCCAUAUAACAAAAUACAUAGUCAAGAAAGUUUAUAUCCGAGUUUACAGAUAAAGAAACAUACCGCCAAGCUAAUUCAGUAACGAGUUCUGCUGGAGCAGCAGGGAGGACCUGAAAAGAUCAGAGAUACAACCGAAACUAAACAGAGUUUCUCAUACAGUGCUGGAGUUUACAUUCUGAAGAUGUAAGCUUACCUCGUCCUCAUAUGGAUUGCAGUUCUCUUUAAACCACAGCCUUAUGAACUCCUGUUUAGAUUGAAAAAAGAGGAUAAACAUGUGAUUAACAAUGCACUCUGUACCAAUAAAACCUGACUUGAACUGUAUGGCCAAGGAGAAAAAACAAGAAAUAUCACUGACCUUAUCAACAUUUUCAGGCUCAAGACCUUUCUGGAAGCGCUCUUCAUAGGAACCAGCAAGCCAGUAUCUGCUUGAAUCCGGCGUAUGAAUCUAUAUACAAUGGGUAAAAUUCGAAUAAACUGUGCAUUCAAAAGAGAGAUGAUACGGAAAGAAAGAGAAAGUAUUAAAACUAACCUCAUCAAUCAAUAAGAUGGAUCCAUCGCUACUUCUUCCAAACUCAUACUUUGUAUCCACCAGUAUCAGUCCAUGCUCCUUGGCCACGCGCUGAAAUAAAUCAUAAUGUACUUAGAAUCUAAGAAGACCUUCCAACAACGCACAAAAUAUAAUUCUUGUUGUCUGCAUUCAUAAGAUUCUUAUAACCAUUAGAGUCUAUGGCUUUAGACGGUGGAGUUGUAGCUAACCUGCCCAAACUCAAACAAGCUCAAAGCUUUCAUACUUGCUUCGUCAAAUUCAGCUUGAGUCAUGAAUCCACCUUCAACUAUCUGCAAGCAAAAAAGAGUCAUUCGCCGCAUAAGAAGCAGCAAAAAAAGUAAACAACUUUGUAAACAGAUUAAUUAGACCUCAUUUGGAGUGAUGGGCACAUCAUGAUCCUCAGCCUUGGUUGUUGGCGUGAGUAUAUUAGCUGGAAGCUUCUGGUUUUUCACUAAACCUGCAAAUUUAGGAAUCAGUUUAUUAAUGUAUCUUCUGACAUAUGCACAUACUUGAAGAAGAAGAAGGAAACAAAGGAGAAAGAGUACCAUCAGAGAGGACAUUCCCACAAUAGUUCCUAACACCUUUCUUGUAUACCGUCCAUAAAGAUGUGUCAGUACUUCCAGUCACAUAUCCUCUAACUAUCAAACAACAAAACAUUAUAUUAAAAAAAAAAACAGUUUAGAACUAAAGCAAACAGAGGCUGUAUAGAGAAGCAUAAACAUACUAACCCACAAACUCUAUUGGGAAGACGGAGCAUUUCUUUGCAAUAACAACAUUUCUAUCAGGAGAUGAAACGACUGCGUUUGGAGUUAUGUGCUGUGUGUUAUUGAACCACCACAAGCUGGUCUCGUUAAGAACCUGAAAGUGUUAGGCAGCACAAACUUAAUAUCUCUCUGCAAUCCAACUUGAAUUUACAGCGGCAAACAUGGGAAAAACAAAAAAAAACCUGGCCUUUGAAGGGAAUUGAAGCAAGGUUUCUGUCGAAUGCACUCAAGCGAUCAGUUGUAACAAGAACUAGAUAAUCACCAGCAUCAUAUAUAUCUCUGACCUGCAAAAGCAGCAAGUCCUCCUCAACUAUCACUUGCUUGGCUUUAUAGAGAAUAACAAUGGAAGAAGACAAAGGAAACAACAACAAACCUUGCCUUUGAUUCUAGAUUUGAGACCAGGAACAGUCUCUAGAAGAUUGGUCUCUGAAAGACAGUUGGAGAGCGAGUCUUUGAUUGUGCCGAGAACCUCUCCUUUACGGUUACUCGUGACUAGAUCGUCAAGAGACAAUUGUGGCGGUGGUAUCUGCUCUUGCUGGCUUUGGGCCUUUCCCUGGCAAGACAUAACUGGGUACUUCUUGAACUCGGGCAAUGUUCUAAGAAACGAGACUGAUGCAAAAGCUCGGGUUUUUGCAGACACUGUCCUAAUAAAGCUCUGUGGCGUUCUCGAUGGAUUUAGAGUUGACGACCUCACACACUGAGCCAUUCCAGAAAAAAACCCCAAAAGCAACAAACUGCACCAAAACCUGAAACUGUUUUAAAACAGAACCUAUUGUUCUAAAAAGGUCAGGGCUUUAGACCAAACUGAACUCUAACAAGGGAGAUGUACCCGAAAAGGAGUAACCACAACUAACACACAAAUUAUAAACCCAAAACUAAUAAACCAAACCAAAACCAAAACCAAACCAAACUAAACCAAACGUUAUUGAAUUACGGAAAGUAAAUAUAAAAACAGAGGAAAAUAAAACUCGCUUUUGCCCACCGCGUCCUCUCUCGGAGAUCACAAGAUCCGUCACCUCUUCUGCAUCCUCCAACUCCAUUGUGUUUCGUCUGAAUCCAAAAGGUUUAACCUUUGCUCAAAGUUCCUGAAACCCUUCACGGAGAUGCCAAUUUAGAGAAUUUCUAUGGUGAAGCCAGCCGGAAAGCAGAGUUGUGGUCGCCUUGUCUUCGCUUCAUUCCUCGCUCUUUUAUCCCUCGGCCUCGUCGCCGACUUCCUCUGGGCUUCCUCUCAUCGCUUCUCCUCCGCCAUAAUCUCUCUUCCCUCCUCCGUCAUCGAAAAGCUCCCUCCUAGUCCCAAUGUAAGUGUUCAAUCUGCUCUGUUUUUUUCUUUUAUAUCUCUCGAACAAUCAGAUGAAUCAGCUUAUGUGGAUACCUUUCAGGAGAAAGAUACUAAGAAGAAGAAGAACGAUAAUGCUCUUCGAGAAAGGAAGCUCUCUGCAACGUUCCAAGAUCUGCCUGCUCCUCUUCUACAUUGGGAGAAGAUGUCAGCUGCACCUGUGCCUCGUCUAGACGGAGCUGCGAUUCAGAUUAGAAACUUUCUAUACGUCUUUGCUGGUUACGGCAACAUUAAUCUCGUAAGCGUUGUAUAGAGAGAGAUCUUUGAUCAGUAGCAUUAGAUGAAUUGAUGUUUCUGUCUUUCAAUAUAUCAGGUGCAUUCGCAUGUUGAUAUAUACAACUUCGUGGACAACACAUGGGGAGGAAGAUUCGAUAUGCCUAAAGAGAUGGCUCAUUCUCAUUUAGGGAUGGUUACGGAUGGGAGAUUCAUCUACAUCGUCACUGGUCAGUAUGGUCCUCAAUGUAGAGGACCUACUGCUAAGACAUUUGUGCUUGAUACUGAUACAAAUACGUGGAGUGACUUCAUUCCCUUACCAGUUCCUAGGUGAUUGCUAUUCUCUGUUUAUCAUCAAGUUAGAUAGAAACUGAGUGAUGAGGUUUUAUGUACAUGUCAGGUAUGCUCCAGCUACUCAGCUAUGGAGAGGUAGACUCCACGUGAUGGGUGGAAGCAAAGAGAAUCGACAUACACCGGGACUUGAACACUGGAGUAUCGCUGUUAAAGAUGGCAAAGCGUUGGAGAAAGAGUGGAGAAGUGAGAUUCCAAUCCCUCGUGGAGGACCUCACAGGUUUGUUUAAUAGCUUCACGCUUCAUCAUCCAUUUUUAUCUGAGGUUUGAACUGUUUUUUUUUGGUGAGUGUAGAGCAUGUGUAGUAGUGGACGACAGGCUUUUUGUAAUUGGUGGUCAAGAAGGUGAUUUCAUGGCUAAACCAGGAUCUCCCAUCUUCAAAUGCUCACGCCGUUUGGAGGUAUUGUUGCUAUUUUAUGAAUGUUUUGUAUGUGUGUGUGUGUCCUUACCUUCUUCACCUUGGUGGUUCUCAAGGUGGUGUUCAGUGAUGUUUACAUGCUGGAUGAGGAAAUGAAGUGGAAAGUGAUGCCAUCUAUGCCAAAACCGGAUUCGCAUAUUGAGUUUGCAUGGAAGGUGGUUAACAACUCCAUUGUGAUCGUUGGAGGGACGACAGAGAAGCAUCCUGAAACCAAGAAGAUGGUUCUCGUUGGCGAAAUCUUCCAGUUUAACCUGAAUACAAUGGUAAAAAAAACACAUGUCUCUGCAUGCUUAAGACCUUCUUUAGCCUGUUAAUAAGUGUAAGCUGAGUUUUGUUUUAUGUUUUAUUGUCUGCAGAAAUGGUAUGUGAUUGGGAAGUUGCCAUACCGUGUGAAGACGACGCUGGUUGGGUAUUGGGAAGGGAAUUUAUACUUCACCUCGGGGCAACGAGACAAAGGUCCUGAUGAUCCUGCACCACGCAAGGUAAUUGCAGAGAUGUGGAGAACCAAACUUAUACUGACUCCAUGAUCAUGAGAGUGAGAGAAAAGAAAUCUAUCUCCCUUUAGUAAUGCAAAGUCGCAACACUUUUUGAAGUUUAUAUUCUUUGAGCCUAACUCAUUCCACUCCACAUAACAAUUGUUAUAUCUAUCUUCUAUGUUGAUGGGGAAGUUGUAUAUUGUAUACUAAAAUCACAAACUUAUAGAAAAUUCCAAUUUUUCCAACACAUCUUUGUGUGCUGCUUUCUUCAUCUCACAGUUGUCUUCUGUUUCCUUUUACUCACCAAACGUUUUUUUCAAAAGACCAGUUAUGUACUUCCGUAACCAAGACCUCAUGUAGCAAGAACUUAUACAUAUGUUAAAUUAUGUACUUGAUUUUUUUUUUCAAGUGUAGAGAAAAACUGGUAACAAUGUCUGCAUUGCUAAAAACCAUAUAGAUCAGACAUUUUCAGCACAACAAUACGUCAAUACCCAAUACUAAUGUUAUUGUAGGUUUCUUAACUCAAAACCCUUUAAUUCAAAGAAACAAAAAUAGUCCUUCCAUGUCCCCCCUACAAGCCAAGAAUAAGCUCAACCAUAAAGAGCUCAUUCUCAAAUCUAAGACUUGAUGUCACAGCAAGAUUCAGACCAUCAACCAUUCCACCAAACACAUACACAUACCGUCCCGAACCAUCAGCGCACGCCCGAUGAAACGACCGCCCUUUGGGUCUAUAAGACACCCCAUCAAGCCUCUUCCACGCCUUUGAACCAUUUAAACAAACCGCUCCUCCAUCUACCUGCAGACCUUUAGAUGGAAUGGUCUUGACAUCCAACGCCCAAAAAUCAUCCUUCUUGUGCCUAAAGGUAUCUUCUCCUCCGUAAAUAAGAAUCCGACCUCCCAAUAUGAGUGUUGCCGAGUGACCAACCCUCGGCAACGAAGCGCUCUCCUCCAAGUCUCGAAAGUCGUAGAAGAUCUGUAUCCAACGUUCGCACUGUUCCUGAGUAUCCAACAGCCAAACAUCGUUAAGCACGUCGUAACCCAACCCUUGUAUCCAACGUUCGCACUGUUCUUGAGUAUCCAACAGCCAAACAUCGUUAAGCACGUCGUAACCCAACCCUCUUCCUCCGAACAGAACCACUUGGUUCUCUCUUAUGUAAGUCAGAGUAUGCCCCGACCGCGGCGGCAGCAAGGCGUUGGACACAACCUCGUGCCAUGUUCCCGAGUUAAGAUCCUCGGAGAGUUCGAGAAUCCACGUGUCCCCCAGUCUCACUCCGCUUAAACCGAUCCCUCCUUGCACGACCAUCGUCUUCUCUGAGAUACAAGAAGCAGCAUGAGCACCUCGAGGAGGCGGCUUUAGGCUUCCCAGGACAGCUAGUAGCUUCCAGGUUAGUUGCUUCCCGUGGCAGCCCACUCGACCUAUCCACGUGUCGUUCAGCCGCUCUCCACGGUCGUUUAUUCCUCCGAAUAAGACUAGAGAGUCUCCAAUGACGACGCAGGUGUGUCCGAAUCUCCCACCGGGUGUAACUGACUCAGCUUUCUUCCACUUCAACGUCUUCUGAUUGCUCUCUCCGACGUAAGCCGUCCACGUGUCAUCAAGAUGACGUCCUGUAAAAACAAAGAAACAUGAACACAAGCACUAGAGAGUUCACUGGUUCAACAAAAGGAAAGAGCUUUGACACCUCCUUCACGGCCACCACCGAAGAGGACAAGAUAAUCAGUAACGAAGUUGAGAGAGUGAGAAGCUCUAGGGAGCGGUAGUAACGAAGACUCAUCAUCAUCGUCUAGGUUCGAGAUUUUGUGGCAAGAGACGGAAUCAAGCUUGCAGACUCUCUUAAACAGAACCAUCCACGGUAAUAACAACCCCGAUGACUUGACUGACUCAGCCGACGAUGGGCCCCACUCUCUCCGCCACAAGGACUCCCAGAGGCUGUCGGAGCAGGCGAGGUCACGGAACCUCUUGCAGGUGGCUGAGAAAGAGAGGAUUGAAUCCACGGGGAGGAGGAGGAGGACGGUGAAGAGAUGGUCGUCGGCUAAGUUCAUUAUCGGCGCCGGCGGAGAUUGGUGGCCUCUGCCGGAGGAGGUGGAAGCGAUCUCAGCCAUCGGUGGGGGUGAUGAUGUCUUGAAGAGGAGGAGGUUUACUGAAUCAACAGAUGAAGAAGGACAGAAGAGAGGAAGACGAAGAAGGCGAAGAUUAGAGAUCUCUUCUUCUCUCGUCACGGAGCCGACAAGAGGGACUGUAAAAAAAACACUAGAAACCAAUCUUUUCCUCUUUUGACAAAAGUCAUGUAAAGUGCAGUAAUAACAAUAAAUAAUAAUUAAGGCUUUGUACGUUUGGGUAUGUAUGUGCUCGAAUUUGAAUUUGAGUAUUUUGGAAUUUUUUCUUUUUGAGCAAUUUUUUUUUGGAUUUUAGAUUUUUUUUUUAAAUUUAGCCUCUUCAAUUCUAAUCGGGGUUUAUAUACAUGUUAAGAUCAUUUUUUUAUCGUAGUACUUUGAAUUCAUAAAAUUUACUUCAUCCAUUUCGUUAAACUAGAUGUUUUAGAAAAAAAAUUUGUUUCACAUAGAUAAACUUUUUGUAUUUUCUAUAAAAAAAUUUGUGAUGUUCAAGAAAGUUAAUUGAUUUUUUUGAAUUACUAUUGGUUAAAAGUUAUUGAAAUUUCAAAAUUACAGAAAAUAAUAUAUUUAUUAUAAUGAUUUAACGUACUUUUUUAAUGUGUGUAAAUAAUAAUAAAUUAUAUUUAUGAAACAGAAAGAGAGUAAUAAAUUUGAAAUAAAAGAUAAAAAUCUUUUAACUUUUAAACUUCAAUCAUUUAAAUCAACAAUUUUUGUGCUGGCAACUUAACACAUUACAUUGUGUUUGAUUUUCAUUUUAAAUCUUUAAAUUUUUGUUGAUUAAGUCAAAUUAGACAUCUGUUAAAUAAAUUAACAUAAUAUAGAACAGAGUUAAAAAAAAAAUUGAAACACCAUAGUUAAACUAAACGAUGUUGUUUUGUUCGCUUUGGUUUGAAAAAGUGAAAAUAGUCAUACAAAAUCCAGUAUUUUAAUACCAUUCUAUUCUAUUAAAAUACAUUCUAGUAGUAUUUUUAUAACUCGGAUCUGUUUUGGCUUUUGGGUUUUAAGUUCAGGUUUGAUUAGGAUCUUGGAGUUUUCCUCCGGCCUAACGAAUUUUGGUAAUUUCGAACUUAUAGAAAUAUCAAAAGUAAACCCCAAAUAUUUUAUUAAACUCAGAUUUCAACCCCGUAGUUCCAGAUUAACAUCCAUUUUGGGUAAAAACAUAGAUAAAAAAGCAGUUUGGUCAUUUCUGCAAACUCAAGGUUCUUGGUCAUUUCGGCAAAUAGUUAAGUUUGACCUUCUCUAUCACUUUCCAUAGUGCAGCUUUAGCUUCUUCCAGCGUUUCAACACCAUGACCUUCCUCAAAUGGUAGCCUUUGUAUGUUGAACUGACAAAACCAAACACACAGAGAAGACAAAAGGUGAGAGGCGCUGUGCAUGAUCAUGUAUCAACACGACAAUUGUUAUAUACAAUGUUUUUUUUUUACCUGAGCACCUUGACGAACCCGUACAUCUAUCCCUUUGCUAUCUAUAGAAAUGAGGGCAGCGUCGUCUACCUCUGUUUCAGAUGACAGUAACUCUCUAAGCGGCUUUGAGAAGAUGGCAUUUAGUUCCUACCAGAGGUUAAGAGGUAAAAGUAAGAGUCUGUUUCAAUUUACUAUAGGACAAGAAGUGGUUUAUUUGGAGUUUUGUAAGGGGACCAAGGAAGGAUUUGAAAAUGAAGCACCUUGAGGUUUUGCUCACCACCAUCAACAGCGAUCUUGUCUGGCUGUAAGGCCUCAUACUCUUUGACAUCAACCCAUGCGACCGUUCCAAAGCCUCCAAUGAAAUAUAUAUCACUGCCAAUAGUCACAUUUGAGUAUGCAUAAGUAGAAUAGGAGACAAACAAUCAUAACAUAAGUUGGUAAUUUAGGAGGCAUAAGUUUUGGAAACAAAACCUUAUGUUGUGCAUUCUAAAAUAGCGAAAGUUUCCACACUGCUCGGAAGUUCCGUGCUGGUGCUUUGCAAUGUAUUGCUUAUGAGCCAAAUCCUACCAAGCCACAACCAUUCCACACUGCUCGGAAGUUCCGUGCUGGUGCUUUGCAAUGUAUUGCUUAUGAGCCCACUCCUCCCAAGCCACAACCAGAGGCAUUUGAACUGGUUUAACAGAUAAGAUUACUGAACCCAAAGAUUAGCAACUAGUUAGUUAGAUAUUAACCUGUUCAUCAUCGGACAGUGGGUACACAUCACCGAAUAAUGUCACUCUUGCAUUAGACAAGCAACUCCAUCCAGGCAUCUGACAGCCAAAACCCCGUUACAGACCAAACAAAGAGAGAGAAUCUUUUGAUCUUUGUAGUCUAAACACAAUAGCCAAUGUUUACCUGAACAACGAGACUACAUCUAGGUUCAGCCAAGAGGUUUCGUGUGUGGAUGGCCAACGGUGAAAGUAAGAAUAUUGGAUCUGGAAACAAAAGGUACUUUAUAAGCCAACGUGCAUCUAUAAUCUCAGCAUACAAAGAUAGAAUAAGCAGUGAAGAAAGAGAGAAAGGUUUGGUGACUUACGCCCCAACCGAUCAGGUGCAAAAUCAACCAAAGAGCCAAAGGGGUACCCUUCUCUACGGUGGUGCAUUUUAGACAUCAUUGUGCAUAGAUGAGCAAACCUCGCCUUGAAUCAUACAAAAGACAAGACAGUUAAACAACUUAUCAUCAUAUUCCUCGUUCAAGUUUAAUUACAAAUCUUUUUUACCUGCUCCAGCAAGUUCCGAACAGCUAAAGCAGGACGAGGUAACGCAUGAGCUGAUGUUGCAUUUUGAACUCCGCCAGAUAUAGGAGUUCUAAAAAGGCCAGCUCGGUUUCCCCCAGCACCCUGAGGAUGUGCAAGAGAUGUCUCCACAUCGAUUACACUCUCAAGCUUUUCCUAACACACAAACAUUAUAAGUUAUUAGCUAUUAGCAGCCCAAAGCAAACCAUCCAAAUAGAACUAUCUACUUCAAGAUUCAUUAUUAACAACAAUCCAAGAUUCAAUUCAAAGCAUUAUAUCUUGUCCAGAACUAGCGUAAGGGUACCAUAGACAAAGAAUAUUACCUGUGACAAAGAGAAGAUAUCCCCAGGAAAGAAGUUAAAUCCACUACUCUUGCCAAGAUUAUCUCCACCUUCACUUGGUGUCUCGUUGUGUAAGAGAGCUUGUAUCCGGAGCCCGUGGCUUGACCCAUCCCUGGUUCUCAGCUUGGGGAUUCGCUUGGCUGGCGAACUACACGACCAACACGAAGACUGAGAUGAAGCUAGCGAAGAUUUGAAGACAGGCUUGGUCACGGGCAAAUUGGAGAUGUAUGCUGAAGUAGAGAGAGCUUCCAUGGUAAGAUUCUUUUGAGUAUGGCAGAUUCGUCAACACGCCUUUACUGAAAAAAGUUAAGCUUAUAGGAGUUUUCCAGAGUAGGGUUUAAAACAAGUAACAGUGGUUUCACGGAAAGCUCUGGGAUAGUGGUGUUCUGUUUUUCACCUUUCGGCUUUAAUACAAAAACAAAAAUACUAUUAUUAGUUUCCUUUUCUUAGGAAAAAUAGGAAAAGAUGAUAUUCCUUUUUCAACGCAAAUCAUCAUUAUCUCAAGAACAAGAUCAUGAUUAUCGUCAUGAGUUUAUGACUACAUUGCAAUAAAUGAUUACUGAUAACAAUAGCAGUUAUAAAUAGUUUUUUUUUUAAUAUAGGGGGAAGAGAUUAGCUAAACUAUACUAGAAUUCUUACAAAUAUUUACGUUUUUUUUAAAUUAUGUAUAUUAUUUUUACAUAAACUGCCUAAAAUAGUAUAUUUAUCAACUAUUAACAGAUGUAGAGUAAAUUUUGAUUACUCAAUACUCGUAUUUAAAACAAGAAUAAUUUGUUGACAAAAAAUAAAAACAAGAAUAAUUUUGAUUUUCCAAUAUUAUAAGUUUUUUGUUUCUUUAUCUAGGUUGAAUAUUAUAAUAACCAGUACUUUAGACUUCUCUCUCCACUACAAAAUAAUUUUUCCAUCUCACGCGAUGGUUCAAAACCAUUUAAAACGUUUGGAAAUAAAAAUCAACACGUCGAUCGAUGAUACAUGCAACUUGUAUCACUAUCACUAAAGCCUAGCUGCAACGCAGGAACCCCCACGUCUCAAACGUUGUCGUUUUCGGCCCAUCCUUCCUCUGAAUCCAUACGACACCGUCUGAGCUGUAGCGUCACUGCACGCGCCAGCUUGCUUUCGCCGGCUCGAAUCAUUCCUGCGGCAACACCGGUUACAUCUUCCACCUUCUUUAGCCUCGGACACGUCAUCGUCUUCCGCGCGUUCCUAACACCGAACCAAAACGCAGCUGCUAAAAUCACCUUCGUCCCUCUUGUUUUCCCCACGGCCAAAGCGAGUGACGCCAACGAAACGACUUCGUUUCUUGAAUCUCCGUUUAGUCCUAACUCAUCACACCAAUUUACAAAAAUGCCAUCCCCCACGGCAUUGACUCCCUUUUCCCUCCUUCGCGGCCCUCUGUUCACGGUGGUCUUCCUCGUCGUCGACGACGAUAGCUCGGAGGUGGAGAUAAGGUCCAGAGACGAGCAGCAAGACGAAGCUGAAGACGAAGACGUUCCACAACCACAGCAGGAGCAGGUUAUUUUAGCAGGCCAAGGGGAAAGAGAACCAGAGACGAUAUCUCCGGUGAGGGAACUGCAACCAGGGCAGAUGAUGCGGCGGACAUGGCGGGAAAAAAGGAAGUUAGAGGCGUGGAACUUAACGUCGCAGGAGCGGCAGAGGUAAGCGGAGUCUGCGUCGCAGUGGAGGUGUGCUUCUGCACCACACAGCUCACAGAGUUUCACCAUCUUCGUUUUAGUGUAUUAGUUAAUGUAUUCUUCUAUGAUGAUGGGAAGAGAGAUUUAAAGGAGGAGAUGAUGUUUUAUUAAUGAUUGAAGGAGAAUAACACGGUGGAGCUUUAUGGUUCAUAGUUGACGAUAGAAUAUAGUGGCUAUUAUUUAUUUAUAUCUUUCUUCUAAUAGAAACUUACAUCAGCCAGAUUUUUAUUUUAAUAAUUUUAUUAGUUUAAUAAAUAUUGCAAAUUGGGAAAUGAAUGAGUGGUGUUUGGAGAGUUGGUUGAAUGUGACGUGUCGAGAGGUCUUGAGGUCAGUGAGAUCUGUGGCUAUUUUUAAACCAUUGCACUAGCCGCCGUGUCUUUUCGUGUGACGUGGAGACUUUGUCAACACUAAAGUCUUUGCUCACUGCAAUUUGCCUUUUGUUUUUGUUUUGUUGCUUCCAUUACAUUUCUUCUGCAUUGUUUCUGUCUUUUUGUAGUAUUAUACGUACAAUACUCGACCUUUAGAUUCUUUGUUUCCGGUCACAUGUGCUUUGUUUUGUUAUUAAGUUUCCUAAUACGGUUGGAGUAAAAGUCAGGAAAUAGUGAGAGAUUUAAAUUGAAAAAUCUUUCAUUUAAACUUUGAUAAGGACUUAAUACUCCUCUAAUCUUAUUUUCCAAGGGUACAAACAGACAAGGUAUAAGGUAAGGCAAACCUGUUUGGUUAUUUUGUCAAACUAUUCCAACAAGUGCCUAUCUUGAAAUCAAUUUUUUUUAAUGGUUCCUUGAAUACAUAAAGCAAAGACCAUAAUUAAAAGGUAUUAAUUUAUGUAUAAGCCAAGCCACGGUACUUGGUUAAGAAACUUCCACAGCGAGCGUGCUUACUUAUGUUCCAUCCGACCAAAGCGCCUCUUGCGUAAUGAAACUCUUGGUUUGCGUUGCUGCACGCUGUUAGAUUGUCCGGGAUUCACCUGAUCCUUCCAGGGCACUAUCUUAAGUGGAUGAGCUUCUGUGUUGAACACCCACUCGUCCAGGGGAAUAACCGUUGCGGGCGAGAAGAGGAGAUAGAGAUACUUAAGCGUCUCAGCAAGGAAGAAACUUUGCAUCUUGUUGUCCUUAACUCCUGUAUUAACCUGAAAAUGGUCGAGAAUCUACCAUCAGAUUAAACUUAAUAAUGCUGGUUCUAUUUAGGAGCCUAAGGAGAACGAACUUACAUCUUUCAAACCAACAUAUCCAGUUUCUAUGCGUGAGUUCUUCUCAAACGCUUCAAAUAUAUUCCAUCCCCAGUCUUGAUAUGUCUUGUUACCAGUUAACCUCCAGAGGUAAAACAGUGAUUCAACAUUCUCUGGCCUCAAGAUGUUCGACGACGCCCCAACACUCAUGUCCUGAACCAUCACAAUGUUUAUGAAUUGUAUGCUAAACAGUGUAUAUGGAAAAGACAAGCAAAGGACAUACACUCCCAGAGUUGAAGACAUAAUUCUCUCCAGCUAGUUUUGUUGGUGUUGAUUCGUAGAAAUUAUAACAUGUCCAUGCAAGCUGCAAAUAAGUGGGAAACACACAAAAAUAAAGUCUAAAGCUCCAACAGCUACUGAUGAAGCUAUGACCAAAGUCCAUUCAAGACAUAGCUUUACCUCUUCAGCAAGGGUGAGAAACUUCUUUGCUUGAGUAGGAUCAUCAUACCCAGAUGAUCCUAAAGCCAGCAUUCCAGGAGCAAAGCAAGCCAAUUCAUCCAUCUGAAAAUUGAUGAGAAAGAAACAUGAGAACUGUCAAUCUAUUACAACAGCACCAAUGAUUAUAUUGGUUAUACCUUAUGGGUCAGAGAACUUCCACUCUUCUCACAGAUAUAUGUAAAGGAGGAAGGUGUUGAUUUCUUAACCAAGCUUAGCAGACCAUUCAUUGAUUUCUCCCACAUAUCUCUGAUGCCAAGAUUCCAACACAUAACAAUAUACUACCAAAUAUCAAAACUACAAGACCAGCAAAGAAAAGAAGAAAAUAUAUGUUCUUCCUGUCUUUGACUACAUAUAUAUAUAUGAUCAGUAGAAAAAAAGUUAAAACUUACCUAUAGUGUUUCACUGUUAAAGUUUUGUUCCCAAACACCCAAACUUUAAGUAAAUAUUCAUAAAAGCUGCAAGCAAAAUAUUAGCAGUCACAUAUCAACAAACCAGAGCAAAACCAGAAGGGAUCAAUUGAAAAAAGAAACCUGUCUCCCCCGCCACCAAAUGUUAUGGUCGAGUAUGAUGGUUCAGCUGUAUCGGGAUUUAUAUAGACUGGAAGUAAACCGUCAGCAGGGUAGUUCUUAUUUAGUACUGUAAUGACCUUUUCUACCUGAUACACAGAGUUACAGACAGGUCAAACAUACCAAUCAGUAUGUAAUAUGUGGUAAGUUAAUCAUGCUACAAGUUGAUGGAGAAACACACCUUUUGCUGAUAUUUAGGGUCCCCAGUCCUCUGAGAAAGGGCAAUAAACUCGAGCUGUUCAGUACCAGAUUCUGCAAGAUUACUGUCUCCCUAGUACAAGAAACAUGUUAAAACACAAUCAACUACACUUAUAUGCCACAUGUAGAAGUUGAUAAUAUACAGUUAAGGCAUUAAGUAAUGUAGGAGUUACCCCUCCCCAUGUAGGGUUGUGAGCGUUUCCAUGUCUCAAGUUGAUAAUGUUAUAUGGAAUGCCAGAUGGAGUGUCCCAUGCAGGCAAUAAUCUAUCUGCUAUAUCCUUAGCCUUUUCAAGGAAAAGUUUAUCCCCAGAAAGAUCAUACGAGCUGAGAAGCCCUCCCACCACUCUAAAAGCCAACAAAGAGAAAAAACAUAAGCACAAGUUGACUCUUCUUAGUACAGGUAAGAAAACAACAUGGUAAACCAAGUUAUAUGCAACCUUAUGGUUGUCUCGAACAUACUGGCGUCAUAGUCCUUGUCGAAAUCUAAUGACGUUGCAACCCACCUGCAAAUGAAAGACUUUAAGCAUUUAUAUCAUGCCUAGAAAAUGGCGAGGAUGGAAGAGAAUCUACUCACUCUCUAGCUUUCUGAAACUGCUUGUGUAGACCCAUUAUAUAGAGUGUAUCUAAUGCAUCUAUUAUAGUCGCUCCCAGGCCACCAAAGCUGUCAACGCCAUCUUUCGUCUGGGGCUGAUAAUGCAAAAAAGAAAAGAAAAGAAAAGCUUCACACACAUAUAUGUUUUGGUAUUGCAGCUUAAGCAUACAGUUUCAGAAGAAGCUGUACCUGAAGCUCGUCUUUUCCCCAAGCAUACUUUUCAUAUGAACUCCAAGCAUGAAUCAUUGCUUCUUUUACUCUCUGCCUUCGCCCGGCAUCAACCGGAUCUUCCUUGACACUCUUCAGUGUCCUCAUAGUUGCAUCCUCCUUGACGCUUUUUACAUCUCCCAGCUAGCAGAAAUAUAUAAAAAAAUUCGAGAGUUAUAUAAAGAUCCUAAGUUUCUCAAAAUCAAAUGAGCUCUUAAGUGUUUUUGGGUCUUCUUACCAUCCGCUGCAACCGCAAGGCUUGUUUAUUUAACUUCGAAACUUCAAGCUGGCAAUGAUAAGAUCAUAACAAAGGUCAUGACAGGGUGUGUUCUCCACUUGUUUACCAUGUUCCAUAUUUGUUUAGUUGGCAGUUAUUUACUUGACAUCUUUUGUGUAUUUAAGUGAUCAAGUGUUUUAUUCAAUGGGAAUGAAAAGAAAAUUGCAGUAAAUUGUUUUUUAAGUCUUUGGGAUCCAUCAGGCAACAAAUACGUGCAAGAAAAAAUCACAUAAGAAGAUACAUUCUCAAUUCAAACUGAGAGUCUAGGAUUGGAUUAGCGUCUAUCAGUUGAGCUAUGAUGAUAGAGCUACUAUUCGAUAGAGAAGAAAAGUACCUCGUGAUCUUGCCCACGCGUUUGACGGUCCCAAGCGACCAUGGAAACAGAGAUGAAGAGGAUGAAAAGCAAAGCUAGACGCAUAGUCCUUCCGAGAUUAUAAGCAGGGUUGAAGUACUUCCAUAUCCCAUGACCAGUAACCAGUCUACUCCUCGCCAUCUCGAUUAGAACUUUGAGGGAGAUCCGGUAAGAAUCAGUUAGGAAGAAGAAACAUUGGUUUGUUUGUUUUUCAAGAUAGAAAGAGAAAAACCAAACAAGUUGGGUGAUGAAAAGUGUCGGAAAGAAUAUAAAUAGAAAUGAGCGUCCAUUUAUUUUUAUUCUUUAGUUUAUAUAACGCUGACCGCCGGUUUAGAUCUUUGGCUGUGUGUAUAGAAGUGUGAGACGGGUUACAUUGACUAGCUAGCACCCCAUCUUUUGUUCUAUCAAAACACCGUGUGUUUGGGAUUUGGUUCUCAAGAAUUUUCAACUGACUUGACUUGAUCAAUAAAAAAAAAGAAAAAAGAUUUGACUUUUACGGCAAAGACUAUAAUAAGCUAAUCAAAGCUAACCGGCCCUGGGUGGAGGUUUUGUUUGGGGAACCAAAGCUAACCCAAAAUGUUUGUUAAUAUUAUUGUUUUUUUCUUCUAGAAUCUUAGAGAUAGAGAUACAAACAUGGCUAGCCUUAGCCCUAAGGCGUAAGUUUAGCUCACCAAGCACCAAUAAAAUUCAAUUUUUGUAUAUAAAAUCUUAUAGGAUAAUGGUUCAUGAACAAAAUUUCCUUUUUACACUUUACGGGGUCAACUGAAUAUAAAUUUAAACAAUUAGCUCAAAACAAACAUAUGAAAGUUUAAUUUUUAAUAUUUAAACAAACAUGGUAAAAAAUAAUCAAAUUUUGUUUUUUUUCUUGUUAAAGUAGGGCUAUUAAUAUUUACGCAAUAUUCAAGUAAAAUUUAUCUUAUACAAAUCAGAAAUGAGAUGUAAUUAUGAAAUGUGAUAAUAUUUGUUCAAUAUGUGGAAAAUCAGACAAAUUCAUUAUUUUUGAAUGUUCUUCAGCAUUACAAACCACUAUUCAUUAUCUUCGAUUUUUUCAGUCCCACCAUCAUAUCCAUCAGUUCUCUCAAUUAAUGGAAUUUAUACGAACACAAAUUCCCUUUUUUCUCUGGAACGAUUGAUGACUUCCAUAAUAACGAGACAAACUCUUAUUCAUGAACAACUUUGGGAUAAGGUCUUAUAUCUCAGUGGUUUCUCUUCUCACAGACGACUGUUAGAGGUCGCAUGUUCAAUUCUCUAUCGGCGCAGUGGUACUAUAACUCUCCAAAUAAAUCUUAAGAGAUUUUUCUGGAUUUAGAGCACCGCUUGCGGUAGAGUCUAAUCACUAUUGAAAGAUUACUCAAAACAGUUUUUGUUUAAAAAAAAACUUAGUUCAUUUGAAAACAUUGAAUGCAAAAUUGUUUAAAAAUAUUGAUAGAAACGUCACUGUCCGACAUGCAUAAAGAGAAUGUAGUGUUUGGCAUGGAACAAAUGAAGGUAGUGGAAUAUAAGCUCAACAAAAUGGCCAUCUUCUAACCAGCAGUUUAAAUAUGAAAAGUAUCUGCUUAGUUAAAAGUUACCGGUGUAACAAAUUUGUAUUUAAAACUUUUAAUUAAAAAUUUAAGUGUAUUAAUUAUUAUUUUAUCUAAUUUAUAAAUGAUCUGUUUUAGUUACUUCAAAUUUUAAUAUGUAAAAUUUGUUUUAAAAAACACAUUAAUGAUUGACAUACACAUGUUAAUAAACUAAUUUAAUAUUGUGACUGGUGUUAUAACAAUUUUAUUUAUAAAUAUGUAAUUAUUUUCAGCAUUAAUUUUUAUUAUCAUGUGUCACGUUUAUAUUACUUAUCAAUUUCGAUGAACCAAAUUUUCUAUAAAAUAUAUGUAAUUUCACCCAAUAAAUCAAAUUAUUCUAAAAACAUGCAAAUUCUAAUUUUUAUUAUAGUUAACAAAAAUUAAAAUAUCUCUAAAACAAAUAAAAUUUAUCUAGGAUAUUCAUCUUAAAAUCAUGAAACAGAUUACAAACUUUACAAAGUUGAUAUAUAUUAGAAAAUCAGGUAAGUUGGAAGGAAAAAAAUAUGGGAGUAUCACUCAAUCUUUUUUUUUUUUUUUUUUUUUUUGGUUUUUAUAAAAAGNNNNNNNNNNNNNNNNNNNNNNNNNNNNNNNNNNNNNNNNNNAUUUUUUUUUUUUUUUUUUUCUUUUGGUUAUGAUAAAAAGUCCUCUUGUUACAAAAUCUUGAGAAUGGAUACAUUUCACAUUGAGUAUGAAGUAUAUGACUUUACCUCUAAUUCGUGGAAGAAUAUUCAUGAAACUCGAGACUUGUCCAUUUCACAGAUAGGCAGUCAUGCGUCUGUGAAUGGAAAUACUUACUGGCUUGGUUUGAGUAAAGAAGAUCCAAGUGGGAUUAUCUUAAUAUGUUUUGAUUUCUCAAUAAGAGAUUUCGAACUGUGUCUCUUCCAGAGGAUUCAAAAGGUCAUUUUAAUCACAGUGAUGUGGCUUUAUCAGUGACUAGAGAAGGGCAACAACUUUGUAUGUUAGCUACUCAAGUAUUUGAAUUUACUAAAACAAACAUAUCGGUGGCAACUAAAAGUGAGAGUACUGGAGCUAUGUCAUGGAGUAAGUUCCUAAUAGUGUCGGGAAGAGAUGCAUGCUAUCGUCCUCAGCCUAAUAAUAGGAUGAGUUUCUUGGUCGACCAGGAGAAUAAAGUUGUAGUGUGUUGUAAUAACAACAGAGUUUCUAAUAACAGGAUACACAUUUUGGGAGAGGAUAAAUACAUAGAAGUGUAUCAUACAGAAAAAUCUUCUAUCCCAAUUCUCUCUCUCUCUCUUGUGCUUGACGGAAUCCAUAAGUUUUGGAGUUUUAUUUGCUAUUUAAGAUAAAAUAUGCAUUCAUUAUUUCUCUAUUCACAUUGUUGCAGGACAGUAAUCCUGAGGCUUUGGGACUCGUAGCCUGUUGUAAUCUCGCAGUCUUUUUUAGAAGCUCACUCAUCAGACGAUGAAAAUUACCGUUGCUCAGUCUAUCGAAUCUGUGAGUUUGAUAAUUUUCACAAACUUUUUCUUGUAUCUUUAAACUUCAUUGAUACCACAUAAGAUAUAUUGACUAAAAGGCUGGACACGGGCAACUAGUACUUUGUUUCUAAACAAGUACUGCUUAUCAAGUACCAAAAAGAAUCAUGUAAAUUACCUGAUUCGCUUGCUGCUUGUCAGAAUCUAAUAUUUAUUUUCAAAAUACUUGAUUACUUACAAGUAAUUGAAGUCAAAAAUAUAAUCUUGUACAAAGGCAAUAAUAUGAGAUUUGUUAUCUUUUUAUCAAAUACGUUUUAUUUUUAUUAAAUCCAAUAUUUAUCUGCUAUUACAAUGCAAAUAAGAAAUAUUUUUUUCACAAAUAACAAAUAUUUUUAAAACAGGUGACAAGUAUUUUUAAAUGUACACAAGUAACAAAACAUGAUACUUGACUCGUAUUUGCAAGUAAUAAAAUUUGUUGGUUUGUUAUUGGAUUUUACAACGACAAGUACUUUGCACUUGAUUUUUUAAAAUUGGAUUGAGUAAAUCCCCUAUAUAUUAAUUGAGGAACAUUUGAAAAGAUGUAACCUCAAUUUUGUAUUAAUUAAAAGAGGCCCCAAUGCAUAGGUGGCACUCAAUUAGGUAGUCAAUUAUAUUCAAUUGAAAAAUAAGUAGGUCCACAUUCGAUUUUUAUAUAUUGUUAGAUACAUAAGUUGGUCAAACUAUAUGAUAUAAUGAUAUGAUAUGUUAUUUUCUUUCCUUAAAUAAAACCUACGGAAUUACCAUAAAUGACUAAUAUAUAUAUAUGACAAUCAAUGAUUUUAAUAAUAAAGAUUUGAUAACAAUUUAUAUCUCCUCCAUCAUUUUUUGUUUAAUUUUAUAUUAUUAAAAUAAAUUAAACAAUCAAAUUAGCAAUAAAAAUAAAAUUUAGAUUUUUUCGUAUAUGUUAUAUUUUGAAUUUUUAAAAACGACAAUAAAUGACUAAAACUAUUAAAAUUAUUAUGUUAAAAAUUAAUGAUCAAUGGUUUAACAUUUUUAUUAUAAGAAGAUACACAUGAUUUUAAAACCAUAUGAGUAAAAAAUAUCAUUUAAUAAUAAAAUAAAUAUAUAUAUAGAUUAAACACUAUAUACCAUAAGAUUACAUAAAUAUUUUAAUAUUAAAACUUUCAAUGAAUUUUCAAGAACAUUUAUAAAUUAUAAACUUAUUAAAGAUUUCAGAUUGAAAAUUUUGUUAUCGAUGAUUUAAAUAUUUUGUUAUAAAACGAUAUGAAUGAUCAUAGAACCGUAUGAUUAUAAAUUCUUAUUUAAUAAAUAACUAUACAAAAUAUAUUAUUCUUAGAAAAAUAGGUUGGUCCAUCUUAACUUAUAUUACACUUUUUAUUAAACUAACUAUCGAAUUGAUAAAUAACGUACCAAAAAAUGUUUUGCAAUUUCCUUAAAUAAAAGCUACGAAAUUACCUAAUAUGAUUAACGUAUAUGUGAAAAUUAAUUAUAAUGAAUAAUAAUCAUUUGAUAACAAUUUUUGUAUCUUAGUUCUUUUUUUUUUUUAAUUUUAUAUUAUUAAAAGAUAUUUAAAAAUCACAUUAAAUAUAUAAUAAAAACAUUUAUAUUUUUUCUUAUAUGUUAUAUUUUGAAUUUUUUAAAACGUCUAUAAAUUAUUAGAAAUUUGAAGAUCUCCACUCUGAAAAUUUUGUGAUCAAUAGAUUAUUUUUUUGUCAUAAUAAGUUACAAAUGAUCAUAAAAUUGUAUUAAUAUGAACUUUUAUUUAAUAUUAUAAGAAGAUACACAUGAUUUUAAAACCAUAUGAGUAAAAAAUAUCAUUUAAUAAUAAAAUAUAUAUAUAGAUUAUACUAUAUACCAUAAGAUUACAUAAAUAUUUUAAUAUUAAAACUUUCAAUGAAUUUUCAAAAACAUUUAUAAAUUAUAAACUUAUUAAAGAUUUCACAUUGAAAAUUUUGUUAUCGAUGAUUUAAAUAUUCAGUUAUAAAAUGAUAUGAAUGAUCAUAGAACUGUAUGAUUAUAAAUUCUCAUUUAAUAAAUGACUAUAUAAAAUAUACUAUUCUUAGAAAAAUAGGUUGGUCCAUCUUAACUUACAUUAUAUUUUUUAUUAAACUAACUAUCGAAUUGAUAAAUAGUCUACCAAAUUUUUUUUUUGCACUUUCCUUAAUUAGAAGCUACGAAAUUACCUAAUAUGAUUAACGUAUAUAUGAAAAUUAAUUAUUAUGAAUAAUAAAUAUUUGAUAACAAUUUUGGUAUCUUAGCUUUUUUUUUUUUAAUUUUAUAUUAUUGAAAGAUAUUAAAAAAUCCCAUUAAAUAUAUAAUAAAAACAUUUAUAUUUUUUCUUAUAUGUUAUAUUUUAAAUUUUUCAAAAUGUCUAUAUAUUAUUAGAAAUUUGAAUAUUCCCACUCUGAAAAUUUUGUGAUCAAUAGAUUUUUUUUAUUUAUAAUAAGUUACAAAUGAUCAUAAAAUAUAACGCAUAUGAAUUUUUAUUUAAUAAAUAUUCAAACUAAAUAAUAUAUAUAUAUAUAUAUAAAUACUAAUGAUUUAAAGCAACAAGAUUGGCUGAUCAAUUUAGUCGUCCAGUUGAAAUCUUUCAAAAGUAUGUGAAAGACUAAAGUCAAAGUAAAUAUAGAUUUAGAAUAGUAGUUAUAUUUUACUAAUCGAAAUACCGAAAAAAACCGAACCGAACCGAAACCAACCCGAUAUCCGGAUUGAACACCCUUAAUCCAAAUGAAGCCAAACUAUUAUUUCAUUCUCCAAAAUAUAAUAAAAAUAAUAACUUAAUCCCGCGCAAAGCGCGGGUCUUAUCCUAGUAACAAGUAUAAACCAAGUAAAUAAGUAAGUAAUCAUGCCGCCCCUGAUUAAAAUCAUAAUAGUAGAUAAUUCAGUAGUUACAUAGUAAUACAUAAAAAAGUCCAAACAAUGAUUGGUGAUGUCGUGCAACCCAAGUGACCUUAAGUCGUACACACGUUCACCACCAUGUUUAAUAAGAACUUUCUCUGCAGCUUCACUAUUAUCUUCUUGAUUAUUCAAUAAAAUGUUUCUUUUUACAAAGAAUUGAGCUAAAAAAGUUUAUCAGCUAGAUCUGGGAAUAAGGAAUAAUAAGAAGUAAUAUUUAAAUAAUGAAAUUAUUUAUGUAGAUACAUGCCAUGUUAUUAAUAUGAGUGGUGAGAGAUGAUGCCAUGUUCUUUCCCGGGAAAACCUCUUUUUUUCCUCUUUCCCACAAAAAGAAAAACAAACGUUCCGUAACUUUUGCCAAAAAAACCAGACCAAAUAUAGUAAUGUCGUCAUUGAAUUGAGUUCUCGGUUUCACGGUAAUAGAGAGAGAAAGUGGUUUCAGUUUUUUGUUACCUUUCUCCUUCUUUCUUCUCACGAGUUUGGCCUUCUCUCUCGCCAAAUUAAACAACGACCUUGAUCAGAAAAGGUCGUUUCUAUUUGAAAGAGGAAGAAGAAGAAGAAGAAGGUAGAGAAAGCUGGGUGAGACCAAGGAAGGAAGGAUGAGCACCACGUCCAGCAAUGGAUUGCUCCUCACGUCAAUGUCUGGACGACAUGACGACAUGGAAGCUGGAUCUGCCAGAACCGACCAUUCUGAUCACGAGGAGCUUGAACACGAUCCUGAUGAUCCUUUCGACCUUGAUAACACCAAGAACGCCUCUGCCGCAUCUCUCCGUCGCUGGAGGGUGUGUUUAUUUUUUUCUUUUCUUUUAGUUAUGCGUUUGAUUUGAGAGAUUUGAUCGUGAGUCUUGACAUGGAAUCGAUUUGUGAAAACUGCAGCAAGCGGCACUUGUGUUGAAUGCAUCACGUCGGUUUCGAUACACUUUGGAUCUGAACAAAGAGGAACACUAUGAGAAUCGAAGGAGGAUGAUCAGGGCACAUGCUCAAGUCAUAAGGGUUUGAAAGCUUUUUUGAUCUCAUCACCAUUUCUUGUUCUGUUCUUUGUUUCUUGAUCUCACAAAUCAGUAAUUUUUCUUUAUGAAUCAGGCAGCAUUGCUUUUUAAGUUGGCUGGAGAACAACAAAUUGGUGGUAUGUGGCUCUUUUGACAUAAGUCAGAACAAUUCUGUUUUUGUUUUCUUAUAAUCUCUGAUUUCUUCUGUGAUUGCAGCGUUUGGAUCAUCAUCAUCAACAACUCCAGCAACUUCAACUGGUAACUUUGACAUUGACCUUGAGAAACUUGUGUCAAUGACCAGGAACCAAAACAUGUCCAAUCUACAGCAACUUGGAGGGGUGAGAUCUUGCAUGCAUUUUUUUUGUUAUAAAAUGAAAAGGAUUUUCAUGAAACUAAAAAAUUAACUACUACCUUUUUUUAGGUCAAAGGUGUUGCAGAGAAGUUGAAGUCAAAUCUGGAGCAAGGAAUUGAGGAGGAUGAGAAAGAGGUGACAGAUAGGAAGAAUGCAUUUGGAUCUAACACUUAUCCAAAGAAGAAGGGCAAAAGCUUCUAUGUAAGCAAAUAUGAGUUGUUGUUUUUUUUAAGAUUGUUUAUAAUGAGCUUGUGGAUAACAACUCAUAAGUUUUUAAACUUUAUUUUGUCCAAAAGAUGUUCCUCUGGGAAGCUUGGCAGGAUUUAACUCUAAUCAUCUUGAUCAUUGCGGCUGUAACAUCACUGGCACUGGGAAUAAAGACAGAGGUGUGUUUUCAUUUCAUAUAAGUUUCUUCUUAAUGUUCCAAACUUGGAACUCACUUCUGUCUACUCUACUUUCUUUUGGUUACUACUUCAUCAGGGUCUGAAAGAAGGUUGGCUUGAUGGUGGAAGCAUUGCGUUUGCUGUCUUGCUUGUCAUUAUGGUUACAGGUAUGAACAUGUUUUUUUGUCUAUUUUCUUAUUUUGUGUAUUUGUAUUUUAUGUCAAACAUUCCUAAUCCUGCUCUCAAACUUUUGAUUCUUUCAGCUGUUAGUGACUAUCGCCAAUCUCUUCAGUUUCAAAACCUCAACGAUGAAAAACGAAAUAUACAACUAGAGGUGCUUGCUUUAACAUCUUUGGAUUGUUUCCAAAUUGAAAGUUUUUUGAGCUUCUAACUAAGGAAACAAAAUACUCUUACAGGUCAUGAGAGGAGGGAGAACAGUGAAGAUUUCAAUCUAUGACGUUGUUGUGGGAGAUGUUAUACCUCUUAGAAUAGGUGACCAGGUCCCUGCGGACGGAGUGCUAAUUAGUGGCCAUUCUCUUGCCAUUGAUGAAUCUAGCAUGACCGGUGAAAGCAAGAUUGUGAGUUCAUCCUUGUUCAAUAUGUACUCAUCUUCUCUUUAUAUUUUCUAACACACAUACUUUUGUUGCAGGUUAACAAGGAUCAAAAAUCUCCUUUUCUAAUGUCUGGUUGUAAAGUAGCUGACGGAGUCGGUAGUAUGCUGGUAACUGGUGUUGGAAUCAACACUGAAUGGGGAUUAUUGAUGGCAAGUAUCUCAGAGGAUACUGGUGAAGAAACUCCCUUACAGGUAUGUCAUCUUGAUCACUUUGUUAUUAGUUUAUGGUCUACACAAUGUCUUGAAGAAGCCUAACCAUUCCUUUUUUUUUGUAAUCUUAUAAUAGGUGCGGUUAAAUGGUCUUGCAACUUUCAUCGGUAUAGUGGGGCUCACCGUGGCUCUUGUUGUCCUGGUAGCUCUUCUUGUGAGGUAACCUUGGUCAAUAAAAGUUUUGCAUUACAACUUCAUGCGAUGUUGAGGGUUAUAUAACCUUGAGUUAUUUUUUUAGAUAUUUUACUGGAACUUCCCAAGAUUCUAAUGGAGCAACUCAGUUUAUCAAAGGGACGACUAGUAUCAGUGACAUUGUAGAUGAUUGUGUAAAGAUAUUUACAAUCGCAGUAAGUAUUCACUCCACAUCCGUGAUUUUCUUAUUCGAUAGACAUAUGAGUUAAAGUUAACUCUGGUAAUUGUUUUAGGUUACUAUUGUGGUUGUGGCAGUGCCUGAGGGACUUCCCCUAGCAGUUACCCUUACGUGAGUCUUACUUAAUAUAAUCUACUCAGAAAAUAAUUAACUAAAACAUAGUUGUUGAUCUGCUUUUUAUUGACCCCAUGUGUGCAGUUUGGCUUACUCAAUGCGGAAGAUGAUGGCAGACAAAGCUUUGGUAAGAACCAAAACGUGUCUUCUCGCUUCAGUGAUUUCUUGUUGAUUAUUGUCUGACCACGUUCCGUUUGCUAACAGGUUAGGAGGCUUUCAGCAUGUGAAACCAUGGGCUCAGCAACAACAAUCUGCAGUGACAAAACUGGAACUUUAACUUUGAAUCAGGUCAGUAAUAGCAUCAAUGCAAUGAGAGUUUUUUUUUUCAUAUUAAAACCAUCAUAUACGUGUAGUUUGCUAAUUUUACCCCUUUUUCAAAAUUAUAGAUGACAGUGGUUGAGACAUAUGCUGGAGGAUCAAAGAUGGAUGUAGCAGACAACCCCUCUGGGCUCCACCCUAAACUUGUUGCCUUAAUAAGUGAGGGUGUGGCACAGAACACCACAGGAAACAUCUUUCAUCCCAAGGUUGGUUCUCUAAGCUCAUACUAAGGUUAUCAGAUGAUGGAUGGUUAGUGCUCAUGUUGUUUUAUUGUAGGAUGGUGGAGAGGUGGAGAUUUCUGGAUCUCCCACUGAGAAGGCUAUUCUAUCUUGGGCGUAUAAGGUAUCUCAAAUGUUUAUUUACUCUGGUCCUUCUUUGACAUAUUUUUCAUUAUGGGCAAUAUAUUUAAAGAAACUAUUGUUGCAGUUGGGGAUGAAAUUUGAUACCAUCAGGUCGGAGUCUGCUAUCAUCCAUGCUUUCCCUUUCAAUUCUGAGAAAAAGCGUGGAGGUGUUGCUGUUCUUCGAGUAAUUUCUUGAUCUUUUUCUCCAUUUAUAAGAUUAGGAAAUUAGUAAAAAAAUUUGGAGGCAUUGAAGUAAGUAUUGGUUCAGUUCACUACACACAUGCACAUCUUUUCAUUGCUACUCAAUGAGGAAGGUCUCUAAAAAUAUUGUGUGAAGCUGAUGAGGAGUAUAUUAACUCACUGCAGGGUGAUUCUGAAGUUUUCAUUCAUUGGAAGGGAGCAGCGGAGAUAGUUCUGGCUUGCUGUACACAAUUUAUGGACUCAAAUGGCACUCUGCAGCCCAUUGAUGACCAGAAGGUGAGGUGCCACAAAAAAUUGUAAAGAAAAUGUGUUAAACCACUUGAAGGACACAAUCUGUUAGCCUAAGAGGACUAAACAUUUGCCUAUACUAUCUUAUUUCAAAUUUCAAAAGUACUUAUGUUUGGAAAUUAUAUUACAGGAGUUUUUCAGACUUGCUAUUGAUGCCAUGGCGAAAAAUAGCUUGCGGUGCGUUGCUAUUGCAUGCAGAACGCAAGAGCUGAACAAAGUUCCCAAGGAACAGGAGGACUUGGAUAAAUGGGAUUUACCUGAAGAUGAAUUGACUUUGCUGGCUAUCGUUGGUAUAAAGGAUCCUUGUCGUCCUGGGGUCAGAGAAGCAGUGAGAAUUUGCACCAGUGCUGGUGUUAAGGUAAGCUCCUUUGCCUCUAUAAUGGAAGUUAAAUGUUACUGUAAUGUGGUGUAGCUGGUCAACCCAUCUGUAAUGUUUACAUGUGACAUUUGUGUUAUUUAGGUACGUAUGGUGACUGGAGACAAUCUUCAGACAGCAAAAGCAAUUGCUUUGGAGUGUGGUAUACUUUCUUCAGAUACAGAAGCCGUUGAGCCUACUAUCAUUGAAGGAAAAGUGUUCCGUGAGCUAUCUGAAAAAGAGAGAGAACAAGUAGCCAAGAGAAUAACGGUAAGAACAGUCAAAGGAUAAUGUGAGCUUACUGAGGCUAUAUUCAAAAAUUAACUUGCGGGUAAAAUGCAGGUGAUGGGUAGAUCCUCUCCUAAUGACAAGCUUUUACUUGUUCAAGCACUAAGGAAAAAUGGAGAUGUUGUUGCUGUCACUGGUGAUGGUACUAAUGAUGCUCCUGCUCUCCACGAGGCAGACAUAGGUCUCUCUAUGGGCAUAUCAGGAACUGAAGUUGCGAAAGAGAGUUCAGACAUCAUCAUUUUGGAUGACAAUUUUGCUUCAGUAGUAAAGGUUAGUCUUAGAGAAAAUAGAAAAUAUUAUUUUUAGAUUAUCCUUUAUGCCUUUCCUAAUAGUGUAACUCUGUUUACUUUUCUAGGUUGUUCGAUGGGGCCGUUCUGUGUAUGCAAAUAUUCAGAAGUUCAUACAGUUCCAGCUUACUGUAAAUGUUGCAGCUCUUAUAAUCAAUGUUGUAGCAGCUAUGUCUUCUGGUGACGUUCCUCUAAAGGCUGUACAGGUUAAUUAAUCUUCCCCUGCCUUUAGAGCUUGAUCCCGGAUGGUUGAACUUUUAAAACACGUUAAAGUGUGUUCUUUUGAUACAGCUGCUUUGGGUCAAUCUUAUUAUGGAUACUCUUGGAGCGCUUGCACUUGCUACAGAGCCACCAACCGAUCAUCUUAUGCACAGAACCCCUGUCGGAAGAAGGUGUAAUAAACAUCAUGAACAUGUUUUAUUCAAUAUUAUAGUGGAACAAAACUAGAUAUAUUGUGGUUUUUGUCUUAUAUUUGGUGAUGUUCCUGUGUCUGCAGGGAGCCUCUAAUUACAAACAUCAUGUGGAGGAACUUGCUUGUGCAGGUAAGUUGUUCAGAAAAUUAAGAUAGUACUAUCUUGAUGUUGAUUUAUUUACUAAAAUAUUUUUACAAAGUGCAUAUCUCUGAAACUGAUUUGAUGAUGUUGCAGUCAUUAUACCAAGUGGCUGUCCUCCUAGUUCUCAACUUUGCAGGCUUGAGCGUGCUUGGCUUGAAACAAGACAGCGACCAUGCACAUGCUGUGGAAGUCAAGAACACUAUGAUAUUCAAUGCCUUCGUUAUGUGUCAAGUAGGCAAAAUUAUCUCAUCUUUCAUCUCCUUGUUCUUAAAUCAUAUGGAUUGGUUUUAAUCAUGCAAGUCUUGCAGAUAUUCAACGAGUUCAACGCAAGGAAACCUGAUGAAAUGAAUGUAUUCAGUGGUGUAACUAAGAACCCUCUCUUCAUUGCAAUUGUUGGAGUCACUUUUGUACUUCAGGUAAGACAAUAACACAAAGCCUCUUUGUCUCUUUGACACUUGAUAACCUAUUGUGGUUGAAAAUGCAGAUAAUCAUUGUUACUUUCCUUGGUGAGUUUGCCCAUACCGUUCCACUGAGUUGGCAACUAUGGCUUGCUUCUAUUGUCAUCGGACUGGUCAGGUAGGUUCAUCAUUUUCUUCCAACUUGAAACUCAUAGUGGUCAAGGAAACUAUAAAAAAAAUCACCAAUUUAUUUUCUCUGUGCAGCUGGCCACUUGCAGUUGUUGGGAAACUGAUUCCUGUACCAAAGACUCCAAUGAGCAUCUACUUCAAGAAACCGUUCCGUAAAUACAAAGCCUCAAGAAGUGCAUAAACACAUUACUAGAGAUAUUCAUGUUCCUCAUACUGCAAUUACAGAAGCAAAUAACAGAUGAUGAUAUAUAACCUUGUGAUAAUUGGCCUAUACCUCUAACCUUCCUUUCUUUUAAAUGGUAAUAGUAUUUUCAAAUGUAUACUGCAAGGUCCAAUUCUUUUGUCGCUUUCCAUAUUUCUUCUUCUUCUUCUUGUAUGAUGUAAAAGUGCAACUGUGAAUUGAAUUGGAUUUGGGGUUGUACUAGUGGGAGUUUGGCUCAGUCUUCGCCUUUUCAAAAACUGUUGUGUUUACAUGGAGGAUUCUCUUUUUUUUUUUCUUUAUGGUUAAUACAUUCUAAAACAAUCUCUCACCGUUUCCUUAUGUUCAAUACAUUCUAAAAGGUUCGUUAAUGCUAAUACUACUUUCAAUGCAUUUCUCUUUUGCAUUUUUAUCAGUUUCCUAGUGUUGUUAAUAAAUAAAAAAGACUACAAAUACAUAAUCAGCAGGGCCGGUUCUGGAUAGUGAAACAUUUGCAACAGGCUUCCAAAUUCUUUUAAAAAACGUUACAUAUGAAUAGAUUCCGAAAAAAAAAUUUUAAAUCCCCAAAUUUGUGAAAAGAAAAAUUUUACAUAGACACAGCAACAUGCCUCCAAAAUCUCAGGGCGAUCCUGAUAAUCAACAAACAAUUUCUUUAAAAGAGUGUGCUAUCUUAUGUCUAACUUUAUAUUCUCCGAUUAUUACGAUAUUGUCCACUUUGGGCCUAAGAGGCAGGCCCGCAUAAAUUUACUUUUGGUUUCCAUCCCAAAAGGCCUCGUACUAAUUAGAGUUGGACAUCUCUUUAUAUAUUAAUCUCUUUAUAUAUUAGACACUCUUUGUCUAAUUCUCCAAUGUGGGACUUAGUUUGUUAUCUCACAAUCUUGGUUGAUCAACAAAGCAAAGUCUUGUUUGAUGACCACGAAACACAACUAUUUGUGUUGACGUGUCAUGUGACUUCAACAUCGAACAUCAUAGAGACCUGCAUGUUUAUGUGAGACUCUAACUAUUUGGGCUAAUUUCUAAAGGCCCAAUGGGUCGAAAGUGAGUUGGGAGUUGACUUUUAAUCUGAGAUCAAUCACUUGCGUUUCUCUCAAUCUGCAGCGACUCUCUCAGACAACUUUCGAUCUUCUUCUUCAUCUCAAUCUCGUCGUUUCGAUCGAUCAAAAGAAUCGGAGAUGGCAUCGACAGCGGCGGUUCCGUUCUGGAGAGCGGCGGGGAUUUCGUAUAUAACGUACUCAAACAUCUGCGCGAAUCUGGUCAGGAACUGUCUGAAAGAACCAUUCAAGGCUGAAUCCAUGAGCCGCGAGAAGGUUCACUUCUCCCUCUCCAAAUGGGCCGAUGGAAAGCCCCAGAAACCAGGUAUCUUCUUCUUCUUCUUCUUCACUCCCUCCUUUCCUCAGGAUCCUUGACCAAUGCUCUUUCUUGUUUGAUCGAGAUCUAGCUUCUUGUUUCUGUGUGAUUCUCUCUGUUUCAAGAUGGUAAAGAUUCCUACUUUAAUUAGAACCCAUCAAAACUAUGAUUGAUGAAAGGGAUUUUCAUUCUGAAAUGGCUCUUUUGAGCUCACAUUUGUGUUCGAUAUUUUACCUCAGUUUCGUUCAGACAGUGGACUUACACGUGUGUUGAUGUAACUUUUGUGUGGUUUUUUUUUGUUGACAGUUUUGCGGUCAGACGCACCUCAAGUUUGAGGCUUUUGAUCAAGAUAUGGUUUUCUGAAUGGGAUAAAAGGGAUGCUGUAACGUCUCUCUCUCUUUGGAUAUUUUGUUUCCUUUUUGUUGUAUUCGAUGAAAGAUUGAUACUUUGCCAAUCAAUAAUGCAAAAACAUGGAGCUUCUUCUGUUUCUUUCUUAAGACGAAUUAGUUUUUUGUGGAUUUCUUGAGUUGUAUGUAUCUCUUGUCCAUUUGAGUAUUAACUAUGGCCUUUCUCUAUAGCAAAUGAACCCUGAGUUCAAAUCUUAAGAAAUGAAAAGUAGAAAGAUGCUUAAAGAGUCGAUUAAGUGAUUUGACUUUCUCAAAAUCUGAUAUGUAAACGAAGGCCAGUGAGAUUCUGAAAUCGUCUCACAUUAGAAAAAUGUGAUUAUAAUUUAUGAAAAUUGAAAACUAACACACCAUAUAACUCGCUUUUGAUAUCACGUCCGUAAUCAACUAGCCUAAUGCAACAGUACACUGGCAUCAGUACACUUCAUGUUAUGACUGCAUCUGGCUCUGUUCCCUACAUAAGGCUCUGACCAAAAUGGUGUGUUUGUUCAUCAACCUAAGAACAGAGAAUGAUCAUGAUGGGAAAUGCUCAAGAAUUACAGCCAUGUGAUAGACCAUGAGAGCAGCAUUCCACAUAAAUGUAAUGUUAUUGAUGUCAUAGGCCAUGCAGUUAAAUGAAGUUGAUGAAAUGCAUCUGGAUGUCAUCAUGUUAUGAUGUUACGUAACGUUAUGUUAAUUCCUAGCUAACAUAGCAAAUGGAGUUUCAUUGGGGAUGGAUUAGUCAAAACGCUGAAAAUGAAUUCCCACAAAGUAAUGCGUUAAAGCAGCAACAAGACAAACAAAUGGGCAAACCGAACUCCUAUAGAAUUAAUGUAUAUAUGUAGCAAAACUAAUAAGAGCUGUCACAUGUUAUAUUUGAUGAGUUCAAACUAUAUGCAUCCGAGCAAGAAGCAAUUUUGAUACUUAAAAUGCCAAUUAUGGUAUGGAUGCAAAAUGCAGUUGUUGGAAGAUGAAGAAGAGAGUUAACCACCACCCUUCAAGGAACUACAGAAACGUCAGAGCUCGUUCUUGUGCUACCAUACCAGUAGUUAAACACGUUUUUCUACCUAAGAAAAAUCCAUCUGCUUGUUCUCACCAACUAUAUAUAGGUUCAUCAAGUUUCAUAUCUUCUUCUGCAUCUCAUCACUUCACGAGUCCCAGAUUUUUCACUUGCUGCUCUUUCAAGAAGUUGCUUCAUCCCUACAAGAGGUAACUUUGAGCCAUUAAUUUAUCUCUUCUCCCAUCAUAAUCAUGCUCGAAUGACUCAAAAUAUUUUCAUCAUAAGCUAUAUAUGUUCUUAUAUGGUCCAUUUUAAUUUGCUCCCAUCUUUCGUGGCCUCUACGUUGCAUAAUCUUUUUUGUUUUAGUCAUAGCCGUAUAUAUCCAUCCCCAUGCUGAAACAAAUCUCAUUAAAUAUAACAGACUUAGAAAAAACAUGCAAGUGUUGCGACAUAUACUUUCACAGCUUUGCAUUUUCCACACGCGCACUCCCUGAGCGCGUGGAUACAUUUUUCUUGAUUUAACUUUUUUUUUCCUUUGAUCAGAAGAAGACAGAGAUACGGUUAUAGAAGCCAUGAAACGAUGCAAAUGUCCUGACCUCAAGAUACAACUCCCUAACCGCAACGUGGCUCUCGCUGUCCCUCUCCCACUCCCUCCUCCUUCCUCAUCCUCCUCCUCCGCCGCCAAAAGUUUAUCCGAGCUAAAGAGCCUGCACCGAAUCGGAAGUGGCACCGGAGGAACGGUCUACAAAGUGAUCCACAGUCCCACCUCGCGCCCCUUCGCUCUCAAAGUGAUCUACGGGCACCACGAGGACAACGUAAGGCACCAGAUAUGUAGAGAGAUCGAGAUCUUGCGAAGUGUUGACCACCCUAACGUCGUGAAAUGCCACGGCAUGUUCGAUCACAACGACGAGGUCCAUGUCUUGCUCGAGUUCAUGGACAAAGGGUCCCUCGAAGGAAGGCACGUGUCGCGAGAAAACGAGCUCGCUGGUCUCACGCGCCAGAUUCUCAGCGGGUUGGCGUAUAUCCACCGCCGCCACAUCGUCCACCGCGACAUCAAACCGUCGAAUCUUCUCAUAAACUCGGCCAAUAACGUCAAGAUUGCUGAUUUUGGAGUGAGUCGGAUCUUGGCGCAGACCAUGGAUCCUUGCAACUCCUCCGUCGGAACCGUCGCUUACAUGAGCCCGGAGAGGAUCGACUCCGAUCAGAAUGACGGACGUUACGACGGUUGCGCCGGAGAUAUAUGGAGCCUUGGUGUUAGCAUCUUGGAGUUCUACUUGGGGAGGUUCCCUAUCGCUGUGAGUAGAGAAGGUGACUGGGCGAGUUUAAUGUGUGCUAUUUGUAUGAAUCAGCCGCCGGAAGCUCCGGCGACGGCGUCUGAGGACUUUCGUCACUUCAUCUCUUGUUGCUUGCAGAGUGACCCUCCUAAGAGGUGGUCUGCGCAGCAGCUUUUGCAGCAUCCUUUUAUAGUUAAAUCAAGUGGUGGUCCGAAUCUUCGUCAAAUGUUGCCGCCGCCGCCUCCGGCGUCUUAGUUUUUUUUUUUGCUUUUCUCUCCGGUGGUUGUGAUUGGUCAGGGGAGAAACUCGGUUUGAGUCUUGUGAAGCUGCUUGAACUCGUUUUGUGUUUGGUUGAUGAUAAAAUAUUUAUAUAGAUAGUUAUGAUUUGUGAAUGAAGAUGAGUUUGGCUUUGUUAUUAUUGUUCAUGUCAGGAAGUAAUCGAGGAUCUUCCAGAUUCAUUAAUAAAAAGCUUCUUAUUUUUAUUUCGCUUAUAGAGAGAAUCAUUGUAAAGGCUUCUGCCUUCUUUGUUUCUUUGUCGUGUAUGGUUUUAGAUUGUCUAAUAGUUGCGGAAAAGUUGAAAGUUUGUCUUGUCAGGAAAUCAUGUGACUCUCUUCUAAUUGGUAGAAUUCAUAUGAAAAGUUUUGUUUGUUUCUGACUUUGAGCAUGCAUGAAAAACCUCAGCUUUUCACCUGGUUUCUUGUAGUCUUAAUGAUUUAGUGAGAUUAGGAAUCUAUUCUUAUUCAAGUGUUCAGUUCAGGUUCUAGCGUCUCAGCAUCUACUAAGACAGUCUACUUCAUGUUUAUUAUGUUGGUCAUUAUGAACAAAAGGUUUCUUAUGCUCUCAACUUAAUGAUUCCUUCUUCAAGUUCUAUAUGACUGCUGCGAUAUUUCAGUUUCAGUAACUAGUUGUUUUAUUUUCCUUUAUAUAUUUGAAACUCAUGUUAUUUCAAGAUCCUGCUAUGGGAUAUUUAAUCUCGACUUCGACCUACAUUAAACUUCUCUUCUGUGCCACUUCCCACUCAUUGUCGCUUUAGUGUCGCUGUGUCGGUUUAGUUGCAAUUCCUCUUAGGAGGAUUGUCAAAUGAUAAUAGGAAAUGUAUCAUGUCGCUGGGGUAGCUUAGCUCUAGGUUCCAAACACAAACAAAAAAAACGAAGCCAGCGUUUAAUAUAUCAGAGUUUGGAAAUUACAAAGAUGAGGAUUUGGAAACCACCAAACUCUCCAUAAACUUUUCUCAAUCUUCCUGAAACUUUUAUACAUAUAGAAAGCAUAGCCUCACUAAAACACAGUCACAUGAGAGUAACUAAUACUUUAUAAUACUUUAUAAAAUAUAGAAAUGCGCUUGACUUUACAGGAUUGAUGUUUUGAAAUCAAAUCGGAUACCAAAUAAUUGCUUCUUAGUGACCUUAGCGUUGGAGCUUACACAUUUAUCCACAACUCUCUUAAAUCUAUUUAGGGUACUCAGACUCCAGUUUAGCUCGGAGUUCCUUCCUAAGAAUCUUUCCGGACACUGCUUUCGGAAUAGCUUCUAUGAAAAACACCAUCUUGAUUCUCUUGUAAUGAACCACCUACAUGUAAGAUUAUCACACCAUUCAUUUAAGACAUGCAAAAGUAUCCAUCUUUGUGUGCUUUGCGUUUGGAGAGUGGAAGUAAAAUCUUUACCUGUUUGUUGACAUAACUCUUGACAUCAUCUUCGGUUAAAUGAGACCCUUCUGAUCUAACCACAUAUGCUACUGGAACCUCAUCAGCAACUUCAUCCUUCAUCCUGAAAAUUCAAGCUUCAUUAGAAGCUACAAAUAGUGGUGCUUCAAACUGGAAGGUUUUAGAAUUGUGUUUUAAAAACUCACGCCACAACUGCAGCAUCCUCGAUGUAAGGAUGAGAAAUAAGUAAUGCUUCAAGCUCAGCUGGAGCCACUUGAUAGCCUUUGAAUUUGAUAAGUUCCUUUAACCGAUCAACAAUGAAGACCUCAUCGUCAUCAUCCACAAACCCAAUAUCUCCUGUGUGUAACCACCCGUCUUUGUCUAUGGUUAUCGCAGUAGCCUCCGGAUCAUUCAAAUAACCUAACAAUAACACACUCUUUUUCACCAUCAAAGUAUUUUUCCUAUGUAAGUAAAAUUAUUGAUUCGUUUACCUUUCAUGAGUUGAUCACCUCGGAUGCAUAUUUCGCCAGGUUUGUUGCGUGGUAAAGAGACUCCGGUUAUGGUGUCGACCACUUUCAUCUCGGCGUUUCUGAUCACAGUCCCGCACGCACCAGACUUGGUCUUGAAUGGGUUCUUUGCAAACGCUAAUGACUUAGCCACCGUUCCUGACUCAGUCAUUCCAUAACCCUGAAAACAUGUUUCCUUUUUUAGUUUAGUCAUUACAAAAAUGUGAAAACGACAACAGUUGACAAUUGUCUACCAUAAUAACAUCCAUACUGACGAAGACAGGAACUAACGAACCACAGCAAAAGUCAUCAAAUAAGUUCUGUCUGAAAAAUUAUAAUUAAAGUAAACGGAAAUUAAUGUGUGACAGUCUCAUCAACAUGUGUUUGUCGUCCUAGUUGAAUUAAAUUUGAUGGGUACUGUUAGCGUUUUAUGUAUGAUCCCACUAACCUAUCAAUAAGUCAACACUGGAGUUUAGUUUUCUCAACUGCAAUUAAAACAACUAUAAGCUCGAUCUGGAUGGGUGAUUCUUAUAAAGAGAUGAGUAAUGAAUGUGUCCCCAGUAAUGGACUAAACGGUGCAAAUAAUUUAUUACUCACAAAUUAUCUAAACUACAUUAUCUAAAGGCAAUGUUAGAAACCAAACAGAGAAAAUGCAGAACAAAGGGGGCAGUAUGAUCAGAGUGUUCUUUAUGUUGGAUUACGCGAUGUAAUAGAUGGAUCGAAUCCAAAGUUCUUGUCAAUGACAAAAGGCGUUUGACCACAAUAGAUGGCAGCCAAUACCAAGAUCGUUCUAGACUGUCAACGAAGUUGGAUAAGUUAAAGUAUCAAGACCAUGCUUGCAAUUGUGCAAGUUGGCAUCGUGUUAUUACUUUUUCUAGUUUCAAGUUCUUAAAAAUGUAUUUGUUAUUGUUUUUUCAUGUAAGCUUUAACAACUGUAUUCAAUCUUAAUGAAGAUAAUAUUUAGUCGGAAAAAAAAGAAGAGUGUUCUUUAUUUGUCAGUGUGACACUAGACUCCAUUUAAAAGCUAAUAAUCAUUGUACUCUAUCUGUUUUAUAAAAUGUUUUUUAUUUAUUACUGUACCUUUUAAUCUGAUGCAAAAUUUGAAUAACAAGGAACUUGUUGGAUACUUUAAUGUUGGUUUUGUUAUUCUAUUAUCCUAUCUUAGGAACUAUUUAGUGAUAUUCAACCAACCGGACGAAACCAUAUUGGCUUAGGUACUAAUUUAUUGUCUUCAGUUUAGUUGUUUAAUUUUUUUUUUAAUCGAAGGUGCUAUGCGUUAAAUCGAGACUAAUCUCACAAUAAAAGUAGUCAACCUUAUUUUCUCAAGUCUAAAAUGAGUUCUAUAGUCGUUUACUAGACAGGAACUAAGAAACCGCAGGAUGAUAGAUAUAUCAUAUAUCUAGUCUAAUAACAUGAGCUACGUAAAGUUAAACUGCUUUUAGUCUAUAAUAUAGUCGGUUAAAAUUCUCAAGAAAAUAAAAUAUAUACAUAUAUAUAUAGCCGGAUAUUUUGGACCAAGCAGAAACUAGCCUAUAGAAAAGUACUUCAAUUAAUGUUUGACAAAUUUAUAAGACUAGAAUGAAUCAUCCUUGUCAGUUCUAACUAAACCAGCUAAACUGGUUAAUCUCUCAAAGUCUACCCGAAAUGGCAAAGUUUGACCAAAUAUGAACCAUCCUUCUAUCUGGUCGUCUAAAUGUACAGUUUGCUAACUUUUUUUUUGCUAUUAAUAGAAUAAAGUACACUUGUCAGAAUUUGGAAGUGUUGUUUUGAUGUGAAAUUCCAGAACAAUAUGUUUUUGUUUGGUUCCCCUUUAUAAUUCGCUCGCCCACCACGAGUUACUUAACUUUCAUCUAACUGGUUGACUUGCAUAGUCAAAGAUGACGAGAACGAUGGGUAGUCAAUUUCUACAUAUUAAAACAAAUAGUGUAUUAUUGGUACUCUAACAUUGCCAUUACAACCCGUAUAUAUUCGAAAUCUGAUGAUGCCGAUCUACACUGACAUAAAUAGUUUUAAAGCUUAGGUUUGGUGCAACCACCACUAAUUAAUCCAUUUCUUUAAUAUUUAGACCACGAACUUGUUAGUGUAUCUACUACCUUUUGGUCAAAGACUUUAGAAUAUGGAUGAUAAGUCCUCGACAGGAGAUAUACCUUAAGUUUGAUCUCAUUGAAAACUUGUAUAGUCAAAGAUAGUGACAACGAUAGCUAAUCAAACGACUACAUAUAAUCAAAUACUAUUGGUACCUCUAACAUCGCAAUUUACCAAUAAAUAUUCGAAAUUUGGUGACGCUGAAGAUCUAGACACUAACAUAAAUAGUUUUAAAGCUUAGGUUUGGUGAACCACCACUAUCAGUCCAUUUCUUAAAUAUUUAGACCACGAACUUGUUAGUGUGUCUAUUUAUACAUUAAAAUAUUCCAUUUGAUUGAUUAAUCACGUUAGGCAAUUGCACAUAGCGACAAAUCUUCACCUACCCCCAAGCAUUUAUAGUACUAAACAUUACAAAUGUAAGUUAAUCUUUAAGUACCACAUAUCUAAUCGAAAUAGCUAUACUAAUCCAUUUUCUACUCAAUAAUAAUCCACGAGUUAUUAACUAAUUGCAAAUUCUCAAUAAUCAUGUUUCUCAGACUCUGUCCAAUUGAAUUAAAUUUACGAAGAAAUCAGCAAAAUAGUUGUGAAAAUGAAAGGACACUAACUAAAACUGACCUGUCCAAAUAUGGCAUUGGGAAACUUGAGACGCACGGCGUCUUCAAGCUCCUUCUUGAGCGUAGCUGCGCCUGAAAGCAUCAUCCUCACUGAGCUCAGAUCGUACUUCUCCGUCUCCUGAGACUUAACAAACGCUAGAACCACCGGAGGAGCCACCGGAACUACGGUGACCUUAUACCUCUGAAUAAGCUCCAUCACUAGAUUCAACUCGAACCUCGGAACGAUCAAGAUCGCCGCUCCCGUCCUCAUAGCCGAGAGCAUCAACGCGUCGAGCGCGUAAAUGUGAAACAUAGGGAGGAAACAGAGAAUGACGUCAUCUCCGGUGAAGUUGACGUUAGGGUUUUCUCCGUCUACUUUCUGAGCGAUGCUCGUAACUAAUCCCUUGUGAGUGAUCAUCACUCCCUUCGGAAGCCCCGUGGUUCCGGAGGAGUACGGCAUCGCUACAGUGUCUUCCGGCGAGAUCUCCGGUUUAGGGAGCUCUGUUUCGUCCGCUUGAGCCAGUUCCUUGAAACUCACGCAACCGUCAGCUACUGGAACUGCGUCGUUUUCAUCUUCCACGCAAACGAUCAAAACGCUGUCGUUCUUCAUGUUUGUAAGUUUAUCUACGUAACAUGACUUAGUGAUGAUCAUCUUCGUGGCGGAAGCUUUUGCCUGUUUCUCUAUCUCCGACUCUGUAUAGAACGGAUUCGCGGUGGUGGAUACGGCUCCGAGGUAAGCCACGGCGAGGAAGGAGAGAGCAAACUCCGGCGAGUUCGGGAGAAGGAGCAUGACGGUGUCACGUUGGCGGAUCCCUAGCCGAUGGAUCCCGGCGGCGAUACGCCGUAAACUGAUUUGUACAUCACCGUAGGUAAAGAUACGUCCGGUAGCACCAUCGAUGAGACAUGUGGCUGUGGAGUCUCCGUCGCCGUCGCCGGAGAACUUCUGGAAGACGUAAUCGGUGAGAGGAAGAUGAUUAGGGAUGGAGAUGUCGGGAAGUUUGGACCGGAAAAUGAAUUCAUGAGAAGGCUCUGGAUCUGUCUUAAGAGGAAGUUCUUGAUCUGUCUUCUUUGUGACAAAAAGCGUUUGUUGUUGUUGUUGGAGCACCAUUUGUGUGUAGACUCUAAUUCUUCUACUUAGAAAAAAUAAAAAUUCUUUUCAAAAUGUAACGUUUUAUUUUUCUUUUUCGUUUUUCCUCUUUUGAUUGAGUUUUAUAAUGGUACGUUGGGUUUUAUAAAGAAACUGGACGAAGCCGAUUUUUUUUUAUAAUUAUUAUAUCCACUAUGAUUUGUUUCCAUUACAUGCGAUUUUCUUAAUGAUUUGUCUAUAAACUAUUGGUCGAGUGCAGCGUAGUUGGUGGGUGGGCCAUUUUACUGUUGAUUUUCAACACGGCUUUUAUUAUUCAAAUAAAGUUUCUUUUAUCUUGUAGGUGUCAGAAAAUCUUAUUAAAAACUAUUGUACAGGUAAUUUUUAUUAUUACGGUGAAAUUAUAUAUUUUUUAUUUUAAGUGUAUAUAUAAAAGUAAUUAAAUUUGGCUUAAUUAGGUAAAUUUAAACUGUAUACUAUGUUUUCUUCAUUUUUUUUUAAAAAACGUGUAAGUUGUAACUAAGUUUUGUACGCGAGUAAAUCCACGUAGAUAUAUAGAGUUUGAUUGCGACUCCUGCUUUGCUUGAGAGGGAUAAUAUUUGCUUUUUUGGUCAAUAAUAACUACUAUAAUAUUAUCUGUCUUUUAAUACGAUAUUAUUAUAUUUCUGUUAUGGAAACCUUGAGACUACUCCAAAAGAAAAUAAUAUUUAUCAGAAGAUCGGUCAAAAAAAUUAAAACAGUUGAUAUGUAUAAAGUGAGGAAUUUAUACUAUAAUGUAUUUAUUCUAAACCAUGAAAUGUAGCCUAAUAUCUUGUGUUAAUUAAUAUUAUUGAUAUGUAUAUUACCACCCGGAUUUCAACCCUCCAUAUUGCACAUUUUAUGUUGUUGAACAAAAAAGUGUACACAUGUAAUCAUGUAUAGUAAAAAAAAUUGUCCGGUAAGUUUCAGAGCUUGUGUGAAAAAUUUCUUUCAAUCCAAUAAUUACCGUUAUCACCUGAUAUGAAAACAUGCACUUAACCUUUAACUAUCUUCUAAAUAUCGUUUAAAAAAAUAUUACAUCAUUAACUAUAGCGAGCGUAAAAAUAUCAAAGCGUGGCAAGCGAUUAACAAAAUCAAGACCAAACAAAAUGAAGUGCUUGAAGCCAAACAAGUUGUAACCAAGUGGUUAAGUUUGGUUGGUGAUAUCAUUUGUCAUGGAUGUAUUGAUUUGACUAUUAUAUUGUCUCGUGUUAAUUUACUCCGAGUAAUCUGUUUUCCUCUAUUGUGAAGUGUUCGUGAGCAGAACAGGGUUAGCAUCUUCGUUGUGAUGAAGUUGGUUAAGCCACCCCUCCAUUUCCUGUAGCGAAGGAGUCCUCGUCGCAUCUUUCAGUAAGGGUCUUUCCCGGUUUGUUUCGCUACCCUCUUAAUUCCUCAGUGGCUUCGUAUUGGAUGUUUGAAGCAAUAUAAAGAGGUCGAUGUGUGGGAUCAACCGGAUGAAGAUGCGGGGGAGCGGUUUGUCCCGGGUGGUUCAGUUCUUUUGGUUCUAGGGUUCAGGGGUCAGUAUCGUGUGGGAUCUGACUCGGGUGUGAUGCUAAUUUGUGUGGUUCUGGCUCUUCAUCUCUUCAUCGUGAACAGAGGUUCAGAUGAGUUUCGGUCGUUUAUGUCUUUCACGUCGCUUGCUCACUUGUCUGAAUGUUGUUCUCCGCAAGUUAUCCGGCUGCUUUAGGCUCCUUACUAUUAUCUUUGGCCUUUGUUCAUUAAUGUAUGUGGGUGUAGAGGUAUGAUCUUGCUUUAGUCUUUUAAGUUAGCAUUCAGUUUGUUGGUAGUUGCCUGUGUUUGGGCUUAAGUUACCCUUGUAUGGGUUUUAGUUCCGGGGAUUUCACUUUGUUCCGGUUAUGUAUUUCAUCAGGUUCUAAUAUAAAUCAGUUGACGGAAAAAAAAAAUCUGUUUUCCUCUAUUAAAAACACACAAUCUUAAUUCGUUUCUAGUAGACCACCUAUAUGGAUGACCACACGAAUACGUAGACCAUUGCAUGAAUGAAUUGGACAUUAGUGAAUGAAAAACCUUUAACAAACGAAUUCGAAGUUCUCUUUACUUGAAGCUUGCUUUUCUUUUUAGAUGACUCUUAUAAUUCAAGUCUGCAUUAAAACUUGAAUAUCACAUUCCAAUAUCUGCCACAUUCGUAAACCAUAUGCAUCUUCUUCACUAUACGAUACAAUAAUGUAACAAAAAGGAACUUCUUAUAAAACAAUUUGUAAAAAGGGGAUAAUUCUUGAAACUCGGGGUAAUAGAUUCCUAAAAGAAAUUUACUCAUUAACCCAUAAUUACGAAGGGUAGAGACAAUUCCUUACACCUGAUUAACACAAAUCGAAGUUGCAAUAAAUAUUAACUUUUCUUCCCAUUAAAGAGAGUAUGUGUUGCUUUAGCUUCAGUAGAAAAUAUGCAAUCCAAUAGUAGGAUACUUUCCAACUUUUUGAUGGCAUGGUUGUUUACCUUGAGAUGCAAGUAUGAAACCACUACCAAGAACUGUUUAUGUCAAUGAGUGGCUUUAUAUGUUUUUAAUCAAAUUACUAGUUGUGGUUAUCCAUUCGUAUCCCGUUUUUGGUUACCCCUAAUAUGACAAUGACAUAAAUAGUUGCAAAGCUAAUUCUUAUGAACCACCAAUAGUCUGAUUUAGACCACAAAGUUGUUGUAUCUCUCUAUCAUAUAAAUAUAUUACUGUGGGUAUUUAUAUUAUUCAGCAUAUCAACCCCAUCUUAUACUACAUCUGUAGUGAUGGGUCGUUCUCCCCCCCCCCCCCCCCCCCCCCCCCCCCCCCCCCCCCNNNNNNNNNNNNNNNNNNNNNNNNNNNNNNNNNNNNNNNNNNNNNNNNNNNNNNNNNNNNNCCCCCGGCCAUUCUACAAUUAUGUCAUACUUAAAACAUGGUACCAUAUUUCAACCAAAUGAAAAUAGAGUAAAUUAGUUAAAUAUACUAACAAAUGUGGGAUAUCAUUGAAUGGGGGGGAAAAUAGUAAUGUUGGGGGGAAGAAAAUUGGAAGGAUAUAGGGUAUGGAGUGCAAAUAGGGGAAAAGUGGUGUGUAGGGAGUACAAAUUUUCAUGAAAAUAACUUUGAGGAAAACAAAAAAAUACAACAAUUAUUAAUUAUUCACCACACGAAUACAAGCAACUAUAUUGCACUACAAGAAAUAUGAAUAUUGGUAGCAGUUCGUGGUAGCACGAAUUCACGAACUGCUACCAAAAGUGUUAAAAUCGAAUCACAACUCUAUUCAAGCUUUAAAUUUGUGCUACGAAAAAAUUUCAUUAAAAGGAAACCGAAAAAUCAGUUUCGUAGCUGGAAUGUCAUUUUGGAGGUAAAAACACUUGGUGAAAUUUCACAUUCGCACCAAAAAAAAUAAGUUAUUUUUUACAAAAGAAAAAAUAUUCAUUCUCUCCAUCUUCUUCUUCUUCAUUGUUCAUUCAGAAUUGAUCUAUCAUUUCAAUCGAAGAAACAUGAUCCAUUGGCCUUGUUCGAAGUCGAAUUAAGGAACCCUAAUCCGUCAAGCCACUGGAUCUCGUUGUCGUAGACUCUUCGUCUUCUUCCCAAAACUCCUCCAUCCACGGCGAAUUGGCUCCUUCGCCUUCCUCCGUCGCUCUUCGCCACCAUCAGUUUUGCCAUCUCUCGCUUCUUCUUCUUAUUCCUUUCGUAUUAUCAAUUUCAAUUGCUCAGGUUUGUAAAAGCUUCCACCUUUCUUCAAUGGUUCCUCCACAGGCUUACGAUAUUCUCACUUAUACUAUCUUAAACUUUUGGGCUUAGGUCACUGAGGAGCAGCUUGAUGGUUUGUUCAUCGGCUUUGGGCAGGUCUAAGUCUUCUUUACAAGUUCAUCUUUGUUUGUGGUGUGUUCUUUAUCAAGACUAGUUUUGGUUGUUUAGGUUGUUGAAUGUUUCACCACAUUCUGGGUCGGGUCUUGCUUUGUCUCCGCCGUUUUCUCCACCGCUUCAUAGAUCCGCCGUGUUCGAGCUCGUGGCCGCCAAUCUAAGGUACGUUUGUCUCCACUGGAGUUUUGACUGUCUUGUACUUGCUCAUUUAUUUGUUUCUUAGUUGGUCUCAGUGAACAUACGUGAUUGAACUUGUAGAACUUAUCUAAUAUUGAGUUGCUGUUUGUAUUGUCUCUUUUUUUUUGUCCAAUCUGAAGUUGUGUGAAGAAAUCUGUGGAGAUUAUGAGGAAGUUCUCAGAGCAGUACGCUCGUUGCUCGGGAACUUACUUAUGUGUUGACAAAGGAGUUACUUCUGUCGUCAUCAAGGUUUGUAAAUUAACCUUAAAGUCUCCAACUUUCUGGUAGAAUUGUGUUGACUCAGCUUUCUGUUCUUUGUUCAAAGAUUAUAUGAUUUGGAGGAGAUUGGUUCUUUCUACUUGUAGAUAAUGACUUGCCAGAAGAUGUUUGGCGUUGUUUUCUUGAUAUAUAUACAGUAGGCAGUAGCUAUUAGAAAUCUUGAUGUGGGAUUUUGUUGAACAGGUGGUGUUUUCAUCAAAAGUUUCUAUCAUUCGAUUGGUUAUGAACUACUUGAAGAAAAACUGAGUUAGUUCAUGUGAAGAUCUUGAAAUCUAGUGCUUAUUAACUAAUGAAGAUGUUGAGUUUCUUCUUGUAAUAGUGAAUGAAUCUGCUGAAAAAAUUGAGUCGGUAUUAAUUAAAAUCUUCAGUUCUAGUGCUUAACUAAACCAAAUGGAUAAGUCUUCUAGUUGUAGAAUAGUGAUUCAGUGAUUCUACAGAAGAGAUUGGUCUAUGCAUGUGAACAUUUCGGCCUCUAGUUCUUAGCUAAUGAAGUGGUUGUUUCUGGGAACGGGGUAUGACUGAGCAUAAGGAUUCGUAUAGUGCACCGCUUUGUCCUUGCAGGUGAUCUUUGGAAUUUUUUUGAAGAUUGAAGAUGAAGCCCCUAGACUUAAUUGUUUUUGUUUAUGUGUAUUUUUGGAUGAUAUAUGAAAUAAUGUAUGUUUUAUAAAUUUAAUGAAAUAUAAAUUUUUAUUUAUAGAUCAAAUUGCCAUGUUUAAAUGAUAAUUAGAGUUUUGUUAUAAAAUAUUUUAUAUAUCAUCGUAUAUUUUAUAUAGUUGUGUUAGAUGUAAAAAAUCAUAAUUUAUUGCAAAAUAAUUGUAUUUUAAUUUAUACUUUUGAGUGUAAAACACUAAAACUAAAGCAUAAAAAUGGAUUUUUAUUAUAUAAUAUUUUAUAUAUAAUAGUUUAGGGGUUUAUAUGUUUAGUGUGAGACUAUUAUAUGGAAUUUGGUGUACUUCAUGUUCCUAAACCCUAAACAUGUUUCUAUACCCUAAACAUUAAUUUUAAAACUUAAUUUUUUUCAUAAUAUAAUUUAAAUCUAAAACUUAAAUUCAAAAUCUAUAGUUUGAUCAUAUUUAAAAUCUAAUCUCAAAUUUAAAAUUUAAACCUCAAACACUAAAUCUUAAAUCUACACCCUAAAUAUAAUACCCUAGACCCCAAACUUAAACCCUACAUACAAAGUCAUACUAAAUAUAAUCUUUUCAAAUAACUACUAAACUAAAACCUAUUCCUUGUAUAAAUCACAACUUUAUUAAUCUUUUUCUUUUCAAAUAUUUAUCUCAAGUUUUAACUUAGCCACAAUUCUAUUUCACAAAUCUCAAACCAUAUACUUUAAACUCAAUCACAACUAUAUAAACUAAUAGUCAACAAUUAUAACAUUAGUUAAUAAAAUUUUAAAACUAAACUUAUAAGUAUUAAUUUAAAAUUUUAAUUUGAUUUCAAACAUCAUAUUUUAAAAUUAUAAACCAAAUUAUCAAAAUAUUUAAAAUAGUACAGCAAAAGAAAAAAACAAAAAGAAAAAAAAUUGGCUAGCUAUUAAAAAAGAAAAGAAAAACUAUGGGCCAAUCAACUCUCAUCACGCGGAUAACCUUCUGCACCGUAGGAUACAAUUAAAUGAAUGGCUGAGAUGUUUUCUUUUCUUUUUUCUCUUAUCUUCACAGAUCUCUUUUCUCUCCAUCUCUCUUCCAUCGACAAAUCUCUCCUCCAUCUUCUAUUUUCAGAUUUCAUCUCCUCUAUCUUUAUUCUUAAUCAUCUCUCUCUCUCUCUCUCUCUCUCUCUCUCUCUCUCUCUCUACUCCCCUCACUCACGAACAAGAUUCAUCUCACACAGACACGUUUCUGUGUCUCAGUCUCGUAAUCUUUCUCUCACAUACGACACAUCUCAAAAAAGCAGAUUAUUCAAACCAGGCAGGACGACGACGACCGCUGGUUCUGUCUCUCUCUCUCUCUCUGUCAGUUUAAAUCUGAUUUUAUUUGUUUUGUUUGUAGGGUCGAUUCAACACAUGAGAGGUUGGAGAAAAUGAUUGUACAUCCGCUCAUCACAACCACCACACCAUCGCAUCUCAGAUCCAUUUUCGUCGGUCUCCUUCUUUCACUCUCUCUCGAACUCCCUUUCUCUCUCUCUCACUGCUCUGAUUCUGGUUUUGUUUAUCUGCUCUUAGUUUAAGAAGGCGUAGGAGGCUGAAGAAACUUGAUGGUGGUGGUCUCGGCAUCAACAGUGGUGGUCUCGGCGUCGACAAUGGUGGCUGAGCGCGGUUGAGGAGACUGAAAAAUCUUUACCGUGGUGAUCGUGGCUGGUGGUCUUGGCGUCAACAAGGAGUGCGCCGGAGAUUGAAGAAGAACGUGGUUUAGUUAGGUUUGGUUAGGGUUAGUUAAUAAACCGGGUUUGGCUGUAAACCGGUUUUUGUAAUAAACCGAUAUCAUCUGUAAACCAAAAUUUUAAUAAUAAAUAAUUUUAUUCUCAAACCAUUUAUAUUAGAAUUUAAUUUUAAUUUUAAACGUGGAUUAAAAUAUAUUAAUUUAUAAUUUUAAUAAUAAUUUUAAAAUAUGAAUGAGAAAUAAUAACAUAGCAUUGUAUCCAUGUCAUUAUAACAUAUUUUACAGUAUUUUAGAAACGUCAUGAAAAGAUACAUUAUAUCACUAAACCAAUGCUAUAAAAAGAUUAAUCAGUAGUAGACGAGUAACGCUACAAUAUGUCUAUUUAUUAUAGCACACAAAAAAACGCUAUGAUAUGUGGGGGGUCUAUUAUAGCUGCGGCUGUCACGGCGUUCUUCGAAACGCUACAAAAACGAUAUGAUAGCGUUUUUCGGAUGCUACUAAUACCGAUUUUUCUUGUAGUGUUGAGUGAUUUAAUAUUCUUUGUUUAUCAACAAUUUUUUUGUUUGCGUGUAUGAUAAGAUAACACAUUUGACAAUUUUAACUUAGGUUCAUCAGUCCAUUAGCUAGUCUUGCUCUUAGAUCCUUCCUCAAUAUCUUCCCUGAUGGUGCUUUGGGAAUAGAGUCAGUGAAGAACACCAUCUUAACUCGCUUGUAAUGAACCACCUAUAUAUUAAGUCAUACAAAGUUUACAUUAUUGUGUGUUUGCUGUAUCUAAAGACCGAUAAUGGAAUCUUAAACCUUACUUGUUUGCAGAUAUAACUCGUGACAUCAUCUUCAGUUAGCUGAGACCCUUCCGAGCUAACUACAAAUGCUACCGGAACCUCACCAGCAACUUCAUCCUUCAUUCUGAAAUAUUAAAUAUUAUUACGAACAUGAUCAUUAGUGUAUCCAAUUUGGAAAUUUUCAGAUUUGCUUUCUAAACUCACGCGACAACGGCAGCAUCCUCAAUACAAGGAUGAGAAAUAAGCAAUGCUUCAAGUUCAGCUGGAGCCACUUGAUAGCCUUUGAAUUUUAUGAGUUCCUUCAAUCGAUCGACAAUGAAUAUCUCAUCAUCAUCAUCCACAUACCCAAUGUCUCCUGUGUGUAACCACCCGUCUUUAUCUAUGGUUGUUGCAGUAGCUUCCGGAUCAGUCAAAUAACCUAAUAACAUCGCACCAUUUUUCACCAUCAAAUAUUGUUUUUAGAAAACGUACAAAGCAUUUGUUUGUUUACCUUUCAUGAGUUGAUCGCCUCGGAUGCAGAUUUCGCCAGCUUUGUUACGCGGUAAAGAGACCCCCGUAAUUGUAUCCACCACUUUCAUAUCAGCAUUUCUGAUGACAGUCCCACACGCCCCGGACUUAGUUUUAAAUGGGUUCUUUGCAAAUGACAAUGACUUAGCCACCGUUGCUGACUCAGUCAUUCCGUAACCCUGAAACAGUGUUCCUUUUUGUUUAGUCAUCAAAUUUUUUUUUAAACAACAACAUUUUUCAAUUUCCCACUAACGAAGACAUGAAAUAAUGAGAAAGUAGCAGUAAAUAAUACAUAAUAGUCCAGUCUGAAAAAUGUUAUUAAUAAAACCAGAAACUAACGUUAUAUGAAUUGCCCACCCACAUAUUGAACAUGGUGUUCAUCAACAUGUGGUACGUCCUUUGUUAAUGAAUUAAAUUUGUUAGUAAUUGUUAGUCUUUUCUUGUUCAUCACACAAUCUAUUCAUAAUGCAAUACAUUUCUUUUGUCAAAUCUAUAAUUCAAAUACUUCCAAAAUCAAUUCAUGAGCUAUAACAUUUAUUUGGAUUGGUGCUUCUUAUAAUUUUAUAAAGAGUCGAGAUAUGAAUGUGACACAGUAAUGGGCUAAACGUGCAAAAUAAAAAUAAAAAUUAUGACUAACUUAUAUAUAUAUAUAAAUAUCUUCUUAACUAGUUGAAAUGUGUUAAUUCAUGUAUUAUGCAAACAAUAUUAAGUUAAUUGUAACACGUUUCACACGAUGAGCCAUUGUUGGAUGUACGCGGUUUUAAAAUAAAAUCUCUAUUUAAAUAAACUUUUCUUUUUUAAAUCAAACAAUUCACAGUUCAUGAAUAUAUAUAUACAAAUAUUAUAUCAAACCAACGAGACAAUCAGAAUAAAAUCUUCACAACCCGACCUGGCAACCACACUCAUUAUUGGAGUAUCUAUACAUAAAAACUCCACUUGUCUAUAAUUUUGUGCUAACUAUUCCUGCUUAGUUGACUAUAAUGAGAUGACAACAAAUGCACGGUAAGUCCAACGUACAAAAACGAAUUAUAAAGAAGCAAAAACUCCACAAAUCCAUUUUUUCUAGUAAAUUUACUCACCGCUAACUUUAUUCAGUAUCAAUAUUCCUAUUUCUUGCACUUUAACUUGUAAAGAAAGUAACCCAAUCUAACCUGACCAAAUAUGGCAUUGGGAAACUUGAGGAGCACGGCUUCUUCAAGCUCCUUCCUAAGCGUAGCCGCGCCUGAAAUCAUCAUCCUCACGGAACUCAGGUCAUAUCUCUCCGUUUCUUGAGACUUAACAAACGCCAAAACCACCGGAGGAGCCACCGGAACCACCGUGACUUUGUACCUCUGAAUCAGCUCCAUCACCAGAUUCAACUCGAACCUCGGCACGAUCAAGACCGCCGCACCCGUCCUCAUCGCCGAAAGAAUCAACGCGUUGAACGCGUACGUGUGAAACAUCGGGAGGAAACAGAUGAUGACGUCAUCUCCCGUGAAGUUGAGGUUAGGGUUUUCUCCGUCGACUUUCUGAGCGAUGCUCGUAACUAAGCUCUUGUGAGUGAUCAUUACGCCCUUUGGAAGCCCCGUGGUCCCGGAGGAGUACGGGAUCGCAACCGUGUCAUCCGGCGAGAUCUCCGGUUUAGGAAGCUCUGUUUCAUCAGCUUGAGUUAGUUCCGUGAAACUAACGCAACCGUCAGCUAACGCAACGGUACCGUUUUCAUCAUCCACGCAAACUAUCAGAACGCCGUCGUUUUGCAAGUUUAUAAGUUUAUCGACGUAACAUUGCUUCGUAAUGAUCAUCUUCGCGGCGGAGGCGUUUGCCUGUCUUGCGAUCUCAGCCUGCGUGUAUAACGGAUUGGCGGUGGUGGUGACGGCUCCGAGGUAAGCCACAGCAAGGAAGGAGAAAGCAAACUCCGGUGAAUUCGGUAGAAGGAGCAUCACGGUGUCACGUUGGCGGAUCCCUAGCCGAUGGAUGCUGACUGCGACUCGCUGUGAAUUGAUUUGUACAUCGGCGUAGGUAAAGAUACGGCCGGUGGCACUGUCGAUGAGACAUGUGGCGGUGGAAUCGCCGUCUCCGUUGCCGGAGAAUCUCUGAAAGACGUAAUCAGUGAGAGAAAGGUGGUUUGGGAUGAAGAUAUCAGGAAGUUUAGACCUAAAUAUGAUGUCUUGACAAGGUUCUUGAUCUAACUUCUUUGUAAGAAAAAGCGUUUCUUGUUGUCGGGACAACAUCUUGUGUGGAGGUUUGUACUUCACAACAGAAGACUUCUUUUCAAAACGUAUUGUUUGCUUUUUAAGGGUUAAAAAAAAACUCUCCAAGGUUUUGCAACUCUGCAGAUAACUCAAUAAUGCAGGUCCGUCAGGUUUGAAUCAGAUUCGACACAGCUCAUCAAGGCCAUCAAAGGAGAGAGCUCUCUCAAAGAAAUUUAUGGAAUUGUGGAGGACAUGCAUCCUCUAUGGUGUUUCUUGCAUUGAUGAUUUCUCUUUCUAUUGGAUCGUGAUCAAAAUGUAGUUGAAGACUUGAUAGCAAAGAAUGCUGUAGUUGUUGAGGAAUACUUUAAUGCUCCCACCUAUCUUAAGUUAAUGAAAAAGUUGUGAUUCAGAAAAAAAAAAGGGUCAAAUGACAAUAAUUCAACAGGUACAUAGGACAAUAUCAUGUAUAUUAAAUAAUAUGGACUUGAACGUGCAACAUGAGCUCUGCAUAAUCAACUGUCAUUAUAUAGUUUUUUUUAAGUGACAAAUCAUACCAACUAUCAAUUAAAAUCUCAAAUCCUCUCUGGCUGAUUUUGAUUAGGAGUAUCCUUGUAGCCAUUUGUAAACCUUUACCUUAUCUUAUUUCUAUGCAAUUUGUUGACUGAAUUCUUGAUCUAUAUAUGAUCUCAUGAUCAGUGGUAUCUACAAUUCUAUUCUCUCUCACUUAUCAUGUCUAGUUCAUGCAAUUUUAUUCCUGAUUUUUCACCCAAUAAUUUAAGAUGCUUAUUAAUUUGGGUGAAUGCUAUAUUGAGCUUUUUAGGGCAGUUGCUGAAAAUAUAUCAAGCAUUAUAUCGUUAGGUAACAUUUUGCCACCAAAUUUACCAAAACAAAUUUCAAAGAAAAAAAAAAUACAACUUGUUUUAUAACAUGAAUACAAAGAAAAUAGAGCAAAUAUUUUUCUGCAAGUUUCCUUCUUUGUUUUUGAACAACGAAUAAAAAAAGAGAAAAAGACCAAAAUAACACUAAAUCAAGUUUUUGUUCCCAAACUAGCACUUAAGGUCAAAAGUCACAAAAAUGGCACUCAAGGGGUAGAGUUUAGGGUUUAGAGUUUAGGUUUUAGGGUUUAGAGUUGAGAAGUGAGGUUUUGGAGAUAAGAUUUCAAAUUUUGAAAAAUAAAAAAAUUUAAAUUUUUCAAAAGAUAAAAUGCUAUUUUGGUCAUUUUAGUUUUUGAAUGCUAUUUUUGUGAUAUAAACUUAGAAAUGUGCUAUUUUGGAGAUUUGCCCAUAAAAAAUAUGACAAAAAAAUAAUAACGAAUAGAAAUUACAUGUAUGCAUGAUGCAUAUACAUUUGGAUCAUUUUAAUCUUAUGUUCAUCAAUACAUUUGAUAGUCCGUCCUGCUCUUAGAUCAUUCCUCAAUAUUUUCCCUAAUGGAGCUUUAGGAAAGGAAUCAGUGACACAUAACCUGAUUCACACACACACACACACACUUCAAAUCGGUUUGAUUCAAGUGUCUAUACUCUAUGGAUAGUAAUUGCGACAAAUCUUCACCUAACAUAUGUUCUACUGCGCAAAUGGAAUUAUUAGGGGGUGUUAGUGGGACUUAGAUUUCUAUAAAAUUUGUAGAUUUUAAAAGCUGAGAGAUUUAUUAAAUUUGUAAAGAAAAGUAGAUAAUUUUGUAUAUUGUGAAAAUCUAUGAAAAUAAAGUAAUGUAAUGACUCUAAGAAUUCAAGAAAAAUUUCUCAAAAUCUUGUUUUGUGAGUUAAAAUGUUAAGAAUUCAACUCCUAAUAAUAUUUACUUUAAUAGAUUUGUAGAAUCAUUAAAAUCAAAACAUUUUUAAAUAACAAAUGAUUUUGUAUAGAAUUAUAAAAUCAUCAAACCAAUAAUAAUAUAUUUUAAUGAGAAUGUGAGAAUCUACAAAACCAAUAACACUAGACUUGAAAAUUCUAAGACUCAUUAUAAAUCCAAUUCCCACUAAUACACUCUAAUUCGUCUUAUCUAUAUUCGCUCCAUUUCAAAAAAAAGUGUAGUGCGUGUAUAGUUUGUAACUUUUGUUUUCUAAUUUUUUUUAUCAUUUUGUAUUUCAAUCCAAAACUUGAUAGGUAGCUUUUCACCUAUUAAACAAAAAGUUUAUAUGAUGAAUUUUAUUUCCGCCUUGAAACAUGAUUCUACCUGAGAUGAUCUUAAAUUAUUUCUAAACAAUUUGCUACCCAAAGUAUUGAUCUAUUUUACGACCUCAUUCAUGUUUAGUGGAUUUCAUUCUCUCUGUUAUCGUAGACAUUUAGGUCUUCUUGUUCAAUAUUUUAAGAUGCCUUUUCCUCUGUUGGUGGGAUGGAUGUUACUUAAUUUGCUUUUCUCUUUUGGGAAUUGUUGGUGUUAUAUUCUACCAUUAUGUGAAAGAUUUUGAUACUGAGUUGACGUCAGCGUGUUUAUUUCAUCAAACUUAUCCUCCUCCUUUUUGUAACACUCUUACCUAAUUUUGUUAAAUCAUAUAACUUAAAGAAAGUAGAAACAAUUUCAAACACAAUCAUUAUUUGUUCAAUGAAUACAAAGAAAAUAGAGCAAAAUUUUUUCCUGUCAGUUUUGUUUCCUUUGUUUUUAAUAACGAUAAAUAAGAGUUGCAUGUAUGAUUACACAUUUUAAGCUUAUGUGCAUUGGCUAGUCUUGCUCUUAGGUCCUUCCUCAAUAUCGUCUCUGAUGGAGCUUUAGGCAUGGCCAGUCGGUGAAGAUCGAAUACUUUGUUGAUUCUCUUGUAAAACGCAACCUAACUCACGUACACUAUUUUUUUUUUUUUUAAUGAAUGUAAAAUUUUAUUCAAUCAAAACCUUUAUACAUCAAGUGCAUCUUCUUUUUUGUAUUAAGCUAUCCAUUUACUCUAAAUUCUAUGAAAAUUUUUUAAGUAUUUGUUUCUCUAGUCCCAAACCAUGUACUUAACCCCUCUUCUAAGUACUUUUGCCCCAGCCCCUUUACCAUAAGCAAUUUCAGGCGAAUUGUUUUGUCCACAAACUUUGUUAUAGUACUCGCAGCUUGUGGUUGUUCUCCAUGCCUACGUGCAUUUCUUUCUCUCCACAUUGCAUGAACUGUGGCCUGAAAAGAAUAUCGGAGAAGGAAUUGCUUUGUAGGCGAUAGACCUGUAUUGGAAACCAUCGCUACUAUGUCAUUCCAUUCCGUAGUAAACCCUCCAUGAAGAAUACCUCCCACUAGCGCCUUCCAAAUCUGUUUUGAGAAACUGCAACUAAAGAACAGAUGGCUGCAGGUUUCGUUGGCUUCAUUACAGAGAACACACACCGGAUUAACCAAACCAUUCCACGUCUGCAUCCGAUCACAUGUUUGUAGCCUGUUACGCAAAGCAACCCAGACCAAAAAAGAGUAUUUUGGUGUUGACUGCGAGAACCAGAUGCCUCUACUCCACUCGCAUGAUGAAGAAAAAUUCCGCAGCUGCAGCCAUGUUUUCUUUGAGGAGAACAUGUUCGCAUAGAUUCCCUCCUUCUGUUUCCAAAGAGGAAUGUCCUCAUCUUGGCUAGGUUCGAGCCUCAGUGUUUCAAUCUCAUCCUCAAUCUCAUUAAGAAUCCUCUCUCUAUGCCUUCUUCUUCUAUGAUUUCCCAAAACAUCAGCAACCACUGCAUUUCCAGAGAUUCCCAUUACAAUGCUGCCUCUCUCUCCCAGCACAUCCUUCAGACGACCAAGUUUUGACCAUGCGUCGUACCAAAAAGAAGUGUCCUGCCCAUUUUUGACUUCCCUUCGAAAAAAUUGCUUCGCAGUGUCCCUAAGCCUGAGAAGUUUUCUCCACACCCAUGAUCCCGAGCUGGUAUUUUCCUUUACUGACCAGAAGGAUCCUUUCCGAAUCAAAAAACACUUCACCUACUGGACCCAAAGCGAGUCUUUUGUUGAAUGAAUCCUCCAUAUUAAUUUUAGGCUGUGGACUGUAUUCACUUCCUUCAGCGGCCGAAAUCCCAAACCCCCCUCUUCCUUUGGUAAGCAAACAUCUUUCCAGCUUACCUUUGCUUUACUUGUCUUCAGCUCAGGUCCUGACCACAUAAAAGCUGAGCACAACCUUUCUAUGUCCUUCAGACAGCUGCUAGGUAGCCGAAAUGCUUGCAUCCAGAAGUUUGUUAGACUUGUGAUAACUGAUUUGAUUAGUUGCAAGCGACCAGCAUGUGAUAGAAAUCUCCCCGUCCAAGAUUUCAUUCUUUUGCGGACUUUCUCGACCAAAGGCAAGUAAUCUUGAACUGUCAUGCGUUUUGUGAGCAAAGGGAGUCCCAAAUAGCGCACAGGUAAUUGUCCUGAAGCAAAGGGGAAGCUAUUGCGAAUCUCCUCUUGAUCAGAAGCCGUGGUUCCAGCAAUAUACAGAGUGGACUUUUCGAGACUAAUCUUUAGACCCGAGAUCGCAGCAAAAUCAUCAAAAACUCUAAGGACACCUUCUAUAGAUCGCUUUGUGCCAUCAGUGAAGACCAUAAGGUCAUCAGCAAAACACAAGUGUGUUAGAAGAAUGUUCUGGCAGCGAGGGUGAUAUCCAAAAUGCUUCCCUUCUGCAGCUUUGUCUAGCAUGCGAGAUAAGACAUUGAUGCAGAUAACAAAGAGGUAGGGGGAUAAGGCGCACCCCUGACGCAAGCCCCUCUUGCUUUGGAAAAAACCCGCGAGUUCCCCGUUAACUUGCACUGAGAAGGAUGCAGUACAGACACACAACUUGAUCCAAUGGAUGAACUCCUCCGGGAUGUUCAGAGCUCUUAAUGUGUUAAGGAGAAACUCCCAGUUAACAGAGUCAAAAGCUUUUGCAAUAUCGAUCUUCAUCGCACACCUUGAAGAGAUAUCAUCUCGAUGAUAGUCCUUGACAAUCUCAGUUGCAAGCAGAAGAUUCUCCACUAAUAAUCUGUCUUUUAUGAUUUAAACGCAGAGCCGGAAGUGAUUUAAUGGGGGCCCCAUUCCAAAAGGAAAUAUAAACUUGUUUUAUAGUUACUAAAACUAUAUAUGAAAAAAUCUAUACAACAAAAUAUAUAUAAAAUUUUUAUCUACAAGUAAAUAUAGAUAAUUUAUUUUUAAAUAAUAUAUAGAUUAAAUAUAAGAACAUUAUUUAUGUUUUUUUUGUCAACAAAACCAUUCAUUGCAAAGAUAAAACAAAGAGAGUACAAUGGCUUAUGAGGUUGGCCAGGAAAUUACAUAAAUUACAUAAUCUUGAUUAUUAAUCCUAGCCUUUCUAGCUAAUAGAUCAGCAACCUGACUAAGACCUCUAGGGAUAUAAAAAUUUUAUCAUAGAAGAAUUUGAUUGGACGGAGAAAUGAAAUGCUUAAUGUAUUUUUGGGCUCAAGAAAAUAAUCAAAACAGAGGAUUCACAACCUCGAAAGUGAGAUCAACCGAACCAAAACUAAAUGGAAGAAUAUAUACUUCCUAAAACAAUGUUGAUAGUUAAUUUUGAGUAGGGAUGGACAUAAAUACUUGAUACUCAGCUCUUAUUCGUUAUUGGUUUUGUAUCGGCUUCUAAACGCAAAUAUUUGGCAAUGUCAAAACAAGUAGCAAGUAUAAUAAUUUGAAUACUUGUGUAUAUAGAUCAAGUAACAAGUACUAAAAAACUAAGACUCUAGUUGUGCCCAUUCUUAAUUUUAAGGACUCUGGCAUUUUCCUUUUUAUGAUAGAAAUUGUAUGUUGUUGAAAAAUGUUUCCUCUCUAUUUAAAAUAGAAAACACAUAUACAAUACUUUGAGUAAGCUCCAGGUCACACAGCACAUGACCUUUUUUUUUAUCAAACCAAAUUUGCACUAAUCUUAAAUAUGUUUACACUUCAGUAAAAACGGAUACAAAGAGGCUAUUAACAGCCAAACAAACAACAACAAUAGUAACAUAAAAGAUAGAAUAGCGAUACAAAUCACAAAACAGAACCAUAUGAAAUCAUAUUACAACAACAUCAUAAGAUUCUUCAAAGAACGCAUCUAGUGUAACCUGUAAAACCACACACUGCACUAUACGCAGAAAAAAGCAUUCGAUAAGAGGAAGAUCCUUGCAAUACCAACGAAACUUGUUCAUCUAAUUCACUCCAUAUAGGAAGAAAUAUUAAAAAAAAAAACUGAUUCAAACGAGGAAAAAGUGGGAAAUCAUAACCCGCCACAUCUAAAUUAUAAUAUAGGGGGGGGGGGUAAGGUGAGAAGAGAGUGUCUGAGAGCGAUAGUGAUAGAGAGAGAGAGAGAGAUAGGAGAGAAUGAACUGUGGUGAUGAGGCCGGAGCUUCUUCAGGCCAUUUAGAUUGGAGAUUCUCUCAGGUUUCCGGUGAACGCAGCGCUGGUGAAGAAGUCCAAGAAGGUAUUAUUCCAUGCAUUUCUGCUUCUGCUUUAUAAGUUAUGGGUCAUUGUAAAGUUUUCGUCUAUGAUCGAAGGUUUCCUGGAUGUUUGUUUAAUGAUUGUUUUGUUCUUCGAACUAAGUCUUCUGUUUGCAUGUUUUAUGCUAUGUGAUUGUCUAGCUUGGUUUCUAACUAGGUGAGGAGAUGUUGGAUCAUGAGUUACAGACUGUGUCCAUUACAAGAUUGCAUAGGAGCUUCCACUUUAAUCACAUUUAUCUAAAUUGAAGUGAAAUUGACUGUUACCUGCUGUUUCCUCUGCAGUUGAUAUAAUCACAGGUUGACUACAUGACUCUCAAGGUCCAUACCCUUUUUUUGUAUAAUUUUCCUUGUGCAUUAUGUUUCAUUAAAUCAAGAGAGCUGGAUUUGGUGACUACUGUUAUGUUUGGCAUUGGCUAUGUCAAACUAACUGUAUGUGGAAAACUGGACCCAUGGUUGUGUGUUUUUAACAUGUCAGUUAUGGGAUAUCAACGUGGACUCGGGUCCGGUGUCAACUUUCCUGGUCCACGAACAUUUAAAGACCAAAGGUCAGUUUCCUGUACUCUGAGAGAGAGUUGGGUCAGCAGACUCGAUGCAUAACUGAUGACCAUGUUUCCGUUACCAUCUACAGCUCUGUGAUUUAUAUGAAAAUGAUUCCAUAUUAGAUAAGUUUGAAUGUUGUCUAAAUGGGGACGGAUUGCGAGUGGCUACAGGCUCUUACAGGUAUGCUUGUAACGCAUAUCAUCUUCUUUGAUUUUACUGGAAUAAACUUGCCCCACUUUAACAUUGUUUCCAGCAAUCUACAACUUUGGAAGCAAGCAAAAACCCAAUUAGGUAACAAACUGGUACUAGCAAGGUGAAUCUAUUUCUCUCAUUUUUUUCCUUAGUCUAAGUAUUUGAUUAGAUUGAAUAUGUGAUAAAAUGUUAUAGGAGACAAGUCACAACUCCCGCGAGGCCAUCAAGACCAUCACUAAGCAGUACAACAUGCGUGGCUAGAAGAGGUAAGUGGGUUUCAUCCAUGUGCCUUUUAGCAUUAGCCCCUCAAGGGAAUUAAUCAAUAAAUAGUUUAAACAGGAGCAGAGACUCCUGGAAGCGAUAAGAAUGGUAACACUUUUGACCACACAACCAAAUUGCUGCCUCUAGCAUGGCAUCCAACAGAAAACUUGAUAGCUUCUGCCGCUGCUAAGAGUUUGUACAUGUAAUAUGCCUCAAAAAAAGAAGAAAACAUACUCAAAUAACGAAAGAAGGUUUGUUCUUGUGAAAGUGAAUCAGAGAUGCUUAUAUAACAUCAUCAGCUCCUUUAUAUGCUCUCUCUGUCUUUGUUUGUAACAUCCUUGACUCUUUUUCUAACUGAUCAAAUGGUUGGAGAUAGCAAUCACUGGUAAUGAUAUUCAUUUCUUCAUUACAUAACAACUAAGAAAGAUGGCUAUUUUCUGUAAGUUUUUUAGAAGCUUUUACUUGUGUUCUGUCUGGAUAAGUUUAAAAUGUUGGACAAGAACCAGAAGAAGGAAUCCGAUUAUAAGAAAAAAUCGUGAUUGUAGUUAAUUUUGGAAUAUUCUUGGAACUAUUUUAAAAUUACCAUAUCAUGUUUUAUUUAUUUGUUUGUUAUUUUCUGGUAAAAGAUUUCUUGUUUGUAGUUUCUGACGUUACAAAUAAUUCGAUCUUCUCUUAUUAUUCUUUAACCAUAUCAUUCCUUUUGUUUUUCUUGAUAUCUUUCAUUAUCCAUUACAUUUGCAAAACACACAAUCAAAGACUCCAAAUCAAUUAACAACAAUAAAAAACGUUUUUCUUAUUUGAAUACCUCAAGGGAAACUUUGUUUGGUGUACGUGACAGAAUUUUCGAAAAAUUAGUAACUCGAUUUAACUAGUAAUUAACAUGCGUUUCUAGUCACUCACCACAAUAUGACUUGGUUGUAUAUACAUACAUACAUAUUCGAGAGGGCCAAAUUAAAUCUACGCCGUCCAUGCGUCAAGCAGCAGCCACGAAUCGUAGCCGUAGAAAUGACGCGAUGAUGGCGAAUCAAGAACUGGAGUGCUUGUCCCACGUGUUGGCAAAACAGAACACACGAGAGCAAAAUGGUCAGCUCUUCUCUUACGGCAGCUUAACGCUACGACAAUAUCCUUAAUCUGUUCCUUGACAGACGGACGGCUCUGGUUCAUUGACACAAACAGUGCAUAAAUCAACGGCUACGUUUCGACUUUUGAGUGUAAUGAUCUCACUCACUCUCAUCGAGUGCACAUCCUUGCUUCACAAGGACGCUAACUAACUAUUGUCUCCUGAUUCUUGAGCCAGAGUGGGUUUUAGAAAUUAUGGCAGUGCAUGAUGGCCUUAUUGUUUACUUUCAUUUUUUAUUUGGGUAAUUAUAAUAAUAUUAAAUGCUAAUCACGUCUGGUUUAUUGCUAAUUGGAUUAUAACUUCUAAUUUUCAUUAUAAUUUUAGAAACUGAGAUUGUACAUGUCAGGCUUGUGCAUGGAUAAAAAACUCAUGGGAAAAUGGGUGUUUUUGUUGUCUUCCGUUUGCUGUCUUCUUGAUUAUGGUUUAAUCAGGAAGGUUCGAGUAUAAAAGGUUUUGAGAGAUCAACGUGAAGAAACAUAAUUAAACGAAUUUUUUUUACAUAGAGAACUAAAUGCAGUUUUCAUAAUUAGGGUAUCUCCGACUUCAUUCUAUUUUCUACUCUAAAAUAAAAUUUAGAGUAAAAAUGUUUCAAUGGUACUAUAUUUUUCACUUUAUAAUAAAGUAAAAAAAAUGUUUACUCCAUAUAUAGAGUGUUUGUUCAUCACUCUAAACUAGAGUACUAUUAGAGUAUAUUAGAGUAUAUUACAACUCUAUUAUAUAGUUACUCUAUUUUAGAGUAAAAAAAUAGGAUGAACUAUUAGAGAUGAUCUUAGGAUGUUUGAACUAAUAUCCAACUAAUCUUUAGAGAAUAUUGACGACUAAUCUGAUCCCUAAUUUUUGUUCAGUUACCAACAAAUUCGUUCUCGGUAAAAAUCGAAGCCUAAAUACACUCUUAUCAUAAGGUUACUACAGAGAAAUGGUUAUGAACUCUUCAGUAACAAGAUGAGAAUUUUUUUUUAUUUUCUAGAUUACUCGUCGAUUUUACAAAGCCUGCGGAGCUAAGGAGCAAUGCCAAUGACUGUCUUGUGAAAAUGAGCAAACCAUAUCCAUCAAAAGGAGUAGAGAGACUUUUUUAGCCAUCAAAAGGAAAAGGCAAAUAUGUUUGUUUCGGGGCAGCGUAAUAACAAGUAUAAGAGAACAAAAAAGAUACGUAUAAUCGAUAUUGUCUAAACGUAUGAAGCCAAAACAACCAUCUUGGCACCAAGACAGGCGUAUCCCAUAUAUGUUGGAAAAAGUUAUUACCCCCUCGAUUUAUACAAAAACCCUUUUCUUCAACAUUAUUUUCUUUUACAGAAAUUCACAAUGCAUAAAAGUUCAAAAUUUUCUUGAAAUUGUAGAGUUUAUAGUUCAAUUCUAUAUAUAUGGCUGUUUAAAAUAUGAUUUUUAAUCUAAAAAUUACUAUUCCAAAAAAUUAUAUACUUUGAAAUAUUUGUAUAAAUUUUAAGGCUUAAAGUUUGGUGUUUCGCAAGUUUUAACUUAUGCCAACCUUGAUAAAAACUAUACUCUAUUAUUUUUAUUUAUCAGAAGCUAUCAAUCUUGUUAAUGUAAGAAAUUCAUAUACUAAAAUAUUUAAUUUCGGACAAAAUGACAUCAAACUAAAAAUCUACUCUAUGUUCGUAUUAGUUAAAAGAAGUCAACAAGUCAAUGAAAAAAAUCCAACACCAAUGCUCUUGUCAUCUAAUUAAAUAAAUGAAUAUUAAUUAUGUUACAAAAAAUGAAUAUUAAUUAAUAAUUAAUUAGCACAAUGUUAAAAAUAAUAAUCAAAAGGAAGAAGAUUACGGAAGCGGUAAUCUUGUAAUUGGGUCGUCCUAUAAGACUAGUCGGUAACACACCACACCUCACAAAGCUUAUCUUCUCGUUUAGACUUUAACCCUCCAACACUCUUCUCUUCCUCUCUCUGUUCUGCCUGCUCCACUUCUCUCUCUCUUUCUCAAACUUAGUGAGGGAAAGUGUUAAAUUUGUCUUAUUUAUGCGAUAAGGACCACUUCCACUCUAUAAAAACCUCAAAAUAACUUACUCUCCCAUCUCUCUCUUCUUUAACUCUUCCCCAGUCAGAAAUUGCAAUCCACCAUCUCCAAGAUUCGAUCUUAUAACUGUCUUUUUAACAGGUUUGCAUAUAUAUAUUGUUACAAAAAAAAAUCUAUUCAUUCUUUUUUUAUUUGGGAAUUUGCUAAAUUUUCCUGGAAAAGAAAAGAAAUUUUUAUCCGUAAAGAAGAAGAAAUGCAGGAUCCAGCAGCUUAUUACCAGUCCAUGAUGGCGAAACAACUACAUCAGCAGCAGAAACAACAACAACCGCAAUUUCCGGACCAAGAACAGCUAAAGUGUCCUCGCUGUGACUCACCCAACACUAAGUUCUGUUACUACAACAACUACAACCUGUCACAGCCCCGUCACUUUUGCAAAAGCUGCCGACGUUACUGGACCAAAGGGGGCGCUCUCCGCAACGUCCCCGUCGGUGGUGGUUCUCGCAAGAACGCAAAACGAUCCACCUCUUCUUCUACUUCUCCUUCCAACUCCCACAAGAAGGCCAAAACACCUGAUCCGGAUCCUGGUUCGCAAAAGGAAACCAACCCGGAUACGGAUCCGACCCGGAUGCUGUACGGGUUUCCCAUCGGGGACCAAGACGUGAAAGGUAUGGAGAUGGGCGGUGGUGGUGGUGGGAGUUUCAGCUCGCUUUUGGCGUCGAAUAUGCAGCUGGGUCUUGGCGGGAUCAUGCUCGACGGGUCGGGUUGGGAUCCGGGUAUGGGGUUAGGCAUGGGCUUGAGGAGGAGUGAAGCGGGUAACGGGGGAGGUUGUAGCCCGUGGACCGAUCUGGCUAUGAACAGAGUGAAGAAAAACUGAGAUGAAGAAAACGAGGGGUAUUUUCGUAAAUUAUGGAUAUGCAAAACUGAUUUUAGAUGGCUUGAGUCAUCACAUAGACAGUGAACAGGUUCGAUGUUAUGUCAUUUUGGUAUUAUAUUCCUCCUGUUACUACUACUCCCUUUUGUUAUUUUAUUUAUAAAUCAGUUUGUUAAAAUUCUAAUCUUUGUUUUUAAAAUGCUUACUAUAUAGUUAAGGACUUGCAUUAAUUCUAGAACAAUACUAUCUACAAAACUCAUGACGUGAAAUGAAUUGUUCCGCUAUUCGCCACGACAUUAUUGUUAUUUUAUGCUUGAUCGGUGAGGUAUUUAGCCGACGAUUAUAUGUCAUUGGUUAUUGAUAUGUAAGCUUGAAGCCCUUUGAAAUAUUCGCAGGAUAAGUUCUUUUAAUCGAAUAUUAGAAUAGUAUAACUGUGCAUGAAUCUGACAUAGAUCAACAACAUUCUUACGGCAUGUGACAUUCGUAUUUUAGUUAAUGUAUUGAUCGCUUUAGACACCUACGUUCUAGAAUCAUGAUAUUGACUCUCUACUAGUUGUCGCCUGCUUUUCUUGGGUUCAAAAUGGCGUUUCCUAUGUCGUAUAAUUUAAAUAGUGAUGAAACAUUGUAUUAGUUCAAUUAUUUAGAUAAAUAAGACAAAAGUUCACGUCGCUAAGAAGAAUAUUAUGCUUUAGAUAACUUUGAAAGAAGUGGAAGAAAAUAGUUUAUCGGAAAUAUUUUAUUCCUCAAGUACUUAUGCUAUUUUGUAUUCAUUGGUCUUUUAGACUUGUAACAUCGUUUUGUUACUUACUAUUACUAUAACAACUUUUGUAAAUCAUUACAAACUCGUUUAACACGCGAAUGACGUUCACAAAGAGUGGGGAGCGUAAUGUGGUCUUUGACGUAUGCCAUAGAACAAUGGCUAUGGUUUUCUCACUGAUUAAUAGUUCACAAUAUAUUUGUAGGUGAUUUUAUAUAUCCAAAUAAAGUUUGUUUGGUGAUUUUAGAACGUUUGUAUUGAGAGAAACAUAGGAUCACCAAGAAAAAUGUGAUUAUGUGGACUAUAUAGUAAUAAUCAGUACUAUGUAUCAACUUAUGUCACAGAUAGUCACUACAAGAAAACAGCGGUAUUCUGACGGACGUUCCGACGGAAAAUGAAUUCCUCGGAAUAUACCGAGGCAUUUCCGAGGCAAUUCCGAGGAAACACAAAAUUUUGCUUCCUCGGAAUUCCGUCGGAAUAUUCCGACGGAAUUCCGAGGAAAAUUCAUUUCGUCGGAAUAUUCCGACGGAAUACCGAGGAAACUAGUAUUCCUCGGAAAAAACCGAUGAAUUCCAAGGAAAUAUUAUAGACGUUAGAUAGCCGUUGGAGAGCCGUUGGGGGGAUUUUAAAAAUUCCGAGGAAAUUCCGACGAACUAGCCGUUUGCAUCGGAAUUCCGUCGGAAUUUCCUCGGACCGUCGGCAGGAUUUCAACUAUAAAUACAAGCACCCCUCUUCCUCUUCAUUCACACCAUAUCUUCAUCCUCCCUCUCACUUUCUUUACACACGAAUUUGAUUCAUAAAAAACAUGUCUUCUUCAAAUUAUUUUCGUUCUUGGAUCGAUCGACCUCAUUUGGAUCCGAACACGAGAUUGCUUACGGAAGAAUACCAACAAGGUAUAACCGAAUUCAUGGGGUUAGUUCACCGACAACCGGAAGCAAAAACAGGUAUGUUAAGAUGUCCUUGCUCUAAUUGUAAAAAUAAAAAAGUUAUUAAAGAAUGGGAUGUUUGGACUCAUUUAUAUUUGAGUGGGUUUACACGAAGUUACAAAAUUUGGUAUCAUCAUGGAGAAACUGAUUAUGAACUUGGUAGUACUAGCGAACCUCAGCCAGCGGUUAGAUUAGAAGAUCCAAUUAGAACGGAUGUAGAUUACGGUGUAGGUACUGAGCAGAUGCUAAAUGAUCAUUUUAGAGGGAAAGAUUUACCCAAUGCCGAAGCUAGGAGAUUUUAUGAUAUGUUGGAUGCUGGAAAGCAACCAUUGUACGAAGGUUGCAGAGAUGGUCAUUCAGCUUUAUCAUCUGCUACAAGAUUGAUGGGCAUUAAGACGGAUUAUAAUUUGGCUGAAGACUGUGUGGAUGCGAUUGCUGAUUAUGUAAAAGGUAUUCUACCCGAAGAUAAUGUAGCUCCUGGCUCAUACUACGAGGUUCAGAAACUCGUAGCUGGUCUUGGUUUAUCGUAUCAGGUAAUAGAUGUAUGCAGAGACAACUGCAUGAUUUAUUGGAGGGCGGAUGAACAGCGGGUUUCAUGCAAAUUUUGUGGGAAGCCUCGUUAUAAAGAUACGAGUGGAAGAGUUCCAGUACCAUAUAAAAGGAUGUGGUAUUUGCCUUUGACGGAAAGGUUGCAGAGGCUGUAUCUGUCUGAACGCACAGCGCAACCAAUGAGAUGGCAUGCGGAGCACUCAACAGAUGGUGAGAUCAGACAUCCUUCAGAUGCAAAAGCGUGGAAGCAUUUCCAAUCAAAGUAUCCCGACUUUGCGUAUGAGAGAAGAAAUGUCUACCUUGGAUUAUGUACUGAUGGUUUCAGCCCGUUUGGCAAGAGUGGAAGACAGUAUUCUCUAUGGCCAGUCAUUCUUACACCAUACAACCUACCCCCAAACUUGUGCUUGCGACGAGAGUUUUUGUUUCUCUCGAUUCUCGUUCCCGGACCAGAGCAUCCUAAGAGAUCACUUGAUGUGUUUCUUCAGCCACUAAUAUAUGAGUUGCAACAACUAUGGACUCAAGGUGCUGAAACAUACGAUGUUUCGUAUAAAGAAAACUUUCAAAUGCGGGCAGUACUAAUGUGGACAAUAAGUGAUUUUCCAGCAUAUGGUAUGUUAUCUGGAUGGACAACGCAUGGAAGGCUAUCAUGUCCAUAUUUUCAAGAUAACACUGAUGCUUUCCAACUAAAACACGGAAGGAAAACGUGUUGGUUUGACUGUCACAGGAGAUUUCUACCACCAGAUCAUCCAUAUCGUAGAAGUAGGAAUUUGUUUACGAAGAACAAGAGGGUGUUUGACAGUCCACCUCCGGAAAUUCGUGGGAAAGAUUUGAAGACACAACUUAGAGAUUUUGGUGCAGAAAGGACGCCAGACGUCGGUGGACAUGAGCAUUUUCCGGUAGAUGGUGUUGGAAACCUACAUAACUGGCACAAAAAAAGUAUUUUUUGGGAUCUGCCAUACUGGGAGGAUCAUCUACUAAGGCAUAAUUUAGAUGUCAUGCAUAUCGAGAAGAACUUUUUUGACAAUCUCAUGAACACGAUCCUUAAUGUUCAAGGUAAAACAAAGGAUAAUUUGAAGUCAAGACUGGAUUUAGUCGAUAUAUGUGCUCGUUCAGAACUUCAUGUUGAUGAGAGUGGUAGGGCUCCUUUUCCCAUAUACCGACUUGAUGCAGCGGGAAAGGAUGCGUUCUUUGAUUGGAUUUCAAACGAUGUGGAAUUUCCAGACGGUUACGCAUCUAAUUUGCGUAACUGUAUCGACAGAAAGGAAGGAAAGUUUACUGGCUUGAAAAGCCAUGAUUGCCAUGUAAUGAUGCAGCGUCUCCUUCCGUUUGCCUUCAAGGAACUAUUACCACGAAAUGUUCAUGAAGCAAUUGCAGGGAUAAGUGGUUUCUUCCGCGAUUUAUGCACAAGAUCAGUGACUCUUGAAGGUAUUGAAAAUUUGAAGACUAACAUAGCUGUGAUUCAGUGCAACCUUGAGAAGAUAUUUCCUCCCUCAUUUUUUGAUGUUAUGGAGCAUCUUGUUAUUCACCUGGUAAGAGAAUUGGAACUUGGUGGUCCUGUGCAGUAUAGAUGGAUGUAUCUGUAUGAGCGGUAUAUGUUCCAUUUGAAGAAGAUGGUGAAAAAUUUAAGUAGGGUGGAAGGGUCUAUAGUCACACAGAUGAUCAAUGAAGAAACUUCAAACUUUGCCGAGUACUACUUUCCAGCAGAAGUUCAGACCAAAAACAGAAGACCUGCUCGGCAUGAUGAUAGAGGCGAACGGGCAACAUAUCAUUGGAAGGUUCCAGACAUUUUCACAGACGUUGGACGACUUAGCGGAAAACCAAAGGACCGUCGACUUACUGAUCAGGAGCGCAGUCAUUUGCAAACAUAUUUACUCACCAACUGCGAAGAUGUUCUUCAAUAUGAAAGGAUUUUCAUGGCAGAAAAGCGGUUAGAAUAUAGAUACGCCACAGAGGACGAACUAGAAGAAAUGAAGCAGAGAGAAUUUGGUGGAUGGAUGUUUACUUAUGUGAGUGAUGGUUUGGCCAGAGGUGAAACAUUUAACGAUUGGAUACGCGAGAUGGUCGUUGGACCAAACUUUGUUGUGAAGUCAUAUCCGAGAUUUUGUACUCGAGGAUAUGCAUUCACAACUCAGAAGAGGAGACGUUCGAGUACGACUUACGAUGCUGGUGUUUGUUCUGCAUCAGGAGAUGAUGUAUACUACGGACACAUAAAUGAGAUUUUGGAAAUCAAGUAUUUGGGCAUGGUUGGAUUGCGCUGUACUGUUUUCUAUUGUGACUGGCACGACAACACUCCAGAUCGAGGUGUGAGAACAGAUGCAUUUGGUGUUACAUCAGUAAAUUCAAGACGGAAGCUGCAAUAUUAUGAUCCUUUCAUUCUUGCUUCUCAGGCCGAUCAGGUUUGUUAUAUCAAGUACCCCCGGGUAAGGAACAGAGAUGAUCCAUGGGUUACUGUUACAAGACUCAACCCAAGAGGCCGAGUUCAGGGAAGUUCUGAGCUGGAAGACCCACUACAACCAAGCACAUCCGGCAACUUAAGUGCAGCAGAAGAUUUAGGUGGAGUUGGCCUUGUAGUCGAUUUAACUGACUUCGGAGAAGAAGCCGCCGUUCACGUAGAGGAUGAACCAGUGAUUGAAGAGUUUCACCAAGAUCCAGAUUCAGAUUCAUCUGGUGAUGACGACUCGGAAACAGACUAGCGUCGACCUUUUUUUUUUUUUUUUUUUUAAAGGAAAAUUCCGAGGAAAUUCCGAGGACAGAUAGGUUUUCCUCGGAAUUUCCUCGGAAUAGAUCUUCUCGAUUGAAAACCCCAAGUUCCUCGGAAUUCCCUCGGAAAAUUCCGAGGAAAUUCCGAGGAGAUGGGGAUUUGAUUAUAGAUUCUUUUUCCUCGGAAUCUCCUCGGUAUAUUCCGAGGAAAUGCUGACGAACAUAAGGAUUUCCUCGGAAUCUCCUCGGUAUAUUCCGAGGAAAUUCCGAGGAACUGGGGGUUUUAAAUCGAAAACAACGUUUUACGGAUUGAAUAACACGUAUAUAACCUUCAUUAAGUGUCAUAACCAGAUUAUGAUGUUUGGAACUAUGAACUUUGGUGUUUUAUCCAAUAACAAACACUUUUACGAUUGCAUGAACGAAAACCACACAACAUAAGAGAAACACUUAUACACUUUAAUAAAUGGUAAAGGGAAUACUUACAAUUAUUUUUGAAAUUGUGUUAUUUCAUGGUUUAUGAUCAUCUAUACAAAGAAUCCUCAAUGGUAUGCAUUAUAAUUGUAUAAGAAAUGAAAUACGGCGAAAAUAAUCGAUGUUUUAAAACCCCAAACCCUGGUUCCUCAGAAAUUCCUCGGAGAUUACCGAGGGUAUUCCGAGGAAUCGUUGUUCGUCGGAAUAUUUUCAUUUAACCGGGUAAACCAAGCCGCCAAAUAUUUUGGGAAAAUUGAAUCAAAGAAUUCCGAGGAAAUUCCGACGGAAAUAUUAAAUAUUUCCGAGGAAAUUCCGACGGAUAGUUUCCGUCGGACGCCUCAUAAUAUUAGGGCGAGCCCGAUCUUCUUCCCCAUUUCUCUCUUUCUCUCCGCGCCGCUGAGCCUCUCCUCUCGCGAUUUCCGGCGACUCCACCGUUCUCUCUCGCGUUUUUCCGGCGAAUCUCCCCUAAUCCUCCCCCAUAAUCAUGUAAGAACCCUAUCCCACUCUUUUAGGUUAGAUUUGUAUGGUUUUUAAGUAGAUUUGAUGAUUUUGGAAUGAGAUUUAUAGAUUUUGUUAGGGUGAAUGGUAGAUUUGUGUAAAAUCGAGUUUGAUUAUGUAUUUCACUUGAUUUGAAUUUUUUUUUUAGUUUUUAUUAAUUUUGUGGUUAUAAAAAUCGAAUUUGAAAUUAUAUAUAUAUAUUGAAAACGUUUUUUGUAUAUAAAAUCUAUUUUUUGCAUUUUAAAUUCAUUUAUAUAUUUAUUAAACAUUUUUAAAAUCUAUAAAACUUUUUUUAAGAUUAAAAAUCAUUUAUAUAAUAUUUAAAAACAUUUUUUUUGUAUUUUAUAUGUAAAAUAUAAAUUUCUAUAUUUAUUAAACAUUUUUAAUAUUAUGAAAACUAUUUUUGUAAUUAUUUAACAUUUUAAACAUUUUUAAAACUAUUUUUCGUAAUUAUUAUGUUUUUGGGAUUUAACAUUUUAAACAUUUUUAAAAUCUAUUAAAACUUUUUUUAUUUAAACUGUUUUUUUUAAUUAAAAUUAUUAGAACUAAUUUUUAAAUAUGUUUUUUUUUAAUUUACAGGUCUAAUGAUGAUCAGAUCCGGCCUCGCCAGCGUCGUAGCCGGGGUGGUAUGGGGAGCCAGUCUCGGGGUUCUUCCAGCCAUGUUCAGGAUUCCGUUUCGCCCCACAGCUCAUACCAUACAUCUCCCUCUCCAUUACUCGCUCAUGCUGCUCCCGCUCCCGCUGCUGCACCCGCUCCUGGUCCCGCUGCUGCACCCGGUCCUCUGGGAGUGAUGAGGGUUGCGGAGUUGGUUCGACAGCCCGGUCGUGACCAUCUUCCCUAUCUCACUGAGUAUCCACAUGGACAUGGUCAAACAUGGUAAUUUAAACUUUUAUUUUUUAAACUAUUUUUUAUUUAAACUAUUUUUUUAUUAAUAAUUUUUUUUUUAUUAGGUUCAACCGAUCCGGGAAUGGGAUCAGCGCAUGGAUCAACCGUAUGAUGUACUCGGCCCUCGACAGCGGACAUCCGACUUUCACUCACUUCCCUGUCGAGAAGCAACAUCUGUGGUUUCAGCAGUUUGCGGUAAGUAUUCUAAUUUUUAAAUUAUAUUUUUUAUAUUAUUAAAACUAUUUUUUGUAAUUAUUAAACUAUUUUCUAUAUUUAUUAGACAUUUUAAAUAUUAUUAAAACUUAUUUUUGUAAUUAUUAAACUAAUUUCUAUAUUUAUUAGACAUUUUAAAUAUUAUUAAAACUUAUUUUUGUAAUUAUUAAACUAAUUUCUAUAUUUAUUAGACAUUUUAAAUAUUAUUAAAACUUAUUUUUGUAAUUAUUAAACUAAUUUCUAUAUUUAUUAGACAUUUUAAAUAUUAUUAAAACUUAUUUUGGUAAUUAUUAAAUUAUUUUUUUAAUUAUUAAACUAUUUUUUAUUUAUUAAAACGACGAUUUUUGUAAUUAUUAAACUAUUAUAUUUUUGUGUUUAAAAACUAUUUUUAAACUAUUUCAGCAAGAAUUCAACUGGAAUGNNNNNNNNNNNNNNNNNNNNNNNNNNNNNNNNNNNNNNNNNNNNNNNNNNNNNNNNNAUGAUACGCUCUCUAUCUAUCACCAUUUUGUCCAUAAAGUUAUGGACAACUAUGGGAAGCAGAUGUACGAGUGGAAGAAGAAGUGGGAAGUAAACAAGGUAGUUUUUAAUUUAUUAACAAUUUUUAAUUUAUUACACUAUUUUUAAAAUUAUUAAACUUUUUUUUUUAAAAUUAAAAGGUCCCAAAGUCGAUGAACGACACGGUCUGGAAGGAGUUGUGUGCGCAUUGGGAUAAAGAAGAGACGAAAGAAACUUCUUCCACCAACUCCAACAACCGCAGAAGCGACCGUAAAGGAAAGGGCAUCUACAAGCAUAACUUGGGUGCUCAAUCUAUUGCCACUCUGGCGGAUCGCAUGGUAAGCUCAACCGCUUUUUCUUCAAUUAUUUAAGUUUCAGAAUUUUAUUUUUUUGCAUUUUCAAAUUUCUAAUGUUUGUCUAAUUUAUUUUUUUUCAAGGCGGAAGAAAAUGAAGGCCACCCAGUUGAUGAUCUCGCCCUUAUGAAAAGGGCGUAUACCAACAAGAAGACCGGCCAGAUUGAUGAUGGUCUUGUGAGGGACGUGGUCGACCUGGUCCAAACUCAGGUGUAUGACGAAGUGUCUCAGCUUCAAACCGAUGAUGACGAUUCGACGGCCUCGACCAACUUGUCUCGGGUUCGAAUCAACGAAAUCGUUGAAUCGGUAAGUUUUUUUCUUUUAAAAGUUCAAUUUAAUUAUUUCUUGAUUUUUAUUUUAUCAUCAAUUUAAAUUAUCUAAACUUGGUUAUUUAUAUUUCAGUCAGUUCCAAAGAAAAAGGGACGUUUGGUCGGUUUGGGUCGUCGCUCCCGGUCGGCUACUCCUUCUUCUGCACCACAUGCGUAUGUUGAUCCAGAAGUUCUUACGGCUCAGCUGAAGGACAAGGAUGAUCGGAUAUCUGCGUUGGAGACUCAGAUGGCAGCUCAACAGGCGGGCUAUGAGACCCAGAAGAGGCUGAACGAGCAGAUGAUGGAGAUGAUGAAGAGGAUGUACCCGAACGAGACGUUCCCGAACAUUCAAGACCCGUAGUUUUUUUUUUUUUCCAAAAACUCUGAAUGUUUUAUUUAAAUUUGAAUAUUAUCUACUAUGUUUUAUUUUAUGUUUUAUUCAAUUUUAAUUUUAAAUUUUAAAAAUUUUAAUUUUUAAAAAUAAAAUUAAUUUUUAAAAAAAAAAAAAAUUUUUAAAAAAAUAAAUUUUUUCAAAAUUCCGAGGGAAUGGAGUUCCUCGGAAAAUUCCGAGGAACUUUCUCCCCUCGGCAAAUUCCGACGAACUUUAAGUUCCUCGGAAUUUUCUGAGGGAAAAAGUUCCUCGGAAUUUUCCGAGAAACUCCACUCCCUCGGAAUUUUCCGAGGGAGAGGAGUUUCUCGGAAAAGUCCGAGGAACAAAUGUUCCUCGGUAUUUUCCGAUAAACAUUCCGAGGAAUAUUUCGUCGAAACUUCCGAGGAUUGGGCCAUCGGAAUUCCCUCGGUAUUUUCCGAGGAACCUUCCGACGAACUUCGUGUCCUCGGAGUAUCCUCGGAAUUUUGUUUCCUCGGAAUUCCGUCGGAAAAUUCCGACGGAAUUCCGAGGAAUUAUGAAUUUCCGAGGAGUUAUUUCCGAGGAAUUUUUUCGUCGGUAUGUCCUCGGAAUAGCGUUAUUCCGACGACAUACCGACGAUUUUUUCCCUCAGUAUCCCGAUGUUUUCUUGUAGUGAUAGAUACGCAGACCUAACAUUUAAUAUGUAUUACUAGACAUGCUACAAGCGAAGUUUAGGACGUAAAUCUCGUUUUACCCAUUUCACAUUAGUAGUUUUCUGUAGCAAUACAUCUUUUCUGUUAAUAAAAAAUUAAUUUUUCCCAAUUAUAUUCAACAAACAUGCAAAGAAAAAAAAGAGUAAAGUCCUUACAUAUGAGGACAAACGAAAAUUAUUGUCCACUACCAAGAACAAUAAUGGAUGAAUAAGACGAUGAGUAAGGUAAUUUAUUAAAAGACGAGAUUAUAGAAAUUGGCGCGGAUUUUGUUUUCGGAUUUGCCAUAAUUGCUAAUUGUAGACAAUGAUACACAUCGCAUCAUUAUGUUUUUAACUUUCUUUCGGUGCAAUUUUACCCUAUUAUUUACGCGAUUGGUAAAUUAUAUGCUCACGAGUUAAUAUACUCAAUUCAUUCGUCUGCUAUGAAAAGGGUUAUGAGAAGAACAAAAAUCGGUAAAAGGUAUUUGUAGUCUGAUUAAAGUGCUACUUAACUACCAUUCAUUGCACUUUAAAACACGGACAUGUUAAAAAGUAUUUGUAGUUUGAUUAAAAUUUUACUUAACUACGAUUCAUCGAGUUUAACUUAAGGGUUGCUAAGAUCUUACGCUCUUUAAGUGGCCACACUCAUGAAAGUUCUUGUUUAAUUAUGCUAAACCUAACCGAAACUUGACAUAAUUAUGAGUAACUUAAUUACAUAAAUACAAAAUACUAAAUGGUUUCGUGGUUUCGUACGAGUCAGCGAGCAUUUCAGCCGUUUCCUACCCUAUGGAAUACAGAAAUAUUUUCAACACCUAAGUUUGAUUUUUCGAUUAGGCCAGCAACUUUCGGUCACCCUGCUUUCAUCAUCCACCGAACAAAAAAUAAUAAUAUAAUUUUAUGUAUUUUAAAUUCAACUAGAUUCUGACCCGCCCUUCUGAAGGGCGGGUAUACUUUUUUUUUAAUUUUUUAAGAAAUUUAAUUUUGGUAUUUAUGUUUUUUUGUAAAACCGUUAGAAAAAAUAUUUAUGUUUUUUUGUAAUCAUAAUUUAAUUUAAUUUAAUUUUUGAUAACUAUAUUAAAUAUAUCAAGUUCCAUAAUUAUACACUUAUGUCAUAUACAUUUUAGAAAUUAUUUUUUAAUUUUAUUCCAAAAAUUUGCAAAAUAUUAUAUUUUCUUAAUAGUUACCUAUCAUAAUUAGUUAAGAAUAUUCAUAUAAAAAGAACCGAUUCGAAAUCAUCCCGGAAAUUAAAGUCUCAUAAUCUAAUAGCAUAUAUACUCAAACAGUUUUUAAAAUAUUAUAUCCGAAAACCAAUAUCAAACCCAACCUACACCGAAAACGGAAAAAUGUUUGAAAAAUUAAUUUUUUAUAUAUUUUGUUACAAAAAAAUAUAUGUAUAUAUAUAUGUAUAUCUUGAUGCAAAAGUCAAUGAACCAUUGUGGUAUAGUGGUAAAAGACACGGCUAUUAUCAAAGAUUAUAUGGGUUCGCAGCAUGAUCUGUUUUUUUAGAUUUUUAUUUCUUUUUUUCUCGCUAAUGGCAAAUAUGUAAAUACUUUAUCUUCUCCAUUUAUCAAGGCUUCUAUCUUUCUGCAAUUUUUUUCCACCGCCGCAAACAUAAUCGAUCUAAUUUUUUGAUGUUUCCUUUUCAUUUAUGCAUCAAAAUUGAAGAUUUGUUAAUUAUCAUCCAGUUUUAAACAUCUUAACACACAAAAACUUGAAUGAUUUUGAUAAACUUGAUUUCACUGCCUAGCACUCAAUGUUUUUGAACGAUAUAUGUAAAUAGGUUAAUCAAUAAUCCAACUAUUGCAGUUGAAGAGAAGCACAAUUUCUUGCCAAUAGGAAACUUAGACUCAUAGUUUACAAAUAACUGCAUGAAUAAUUUCUGAGAACAUGACUGUUUUUUUUUGCUGAAUUUCUGCAACUCUAUUAAAUCAUGAAAAAUUGAUUGUUAGACUUUUGCAGGAAGAAGCAUAACUGGUUUCGUUAUAGAACUUUAUAUAAAGAGAACGUGGUUAGUUUUUAAGUUAAAGUAAAUACAGUUAUAGAAUAUUUUUAAGUUAAUGUAAAUACAGUUAUCAAUAGAUGUAAUAUUGAUAUUAAAAAUAAUUGUUGGACUAAACUAAUAUUAACUGGACAUGUUCCAGCUUUAAUAGUAUUGAUGUAGGAGUAAUAGAGUACAUAUGAUCAUUCAAUUAAAUUAUCCAUGCAAAAAUAAAUCAAUGGAGCAAGGGAGAGAUAUGGUAAACCAGUUAAAAAUACAGGAAAGAAAAAGAGCAAUGAACCACACUUAUAAGUGGAGAAAAAAACUUGACAAAGUUGUGCGUACUAUAGACAACUUUAAUUCUCUUCACAACACUAAAAAUUAUAAACAAUCAAAUUUUGGUUAAUUUUCUAGAGCACGCUUUUCAAUGCUUUGGAAAAUGUUUUUUCUCCUUUCUAUAAAACAUGUACGCCUCAUUUCCUCUGUAGCAAUAUAUUUCACUAAUAUAAAUAUACAAAUAUAUAUAUCUUACAUAUAUAAUCCACCAAAAUGUUACAAAUAUUAUUAAAACCAAAUCGCAUCACUCAAACCUUAUUUGUCAUUUUGAACUUAUGUAAUGGAACAACCGUACGUGAUAUUAGUAUAAAAAAAAACAACCGUACGUGAUCGUGAUCAGCAAUAAUUAACAAAUAAACAGAAGGAUCAAACUUUUUUUUUUGAAUUAUACGUAAAAUUUAUUCAGAAAGGAUCAAACAUAAUAUCGUAAGUAUUAUGUUAUCAUUCGUUAAAAAUAUAUUAAAAAAAUUAUUUACCAAAUGCCAAUGAUCUUUACAUGCUCACUGUCAAUGUUCUCAUAUGAAGUUUUUAAUAUAAUAUUUACAUUUAUAACUUAUAAAAUUAAAAAAUAUAUAUAAUUUAUCUAUUUAUUUUAUUUAAUAAUAUCAUAAAAUUAUUUUUAUAUCAAGAAAAAAAUUAUUNNNNNNNNNNNNNNNNNNNNNNNNNNNNNNNNNNNNNNNNNNNNNNNNNNNNNNNNNNNNNNNNNNNNNNNNNNNNNNNNNNNNNNNNNNNNNNNNNNNNAAAAUAGUUUAAUAAUAAAAAAAAAUAGUUUUAAAAAUAUUUAACAUGUUUAAUAAAUAUAGAAAAUAGUUUAAUAAUCACAAAAAAUAGUUUUAAUAAAUAAAAAAUAUAAGUAAAAAUUUUGUAUACUUACCGCAAACUGACGAAACCACAGAUGCUGCUUCUCGAGAGAGAAGUGAGUGAAAGUCGGAUGUCAUACGGUUGAUCCAUGCGCUGAUCCCGUUCCCGGAUCGGUUGAACCUAAUAAAAAGAACAAAUUAUUAAUAAUCAAUCAAAUUUUAAGGAAAAAAAAUAAAAGUUUAAUUACCAUGUUUGACCAUGUCCAUGUGGAUACUCAGUGAGAUAGGGAAGAUGGUCACGACCGGGCUGUCGAACCAACUCCGCAACACUCAUCACUCUCGGAGGACCCGUAGGAGCAGGAGCGGGUGUAGCAGCGGGAGCGGGAGCAGCAGGAGCGGGUAAUGGAGAGGGAGAUGUAUGGUAGGAGCUGUGGGGCGAAACGGAAUCCUGAACAUGGCUGGACGAACCCCGAGACUGGCUCUCCAUACCACCCCGGCUACGACGCUGGCGAGGCCGGAUCUGAUCAUCAUUAGACCUAUAAAUUAAAAAAAAAUAGUUUUAAUUAAAAAUAGUUUUUAAUCACAAAAAUAUAAAUAGUUUAAUAAUUAACAAAAAAAGUUUUAAUAAAUAAAAAAUAGUUUAAAAAUUAAAAAAAUAGUUUUAAUAAACCCCAAAAACAGUUUAAUAAUUAUAAAAAAUAGUUUUAAAAAUAUUAAAAAUGUUUAAUAAUUACAAAAAAUAGUUUUAAUAAUAUUAAAAAUGUUUAAUAAAUAUAGAAAUUUAUAUUAUAUAUAUAUUAUUUUUUUACAAUCCCAAAUAAUAGUUUUUAAUCACAAAAAAGUUUUAUAGAUAUUAAAAAUGUUUAAUAAAUAUAUAAAUGAUUUUAUAAUGGAAAAAAUAGAUUUUAUAUACAAAAAAGUUUUCAUAUUAUAUAUACAUAAUUUUCAAUUACGUCAAUGGAAACCUUUAUCUCUUUAUUUAUUUAUUUAUUUGUUUAUUUAUUUAUUUAUUUAUUUAUUCUGUGUAUUGAAGCUUUAAUUGCAAAUAUUAAGAAAGCGAAGAGAGGGAAACAACUAACGAGAAUGAACGUAGUUAGAGGAUGGCUCAUUGAUUCUACUUCGCGAACUUGGAACUCGCAAGCACUCCGGAAUUUGGUGGACCCACAAGAUGUGAAAAUUAUAGAAAACAUACCAAUGAGCAGAACCCAGAUGGUAGAUAGAGAUGGAUGGUAUUUCACAAACAAUGAGAAAUAUAUGGUCAAAUCAUGAUAUCAGGUAGAACGGGUUUACCCACUGGAAAAAACUACCAAUAAUGUUUGGACCUACAGUUGAUGCAUUGAAGGUGUUAUGUUGGAAAAUACGGUGUCCACCAAAGAUAAAAUAUUUUAUAUGGUAAUUGGUGACGGGUGUAUAGCAGUCAAGAAGAAUCUGCAAGCGCAUGGGAUACAUGGGGAUAUAUAUUGUGCAAGAUGCGCAGCAGAUGAUGAAUCGAUAAACCAUGUGUUUUUUGAAUGUCUUCUAGCACUUCAGGUUUGGGAUCUCUUAAAGAUACCAUCAAAUCCAACUACUUUCCCAAUAAGCUCUCUCUUCACAAAUAUGGAUCAUCUAUUCUGAAGAGUUUUUCCGCAGAUAGAUGAUCAUCAAUUUGCAUGGAUAUUAUGGUACAUAUGGAAAUGAAGGAAUAAUAAAGUUUCUACUAAUCUCGAUAUUGACCCUCGUGACACACUUAAAUUAGCAGAAACAAAAUCAAUACUUUAGGCUGAGGCACAAAUAUUUAAUGAACAUAGGAGAGUACCACAUAGAGAUUACGACUCUACCGUCAAUUCCAAGAAGAUGGUGUUUCACAGAUGGUUCCUGGAAAGAGAACGAUACUUUUUCCGGACAUGGUUGGCUUAAUACUUUAGAAGGAUUUGAUGGGUUGAUGGGGGUGAGGAAUGUUUAGGCUAGUCUCUCUCCUCUACAUAUGAAGAUGUAAGCGUUACUCUGGGUAAUGGAAUGUAUGAGAAACUUACGUCAAUUUGAAGUUACGUUUUUAACGGAUUGUUCUCAGUUGGUGAAGAUUGUUUCAAAACCAGAAAAAUGACCAGUUUGCAACUUCUUUGGAAGAUAUUAAAGUCCUGAAAGAAAGAUUUUUUGAUUAGAGAUUAUCUAUGUACCAAUGACACAAAAUACGAAGGCGGAAGCCUAGCAUGCAGUGUCAGAAAACAACCAUUUUUUGUCAUUCACAUAGAUCAAGAUCUUCCGAUUUGGUUCACAGUAUCAGUAUGAAUCUGUAUAAGUUGAUGACAAAAAAAAAAGGAUUGAUUCAUAGAUUUGAAAAGUUACUUAUACAAUGGAUCAUAAAUCAUUUUGUACAUUAUAUGUUUUUCUUUUGGAAUUCUUUAUCAAUUUAUAUCUUUUCUAUACAUUUUAAUUUGUUUUUGGUCGUCGCUUUUUCGUCUAUUUUACAUUUUUACUAAAACUAUUUAGAGCAAGACAAGUAGAACUGAUACAAAAUCACAUUUCUAAUAAAGCAACGAUUUAAAUCUAUUAAAUUUGUUGUUCAGAAUCAAUAUAGAGAUCAAUAUUCAAAAGUUCAUUUUGGAUUAGAAAUAAAAGCAGAAAGUAUGUGAUAUUUUGUGAACGUGAAUGACUCUUAACAAAAAUUCUUGUCAAAUGUGAGGAUUCUAUUGUUUGACAAGAACUUUCCAUAUUAGAAUCAUUCAAGCUUACUAAAAUGCCACAAAUAUUUCCUUUCCUUCGAGCCUAAAAGUAGUUUUAGUAAAAAUAUAAAAUACAUUAAUGAGCGACGACCAUACUAUAGUCGGUUAAACUCGGUCGUCGGACGUUAAUUCAAACAAGAAAUAAAUUAAUUAAAAUGUAUAUAAAUAUAGAGUUGAGAAAACUUUUUGAAAAAAUAUAUUUAAAGUUAUAAAAAAUAUUUUGUUAUAAGGAACGAAGGGAUUAAGGUAAAUUCCAUUUGCGAUUAAAUCCUAUCAGAUUUGUAAAUCAAUCCAUUCCAUCUCAUCAAAUUAACUAGAAAGUUUUUGUUAAUAUAUAUAUAAGGGAUAAAGGGUGCAAGUUCUGAUUUUUUCUUCAGUCUUCUCAUGUUAAUUCCAUGGCUGGUCUUAAAGAAGUUUACCGUUUUUUCUAUAUUUAACGUCUUUAUUUCGAAUUAUUUUGUCAUGUAGUAAUAAUGAAUUGUCGAUAAUCACAUUUCUCAUGCCUUAUUGUUGCUCUCUAAUUACGUGCGUAUAUAUGCAUGUAACGCACAUAUAUUUCUCUCUGUGUAUAUAUAAUUACACCAAAGCAACACACGAUCUCAACAAGAUUAGUGGAUCGAUUACUUUCAGAUCUGAGAAACUUAAGACUUAAACUUGUGGAUCAAUUUGCAUAAUCAUCUCUGUAAGUGUAUGAACACACAUCGUCCAUGCCCAUUUUCAUGUGUUUACGCUUGUGCUUUUCUAAAUUGUAAAUUCAUAUGAAUAUUUUUCUAACAAUUAAUGUAUUUUAUUGAUUUGUUUUUUUUUCUUCAAACUUUCUAUAGAAAAAGAAUGGAGCAGGAAUUGGAUUUAACACUGAGGUUGGGUCUGCCAAGUCCUGCUAUUGAGACACAUCUGAGCUUAGACACUCCUCCCACCACUAAUCAGGUUUUAUUUCAUAAAUAACUCCUUUUCUCUCACCAUUAUUGAUUGAUAUGGGCAUAUGCAUAAAUAUGAAUUAAUUGUAGAGAUCCAUUGACACCAAACAAUCACCAUCUCUUUUGUGAUUAACUUCAUAACAAUUGUGGAAAAAUGCAUGACUGAUUUUUUUUCAUGUUUAUCUUUCUCAAAAGUUUUUUAGUCCAAAUUAAUUGAACUAAUAAUAUUAAAUUAAUUAAUCUCUGCUUAAGAAACGGUAACACCACAAAAAAAACAAAAAUCCUUAUCAUCAUCAUCUUUCUUACAGCUAAUUAAUUGCCAUUGAACUAAUAAUAAAUUAAUUACUUACCUUUAUAACGGCGCUGCAUAUUGACAGUUAUUACAUACAAUUAAAUGCUAAUUAAUUAAAAUUUAAAUUAAAACAAAACAGGGGAUCAACGUCGACGAUGGCCGCCGAGACAACAACGCCGGUGGUGAGAAUCACGAACGUCACACCGACGUCAAUAUGAGAUAUUACAAUUUAGUCUUCAACCACUUCGCCGGCAUCCGCGAGACCUUGAACUUCACUCCUUUUCCGAUACAACCGCCUCCCUAUUCUUCUCCGGCGCCGACGCCGGCGACUCCUACGAGGAGUGAUUAUGUUCUGAUCGAUGUCCCUGCUAGGAGAGCAGUUCGUAGCGCUUUGGCGACUGGAAACGCUCUGAACGCAAACGCAAACGCAAACGCGAAACAGCGUCGCGGCUGCGGCGGCUGUAGCGGUGGAAGGAUUGGGUGGAUGAGGAAAUGUACGAACUUGAAUUGCAACGCGAUUGACACUCCUAUGUGGCGGAGGGGUCCUCUUGGUCCCAAGGUAAGUUCAUUAAUUAGUAUCAGUAAUUAAUUACUCUGCUCAAACUUAAACUAAAUGGAUGUUGAUUGGUAAACGUGUGUUCAGACUUUAUGCAAUGCUUGUGGGAUAAAGUUCAGGAAGGAGGAAGAGAGGAGGUCCAAGAGGAGUUAAUUGGUGAUUUGGUGUUGUAUUUGUAUUUGAUUAAAAAUUAAAAAGAGAGAGAGAAGAUGAUUGUUCAUUAGGAAUGUCUAUGUCUCUGGUUAAGCUUUGUGAGAGGAAAGCUAAACUUUGGAGCUUUAAGAAAAUUCUAUUGAAAUAUCGUUAUUUUAAAAGAGAAAUUGCACUCUAUACACAAAACUUUGCAGCUUUUUAUCCUUUUCUUUUUUUUUUCUUCAAGCAGCUUUUUUUAUCAUACCACAAAAAUAUCAUUUGAAAAAUAACAGAAUUUUCAUAAAAUAUGAAUGCUAUAUAACAUAUCGAAAGUAUUCGCACACAAAUUUACACAAAAUAUCAUUGGGUUCAUCUUCUUUACCAGGUUUCAUUUUUAUAAUAUAUUACUUGUACAUAAAGAUAAAUUCAUUAUUGGUCAUAAGUCAUUUUUUCCAACGGUCAUAAAUCAUUUUUAAAUUUGGUAUAUAUGUUUUGUCCAUAUAUGUUUUGUCCAAAAAGAAUUGGGUUUACAUAUCAACUUAAAUUUGGUAUACUAAAUAAGAAAAUCAUGUUACUUUUUUUAUACAAAGAAAUUCAAAAUUACUUUCUACAGAUACAUGAUAUUGCAGUGAUUUUCCUUUUCUUCUCACUUCUAAAAUGAAAGUUCAAUUGGGUUUGGACGGUUAAUAUUACAAUGAUAAGAUUUACAUCAUAAAUUUUGGUAGAUAAAAGUACAAAGUCCAAGUUUAAAGAAAUGCCCCUUUUUAGUAAAAGUACAAAGUCAUACUCAUAUUAUCUACCAAGAAAUGCCCCUUUUUAGUAAAAGUACAAAGUCAUACAUUUAUUAUACAUAACCUGAUUUUUUUAAUAAUAUUUUUAUUUGACUACAUUUUUUUUUCUAUAUACAUUACCCGAAAUUAUUUUUUUGGGCAAAAAAUAAUUAAAUUCGGGUUAUAUAUAUAGAAAUAAAUUUAUUCAAAUAAAAAUAUAGUAUUAUAAGUUAUAACUGUGAAAUGAAUAUGAGUAUGACUUUUGACCAAAAAAAAGAGUAUGACUUUGUAUUUUUUACUAAAAAGGGGCAUUUUUCUUUAAACCAAUGCAGUGUAAUUGUUUUUUUUUGUUUGCGUUCGAGUUGUUGCAGCUGCAUAUACUAAUGAUAAUUAGCUAGUUCCGACGGACGACAUCUAGUUGUACAUAGUAUUUGCAAAACCAGUUACAUUGGUAUUGAGAGAAAAUUGGGUUUUUUAUUUGGCGAAUUCUUCAGUUAGAAUAUGAUAAUGAAUUAAGAAACUUAAUAGAAAAAUAGUCUUAAAAAAAAUUCCAAAGUAAAAAAUCUUCUAAUCUUUUCGAACAAUAUUAAUGCUAGUCAAUUUAGUGUGUUUGUUACGGACCAAGCGAGAAGAUGAAGGAAUCCAAAUCGAUUUUUCUGGAUAUUAAUGAGCGUGGACUCAGAUGGUUUAUAUUCAAUAGUAAGAAAAUUGAGUGUAACUAUGAUGAUGAUGUCAUAUAAAUAUAUAUAGCAGAGCAUUGGUUAAAUCAGUUUUGAUAACCUUGUUUUGUUUGGACUCGGAUGGUUUAUGCCCACGCUCGAUCGCUGGUCAACAAGAGAUAACAAAGGAUUGACUAAAACAAUAAACAAAACAAAGAGAGUAACUAAGAGAAAUUACAAAUCAUAUGUAAUAUACAAAUUUAUGUUCAUCCCCAAGUAUGGGGUGUGUAAAUGUAAAAGAAGCUGAUGAUGAGGGAGACUCAUCAGCCCAUAACCGACAUAGACAGUAACAGUCUUACAGACUCAUAACAAGUGAGGAGACAUAGUGACAACCAAGAAAAAUAUUACAUGGUAGAUGUAAGAACACGAAAGACAAAAAAUAAACAGAAGAUUAAAAUUUACUAUCAAGACUUAGAACCAUAUGGAUACAUCUUGCUGCUUCUGCUGCACACCAUCCAUCGUUCCUACUACUCCUGCCAUUGACAUAUCAUCUCUGUAAUCGAAUGAGGCCAUGUCAAACGGUGGAGCAUCAUACACAAGCUGAAACCUGUUGCUGCUACCGUUAUUAAGCGCAGCUUCAAAGCUGUUGCUGUUGCUCCCUUGGAAAAACGUUUGGUUACUGUUAUUAGCUCUGUUUGGGAUGUUCAAGUCUUCAAAGAAACUACUUUCCACCACGUUUCCUUGGAACUGGAGAUGCUCUUGAUGAUUCUGGACCGUUGGUUGAAGCAGUGACACGCUCUGAUUCUCCAUAACCAUAGAAGUUUGGUUGCUAUGAACGUUUCUGUCGUACAUGGACAUGAGCUCGGAGAUCAUCUUCUGUCCAUCUUCAGGAACUCCAAUACCAGUUAAGUCAAUUGGUUGAGCCACUGAGUUCACUGGUUGCCUUGGCUGAGAAUAUCCAACUACAGGCUUAACUUCACUGACAUGGAACCUGGACUGUAAGCAACUGUCUCGGUGUGGACAAACCAACUGAUGGUUGUCUCUCGAGUUCCUAUCCAGAAACCCCCUGCUGAUGUCGCCAUGGACACAACCAGGAUUCUCACAGGUGAAAGCUGCUCUGUCCACCAUUAUAGUGUUCAAAUCUCUGCUUGGCUUCCUCUUCCUAAAGAACUCUGAUGGAACCUCUUCCUUUACAGGCUUGAGCUCUUCCACUUCGUAAGGACUCUCCUUCUCAACACCUUCAACAUCAUACUGACUACAAUCAUUCAUCAAAAGGGAGCAACUCCCACCUGAUAAAGAAGGAGGACACGACUCGGGAUAAAGCUCCCGAGCCAAGGACUCUUCCUGGUUAACAAUAGCAAGCCAAGUAGCACUCUCCUUCGCCGUCAUCUUAUCCUGCAAACACUUAGACUGCCUCACUAGCUUCCUUAUCUUCGCAACAUCAGGAAACAUAUGCUUGAUAACCGCAGUCAAAACACCCACUUUCCACGCCUUCUUCAAAUCAUGAGGCUUCUUAUAAGGAGCAGGACCUUGACCCUUAGGCAAACCGAGCUGACACCACCACUCUUCUUCACCAUUAGGCCACCACGGAGGAGGCACGCCUUUCUCCAAAGGAAACCGUCUCUGAGGAGGAUCACAAUGCUGCAUCAAAGCCGACAAAAGAGACCCAAGAGUCGUGUCCUGAAGCUCUUGCAAAGUAUGUGGAGUAGAUCCAAUCAAACCACUACCUUCACAAACCCCAUGGACACUGUUCUCAGCUUGGUACUUACUUAUAGCAGCAGGACCGUUACGAUCAAACCUAACUUUAUCUUUCCACCACUCACGGAGAUUAUCAGAUGCCCCGGUCACAGGCUUCCCGUUCUCGGGGAUGAUCCCGUAGACAAAGCCUUGAGCUUUGCAGACUUCCAUCAUCUUCAACAUGUACUUCAAGAUCCCGUCUUGAGCUCUAGACAUCUUCUUCCUCCUGGCUUGCUCCUGAGAGGACUGUCUCUGCUUAGCAGCGUCAACGCCUCCUUCUCUGCUCUUGUCUUUAUGCUCCUUGAGACGCUUGAGGCGCAUCUUGUCUCUCCACAUCCUCCUCUCCAGCUCAUCAACAUCGAUCUCUUCAUCAGUGUAGUCGUCUUCAGUAACAGGUUCAGGUUGUGGAGGAGGACAGAAGUCAAGUUCUCCGAAGAAGUCCAUGUUCCCGCCUAACAAACCCAUCUCGUUAAACAUCAUCGUGAUGGCUCUUAAGACCAGAACCGAUUAAAACCUGUAAUAACGAGAAUCAAUCAAACCCAAAAAUAGAAAGUAUUCAUUUUCUGAAGAGGGUAUAAUCGGAAAUUAAAAAAGAUUGAAACUUUCUAUUGUAGAUCUACCAAAACCCCCCACCUGUGAAAGAAUCUAUCUAUGAUCUUCAUCUUUAGUAACAAUAAUGAAUUGGAGAAGAGAGAGAGAGAGAGGAGUUACCUGGAGAUUUAAACAAGCAGUUCAACAGAAAUGAUUUUAAAAAAAAAAGUAUCUGCCUUUAUCCUCUCUUGGUUCAAGUUAGGGACGAGAGAGAUGAAGGAGGAAAGAUCACGUGGGGGGGAGAAAGCGACUUUGUUGUUAUAAUUGCGUUUUUCUCUCAGUGGAGUUUCUCUGUAGAUCAUGGAGAUAGAGACAGAGUAGAAUAUAUAUAUAUAUAUAAUUUUAUUUCUUUACAAGAGAGCAUUUAUUUUUUAUUAUUAAAUAAUUUCCGAAAUAAAUAACUUAAGCGUCUCUUCUUGGCACUAGUCACUGCCCCUCAUCUGGGGUUUUACUUUUGUAUUCUUCUCUGUUCAUUUUUAUAUUACGCGGUAUGAAUUUAAUUCUUUUUAACACGUAGUAGUAUUAAUUGUCGCGAAACUAUAAUACUCCUACGUUUCUUUUUCUCUCUUUUUAAUUAUUCUUUAAAUAGAUAUAUUCAUUAUCUAUACCUCACUACAAGCUGGUGGAAUAAAUAAAACGCACGCAUUUUGUAAUACUUGCGUCAUCGACAACUAUUAUCGAUUAGGACAAAUAGUAAUCUCAAGAGGUGUGUAAUAAAACAUUUUAAAUAAGUUUUUCCAGUUCUCGAUUAACUAUUAUCACGUUCUCCAACACGUUUGUUAGAGACGAACCAAACAGCAGUGUUCAAUUUAAUAUGCUUUCUUUUCGAGUGGUUUUUAAUAAUCCCAAAAUAUCCACACAGAAGAAAGAGUUUCUGAAGAGUAACAGUAGAAAUAACAACGAGUAAUAGAAAUUCAAGGUUACCUUGACCGCACUAGCUAUCUCACUGAUGUCAUCUCCUAUGUAUUCUUUCCAUGUCCCUUUGACAGUUUUUUUUUGUACUCACUAUGCUCAUAAAUGAUAUGCUUUUAGAUAUUAUGGAGAGUUGUAGGAUUCAAAGGGAAAUGUUCAACUUGAGCGUGGAGUCCAAGACGGUGGACAUGGACAUCGUUACAUUGUUUGUAUAGUACUUGACAAAAUUUAAUAUCCAUAUAUCCCUUGAAACUUAACUCAAAUGGCUGUGAUCAUCUGAGUCUUUUUAGGCCACGGUUUACAGGGAAGCAUCUUUCACCCGUUCAGCGGAGGGACUGAAGAGGUAGAAGCGUUCCACAGUGACAUUUCAUGUAAUCGUAGAACCUAAGCCUUGGAAAUGGAAUACAGGAACUCAAUAACAUUAAUGUUGUAUUAUCUAAACUCUCCCUGAUGCAAGAAUUCUAUUGUAUGGAGUAAUGGAUCGUUCUCAUAAUCUGACUCUCUUUUUCAAUUAGUAAUAAUUCUAAAUUGCCAGAAUAUGAUGUUUGGUUACUUGGGUUUUAAGUGUAACUUUUUUGUUUGGAAACACUCAGGAAUAUAAAGAGGAAGCAAAAACGAUGAUGAAACUAGUUGUCAAAAAGAAACACUGACCACAACUUAUUUGAUGAAACCAUUUUGUGUAUUAAAGACAUUAAUCGAAAGCAAUGAAGUUAUUGAUCAAAUCCGUAAAAUUUAAUUAACACCACUUAUAUAGGAUACUGUUAUUAUUAUAAUACUCAUAACAUAUUAGUGUAAUAACUUACACAAUGAGAUUAUACAUCAAAAUGGGUUGUUAGACAAAAUUAUUUUGCAUAGAUUCUAAGGAACAAAUCAGAACAAAAAAGACUUUUUGUUACAUAUCUCUUAGAAACCCUCCUCAAUGAAUCUCUUUACUGCAAUAGAAGAGCCAAGAAGGCGGAGAGUGAUGCAGCAACGAUAGAGCCAACCACCGGAAAAGCCACGGUGGCUGAAGAAGUACCUGGUGCUGGUGCUGGAGACUCCAUGGUAGCCGCCGUGGCUGAGCUCACUAACACAGCCGAGACAAAGAGAGCGACAAAGAAGUUGUUGACAUUCCUCAUUUCUAUUAUUAUUAUUAUUAUUAUUUAUUUAUUUAUUUUGGAUGAUGGUUUUGUGUGUGUGUUUUAUCUGAUGCCUUGAAGGUGAAGGUAAAGAAGGUAUUUAUAUUAUGACAAAAUGCGGAAGGGGAAAUAAAGAGAGUUUCAAGGUCUGCCAUUAAUUAGAAAGACAGGAUUCUCUAGUUUUUAUUGCUAAUUUAAGAAAGAAUAAAUUGCAAAAAUAAACUAGUGCGAUAAUUGUUCUUGGAUUGUUUGAAUGAGUCCAAUAAAAAAGAGAGAGAUAAAUAAGUCCUCUGAAUUAAAAACGAGAAUACUCAUUUGCUUACAGUUUGUACGGUAUUAACAUAGGGAAAACGGCUUAUUCAUGUCUGCACUAUGAAGCCAGAGAAAAUACAUACCUAAACAAUAUUAACAUGUCAAAACAUUUUUAAACUAAAUAAGAUUUUGAAUUGCAUACCUAAACUCAUAAUAAAUAGCUAAAACAUGUUUCGUUACUGAAACUCAUAAUAUUUCCGUUACCAUAUCCCCUGGAGAUCAGACAUUCUUGUCGCCAUUCUUCUAACUUAAACACAACUUUUUGUAACUUGUCCUCUCUUUUCAAUUAAGCUAGGGUUUUAGAAUCUCUUUGAUAUAUAGUCUACAUAUUUUCUUUUGCUUUUCCUUUCGAAUAAAAAGAGAUUAUAGCUUUUGAAUUUAAAAAUAAAAACUCAUUUGUUUAUAUUUCACUGUCUUUACAGACGUGUAUAAACUAGAGAGAAUAAUUAAAUGGCAAAAAAUAAACUACAGAGACAAUUGUUCUUGGACAGUUGCGAAUGAGUCUCCAAAAAAAAGAGAUUAGUCCUUUCAAUUAAAAAUGAAAACUCAUUUGUAUUUACAGAUGAUUCACAGAUAAAACAGACUACUCCAGGGACUUGAGACAGUUGUUGCACACAUGACAUAAUUACUUAGAAAACUCAUUGUCUCAGGCAAACUCAGCACAAGAAAGUAAAGAAUGCAAAAGGAGAGACAAACACAGCACCAAUCAUAAACUAGGGCAGAGAGAAACAAAAAGGAUGCAAGUACAAAUUAUGAGAAAUACUACCUCUACAACUAUAACAUCCGAUAACUCUACAUACAUUAUGAGAAAACCAUGUCUUACGAUUUGACUUCCAUCAUGAAAAUCUUGUUUUUCAUUAAUCAUAAAUUAUAUUUUCGGGAUUCGAUCUCCUGGAAUUCUAACUCCAAAAAGCAAUGAAACUUUAGUCAAACUACUAGACUAAAGAGUUUAUGAGUGAUAAAUAGUAAAACACAAAGGUUUAAUAGUUGACUAUCAGUAUUAUUGUUUAAAUGGAGAUGACACAAUAAAAGGAACAAGCAUUGCAAAUGGAACUAUCUACUUAAUCUAGUAAUCUCUCUCUUUCCUUUUGCCUCAUCGAUUGAUUUGUAGUUGCACCAAACUUGGAGCAUAAGAAGAGAAGACAAGUUUGUUUCCAGGUUCCCUAUCUUUUCUCAUCUCCACAGAUUCGAUGCAUCCUUGUUCUCUAAUGAUAUAAGCUCUCUUGUAAAUAUGUCUAAACAACUUAAAGAAUCCGGAAACAAGAGCCAGUUUCUUCUCCUCAUCAAUGAAGAAACUCUCAGUCACAAAGCUUUGCGGUGUCAUCUCCACUCUCAAGAACCUGGUCCAAGAUGCAGCAUUGUGCUCAAUCUUGCUCGUAAUCCAAAACUCCAUUACAUUAUUGUCUUCGGGUUGAUGUAAUACAGCGAGCUGCUCAUCUCUAACACGAGAAAGAACCACGGCUUUUAUAAACCUAACACCAGCACCAAACGGCAGAAUAAGAUGCUGUCCAAACCUCUCUGCUGUAAAAUCGAAACAUAGUAAGAUAUAUUGACUCUCAACAACAAACCCUUCCAAGCAAGUUUCUUCAGCCAAAAAGUAAGUGUUUCCCUUGAGAGACACGCCACUUUUUAUAACGCAGUUGCCGGGAUGGACAUCAAGAACUCUCCACGAACUUGAGUUAAAAUCGUAGAUUUCGAAUAAGGGACCAGGUUCUGAGGACUUAGUAACGUCCAAAACCCUCAAGAUCUUGUGGUUACGAUCGUUGUUGUUGUUGUUUCCAUAUCCGAGACCAUACAUGUAUGCUGAAUGGAGUUUGUCCCUUGUUUGGAUCCACCUGAGUUGUCUCAAAUACGGGUUCCACACAAGAAGCCGGCUCUCAUCUUUGAUGACGCAUAACAGCAAGCCGUCCCACUGAAAGACUUCCCAUAUCUCAGCUUGUUCAAGUAACCAUACUCUCUCAAUAGAGGGACGAUAAACCAAGUUGCCGUUGUCGUGGGUUCCUUGCAGAUCAAGUUUCAGUGAACAAAGGUUAUAAUCUAUCACCAUGAACCCUAGAAACGUGCCCUCUGCGUCUGUUUUACCAAUGAUGUGGGUUUUUGAUAAAACUUCCCACGUUUUACAAGUGCAUCGCAGUGCCCUAAGAGAUGUCAAUGGAACCCUAGAUAAUAUCUCCGUUACCAAUUCCCCUGGAAGAUCAGACAUAGCCAUGGCCAUUCUUCCAACUUACAAACAAAGUUUUAUAUCUUCUCUUCUCUUUUCAAUUAAAUUAGGAUUUUAGAAAUCCUCUUUUAUAUAUAGUUUUUUAUAUAUUUCCUUUUGCUUUUCAUCUUAUCCCCUUUCAAAUAAAAAGAGAUUAUUGAUUUUAAAAUCAUAUUUGUUAUAGGAUAUGUAGCUUGAUAUAUACUCCCUCCGUUUUUUAUAUAAGUCGUUUUAGAUGAAUUUUUAUGUUCCAAAUUAUACGACGUUUUAAUAAAUGUUAUAUGAACAAUGAUAAUAUAUUUUCUAUUUUAUUUGAUUGAUUUGUGAUUAGGUAAAUAAUUAAUGAUACUUUUGUUUAGAAAUUAUAAAAAAUUAAUGAUUUCUUAAUUUAUGUGCACAAUUUUAAAACGACUUAUAUUAAAAAAAACGGAGGGAGUAUUAAUUAAUUUGUAAGAUCUUUUAAACUUAAAAGGAAGUUAUUUUAGAGAACCACCCCCAAAAAAAAAGAGUUAAAAUGUUAAAUCAUAUGAAAAAUAUUAAAUAUAGAAUCGUGUUAAUAUAAUUUUAUCCGGCAAGAUUGUCUUAAUGGGUUGAAAAGGCCCAAGCCCAAGAGCCCAGUUUAGUUUUAUUCCUCAUUUCACUUUUCUCUCAAAAUCAAUUUCAAGUUAAAACACUUCUUCCCUUGACCUGCGAAUCUGCGAUUCCUAAGGCACGAUUCCAAAUUCGAAGGUUCAUAAAAGAUCAGCGAGCAGCUCCUCGAAAGUUCCAAUCGAAUUGAUCAUCCUCAUAGGCGACAAUGUUCUACAGAGGGUAAGCUCCCAUAUUACCCUCGAUUCGUUGUUCCUCAUUCAAUUGAUUUCAUUAGCUUUCCGCAAUUAGGGUUUCUUUCUCGUGAUUCGUACCUUAAAUCACUUCAAUUCAUCUCCUUUUGAAGCUUAUUCUGUUUCGAUUUCAUUCAAUUGUUAAAUUUGAUCGGAAAGUUUCGAUCUUUUAAUCUGUAGUGUAAGAAAGUGAUUUAAUUGGAUUCAUACUUUAGUUAAGCUCCUAGUGAAGUAAUCCAUAGAUAGUGUUUUGAUUUGUUAUGGUGAAUUGUGUAGAUAUGGAGAUGGUCCCGAUGGGCGUGAAACAGGGCCUAAGCGUCAGAGAAUGAGUGCACAAGGUCCUCCUGGACCAUUCUAUGGACCUCAUCCUGGUUCUGCCUUUAUGUAUAACCCUUACGGAUUCGUUCCUCCUCCUGUUUUCCCUGUGGUUAAACUCCGUGGUCUCCCCUUUGAUUGCGCCGAGCGAGAUGUUUUGGACUUCUUCGGUGGUUUAGAUGUGGUUGAUGUCUUGUUUGUUCACAAGAACGGUAAGGUUACUGGGGAAGCCUUUUGCGUUCUUGGUUAUCCCCUUCAGGUCGAUUUUGCGCUCGGUAAGAACAGACAGAACAUGGGAAGGAGGUACGUGGAGGUUUUCAGGAGUACGAAGCAAGAGUACUAUAAGGCUAUUGCUAAUGAGGUUGCGGAGUCUCGUGUCCACGGUACAGUUACUGGUGGUGGUGAUGGUGGAGGAGGAGGUGGAAGCGGUGGAAGAGGUGGUGUGAGUGGUGGACGUUCACCUCGUAGACAGGUGCAGAGGGUUAGACCGAGUGAUGAUGGGAAAGAGAAUGCUGAGCAUACGGGUAUAAUGAGACUGAGAGGGUUACCUUUCUCAGCUGGGAAAGAAGACAUACUAGACUUCUUCAGAGACUUUGAUAUCUCUGAAGACUCUGUUCAUGUUACUGUCAACGGUGAAGGGAGACCCACUGGAGAUGCGUUUGUUGAGUUCAGGAGCGCUGAAGAAUCGAGAGCUGCGAUGGUCAAGGACAGGAAGACGCUAGGGAGCCGUUACAUUGAACUGUUUCCUUCAUCAGUUGAAGAGUUAGAGGAAGCACUAUCAAGAGGAAGGUGAUUCACCACUUCUCAUGUGUACUAUCAUUCACUCUUUUAAAAUGCUUGUCAGAAGAUCAUAGUUUCAACGCAUUGGUGGUUCCGGUUUUGAUGUACUAUCUUGGUCAGGGUUACUAGUUUUAUCCAUUCUUUAGGCUGUUUUGUUGUGUAAUAUUGAUGGAGAUCUCUGAGCAUUAUGCGUCAAUAGAGUAAGCUGGGUGCUAAAAUCUUCUAUUGGGUAUCGUAAGAACCCUUGUUGGAUUGUAACGUUAGGCUUUUGCUGAAAGUUGUAGCAAUAAUAAUAAUAUUGUUUCAUGAUGAUCUCUCCUGUGAGACAUGUGGUUAAAACGGAUAGAAACCUUUGGAUUCUUUCUAGUGUUUUUAUGCAAAAAGACCGAGUAUUCGUUGAUAUUCUUAGUUUGGUACGAAAAAAACAUAAACAGUAUGGAGCAUUUCUGUGUAUAUAUAUUCGAUAUCUUGAUGACAGUAUCUCAGACAUUAUAUUGGUAGGGCCAAAACCAUUGGACAUACAUGUAUGAGUACAAUGGUAGUAUAGUUGUUAGGUCAUUGUUUCUUGUGAAAACUAUAGCAAAAAUACCAAAAUCAAAAAUGUACGGCUGAAUCAUAAUAAUUGUUAGCAUUUAACUGCUCGAUUUUUUGGAAAUGUUACUAGUACUAUGCAAGCAGAAGCAGCAGAAAAAUCUUUGGGCUUAUCUAAUUGAAAACUACAUCUUGUCUUUUGUCACUCUGGUUUCUUGUCCACACAUCUCAAGGAAGUCUGACAAAUUCUUACAUUGAAUCGUCUGAACUCCGAAGUUAUUACAAUCACAAAUAGAAAGUUAUUGUAAAUAACACUAAAUUAACUUGAAGAAGUUAACUAUUGAUUAAAUAAGAUCAACAAUCAUUCCAUCACUAUGGUCCAUAACUAUCAAUCGUAGUUGAAUGAUCUUUUCUCAAAGAGCUUUUCUUUGCCGGUAACUUGGACAUCUUUGAUAGUUGAAUCUGCUUCUUCAUAAUGGUUGGGGGAAAAAAACAUUAAGCAAAGGAGAACAUAUUAGAAUCAGAGUCCCAGAGCCAUUAAGGCUUUGAAUGUUAUAAACCGCACCGCACCGCAGUUAACACUAACAAAAAUCUUUACAUAUACCAUAUAUCUAUACGUUUUUAUAACCGUAAAAACCGCACCGCAGUUGAACCGCUUGUCCCGCACCGCUAAAUCUGCAGUUACCAUUCAGAACCUUAAGAACGUUGGCGAAAGCGAUAUAACAAGCACCUCAUGAUUGAUGGCUGAAACCAUAUAUAUUACGUUUUGCCUCCAAAUUUUUUUUUUAAACUCUUAGACCCAAUUUCAUUAUUCAUUUAGACCAUUUAAAAUGUAUUUUGCCAUUUUCUCUAAAAUAAAAUAUCUGAGACACUCAACAGAUUGUUAAACAUGAAGCACACUGCACAUAAUGUAAUAAAGAUUUAAUAUUCGAAUCUUUAUAUAUUUAACAUGGAACAUACAAUGCAAUAACUAUUUAAAUAAAAGUAUUUAGCUAAAUUUUGUACUAAUUAAAAAAAGUGCGGCACAUCUCACAUUCUUCUUUUACAUGGUGGCCAUUGAUAGAGAUGAACUCUAUUUCAAUGUACUUCAUUUAAAAUAAUAUUCUUCUAAAUAUAGAAUACAAAUAUAUCUUUAAUUAUAUUUUUUUUUAAACUAUUUUAUAAGAAAAAAUAGAAACGAACCGCAGUAAAUUUGCCUAUAAUAAUUAUUAUUAGAAAUAGAUACAGAGAUCAUGAAUUUGAUUUGCUUUUACAUCUGUUAUAGCAGAGCGAUAAAAGUGGAGAAUGCGUCCCUAAGUGUGGUGGUGGCAAAAACAACAGAAAAAAACAAGAGAGAGGAGAGAGAAGUGAAACUCUCUCUUUUGUCUCUCCCCCUUCCACCGUAAACCCUAAGCCGCCGCUCAUUUUCUGCGUUUUCAGGCGGCCGACGGCACCUCUCGCCGUUGGUCUCCCUCUCCAGCCGUUUCUCAUCGCCUUCCGCCCUCUGCUAUCUCUUCUUUUGUCUCUCCUCUUUGCUCAGUGUGUCUGGGUCCGAUGAGAUUUUUCCGCCGGAUCUAACUGGAAUCGAAGGGUCUUUGAUUCCUCUGGACCACCAGCGAGGCGAGACGAGUCGGUGAUGGCUCUGGGAGCCCUGGAUCUACUCUUAGUCGCUGAUUGCGCUUGGAUCUGGGUCAGAUCUGAGAUCCGAGAUUCGCCAGAAGCUUCGACGCGUCACUGCCGUCCACGCCUCUGCUCCGCCGUCUCGCCCCAGUCGGUCUAUUCUAGCAGUUAGCUCCAGGGUUUGCGUAGAGCUCCUCCUCUCUCUGAGUGAAAGGUGGUUGUGAGGCGCACCACCGAGGACCUCUGUUUCUAUAGCUCAAACGACAGCUUCCAUGGUGUUCCUCAGCGAAUGGUUAGCUCCCCUUUCCUGCUCUCAUCGUCUUCUACUAGGGUCUUGAGGACAACCCUCGACGUCGACGUCUCUUGCGUAAAGAGCGAUGUUUUCUUUCGCCUUCAGAUCACCUGCUUCAAGGAGUUCCGUGCUCCCUUUGUGCUUCAUUUCCCAUUCCAAAGCUCCCGGUCGAUUGCGAUAUGUAACUCUGCUGUCUCCGCCGCAUCUUCUGUGUCGCGCAGCGGAAUGAGGGGCCAAAACGACCGACUGCGCUUGACCGCGAUCUUCAUCUUCAGUGGUGUAGCAGCGGGUUUAUACUAUCGUCAUCCUCUGUGUUAACUUGGGCUUGUUUGUCGACGUCCUCCUCCAGCGGAGCUCCGGGGCGUGAGCCAGGCGCUUCCGUCGAUGCCUGCUAGGAGCCACUUCGGUGAGGCUCGAUCGAACUCGUCUUCAGGUUAUUCUCCUGCUCUGUGUUUCAAACCAGUAGAACAGGAAGCGCUUUGGUAUGGGAGUUUAAAAUGUUGUCUUUGUGCUUCAAUGUAAUAUUAACUUAAGUAAGCCAUUGUUUGGGUUGCUUGGUGUUAAUCUUUGUAGGUUCUAUGGGGCUUUUUAAAACUUUUUGCGGUUCCAUAAACCUGAUAAGCUGAAAAGCAUCUCUUGGUUUCAAUGUUCUAUAACUUGUAACCGGAUUUUCAUUAUCUUCUAAUGAUAUUUACCCUUUAGCAAAAAAAAAAAAAGGUGUGGCGGUGGCGGUGAUGGCUUCAGACGUGGAUUCAGUAUGAAAGAGACUCUAGACAACAGCUGAUGUGGGGUUAUACUAAGGGAUGGUGGUGGCCAUAGUGAUUUGUACUGUUAACGGAAAAGUCAAAGCUGGUAAUGGCCGGAUGUUAAUUUGCAAUAUCACAUUUUGUUAAGUGCCAUCAAGCGAUGAUGAUACUAUGGGAGUUUAGCUUGAGUAAGUACUAACAUCGUGGAAAUCGGAUAGCCCCGUUGAUUUAGAAGAAUAUCAUAUCUAUUGAUAUAAUUUGUUGCUGAAUGAGGUCUCUUAACACUUUGUUUUGCUCCGAGAAAUCAACUUGUGUUUGUACACAUAGUAGUAUUAAUAUGAUAUCCAUAUUUUGCGUGCCUACAGCGCUUUCCCUCUAAGUUCACACUUUCAUUUUUGUCUGACCGUCGGGAGUGUAGAGUGAUUCUUUCUGCAGGCUUAAAGAACUUAUUUACUAACCUUUUAAUUAACAUAUGCUAUUUUCGUGAUUUCAUCAUACGAUAUCAAAAUCACUUUUUGAUAGAUUAUUCGAUUAUUCACUAUUUCGAUUUAAACAUGCUUAAUUUUGAAAUUCUUUUUAGAUAUACAACAUAAAAUAAAGAGUUUUCACUUUGGUGAUAUAAAUAAUUAAAUUAACUUUGUCAAAUCUUUAAACAUAUAAUAUCAUAUAUAAAAAAACAUCUUAUAUCAAAACUGGAAUAUUGCAAAUUGCAAAUAAAAGAAUACAAACUUGUUGAUCUGUGUAUGUGUGAACACAUAAGAUGCAUAAGAUGUAUAAGAAUCUAAAUUGCCGCUUUACAUAGUGAAUCCUAUGUUAUAGGAUUCCAUGACAAGAGCCAAUCUCGCAUACUUGUGUACUUUUGGGUUUUAAAAAGUCUGUUCACUUUAAUUUUUUUUUAAGUUGGCAUUCUAAUACUAAUUCUGGUACAACCAUACAACCUCAACCAAAAUGGGAAAUAGUUGGUUGGGAUGAGCACAAACCCAUGUUUGUAGCAGUUAAUAUACUAAUAUAGUAAUAUAACAUUGAAUUUGCAUGGCAGUCCACGUGAUUUCCUUCCUUCCCAGCUCAUCAAAGUUUUUUUUAAAGUCUGUGUUAACUUUAUCUUGUUCAUUUUCCAUUUAUACAAAAAGAAGUUAAUACUACGACAGAAAAUAAUAAAUUUCUUAAGAUUCUGAUAUACCGUACGCAAUUAAAGAGAAGCUGAUUUUAUGUGUGUGAAUAUCUGGAUUUAGUCACUGCAAUGAAUUACAUUUUAGGAAAGUGUUGUGAUCAUUUAUUAAUUGGCAUUUUUAGUAAAAAAAAUAAAACAAUAAAUUAAAUUAAACUGAAAAAGGUCAAUUUUCUCGUUUGUCGCUGUCGGGUUCUGUUUCCACAUCUAAACAAUAGUGUAACUUUUUGGGGUCCGACACCAUUUAUGAAUUUUAAUAGAAACUAGAUUUUGAUCCGCGCUUUAAAAAUCGCGGAAUUAAUUCUCUUUUAAAAUUCUACAAAUUUUUUGAUUAUAAGAUUUUUUAAAAAUUAUAAGAUUAUGUGUUUUUAUAUAUGAUAACCAUAUACAUUUAAAAUUUACUGAUUGUUUAUGUUAUAAUCAUAGGUAUUAGAUAUGAUAUAUAAAAAAUUAUAUUUAUAUUUAUGAAAUUAUUUUUAAAGAAGUUAAUUGUUUAGAAAAAUAUUGUAUUAAUUUUAAUUUAUUCUAAAAUAUUAUAUUUAUAUACUAAAUAUAUUUUCUCAUUACAUAUUUUAAUAUUAUUUUUGUACAUCUUAUUUUUUAUUGAUAAUAUUUUAUUUGAUCAUUUAGAUGCAUUUAUUUGUUCCAAUUAUAUAAAAACACUACUAUAUAAGUUGAAAAAUGAAUGACAUUUCACAUUGCAUAUUUUAAUAUUAUUCUUUGCAGAUUUUAACUUUUAAUGAUUAUUUAUUUAUUUAUUUAUUUAUUUACUUAGAUGCAUAUAUUUUUCCAACCAUAUAAAACUCAACUAUAAAAAUUGUAAAAUGGAAAGUUUAUGAUUUUUUUUAUUUCUCAUAUUAGGAAAAUACACUAAAACACUUCAAUUAAUUUGUAGCUAAUAAAUAAAUUAUAUUAGUUUAAUUUAUUUAUUAUCCGCAAAAUUAAGUAUAUUUCAUAUGAUUAAAAUAUCUAAUUAUUCAAAAAAAAAAAAAAAAUCUAGUCGAAUUUUUUUUGUUAUGGAUAUGAUAAAGCUUUACAUAUAGUAAAUGUUAAUAGUUAAUUAGCAUUUAUGGUUUUGUUUUGGUUUGUAAAGAAAAUUUAUUUGUUACCAUAAAUAUGAGAUAUUUUUAGGCCUGGGCAUUCGGGGUCCCAAUCGGGUUUCGGUUUUAUCUAAUCGGGUUUCGGUUUUUCGGGUUUAUCAAAAUCAGCCCCAUUCGGAUUAUAUGAAAGUUCGGUUCGGAACCGGUUCGGGUUCUAUCGGGUUCGGGUCGGGGUUAGUAAAUCUUCAAAGAACCGGUACAACCCAAUAUACUUUCGGGUUCGGGUCCCAAUCGGUUUUUCGGUUUAAAAGUACUUGAUUUUUACCUAUUUUAUAACCAAAACAUGACUAAAAUUGGUUCUUUAGUUUUAAAAUAUCUGAUUUGUACCUAUUUUGUAACCAAAACUUAAGUAAAAUCGAUUCAAAAAUAAGGAACAUAAAAGAAAACUAAAUAAAUAAAAACAUAAAACGAAAACCAAGUUCUCAUGAAAUGAGAAACAUUGUUUAACGAAAACAAAAUCAAAAACUAAAUACUUCAAGAUUCAACGACCAUCUUUAACCAUCAACCUUCAUGUAAUAGAACCAACAACCUUUAUGUAAUAGAUAAGUAUUUUAGAUGUUUAAUAUUUCUUAGUGUAUUUUGGAUACAUAUUAGGAAUUGAGAUCAUGUUUGGUACAAGAUCUUUUCGAGGUUUUGAAUGUUUCGGGUUCUAUCGGAUAUCCAUUUAGAUUCGGGUUCGGUUCGGAUAAUACCCAUAACCCGAAAUACCACAAAACAAGACCCAUUCGGUAUUUACGUCGGGUUCGGAUCGGUUCGGAUUCAUUUUUAUCGGAUCAGAUUCGGUUCAGGUUUUCGGGUUCGGUUUAUUUGCCCAGCCCUAGAUAUUUCUAUUAUUUUGUAAAUAUGAUUAAAAUUCAAGGGUAAAAUCCUAAAUUUUUAAAAUAGGAUCCUGCUUUAAUAGUAUAGAUGUGUUUUACAACUUCCAAAAGUUACAGUCGCCAUGUGAUUUGUCAAAGAGUCAAGUUUGUGCACCAGCACCACUGUAAACCUGAAUUUUCCACAUCAUGUUACCUUUCAAAGAUACCACUGUUUGUUUUUACUUCUAUAUAUAUAUNNNNNNNNNNNNNNNNNNNNNNNNNNNNNNNNNNNNNNNNNNNNNNNNNNNNNNNNNNNNNNNNNNNNNNNNNNUUUUUUUUUUUUUUUGCAGUGGCUCAAGAGAUUUCUCCAUUAGAAACAGCAACCUUGCAACAUUUCGAACUAUAACAUUAAUGAACAUAUCACACACCUGUUUUUCUUACUUGUCAACUUUCAACUUCUCACCGAAAGUAUAAACAUUUCAUAUUAUAUACAGUAUCUCAUUGUUGAACUGUAUACGUGCUGCAUAUCCUUAUUUUAAUAUUUCAUAUGGAUUCUUCGAUUAUUAAGCUUUGUCUCCUGAUAAUACUAUCUCCGUUUUUUAAAUAUAGAUUUUUGGUGUUUUCGCACAUAUUAAAAAAAACAUAUUAAUCAUACAUCGUUUUUAAAAUUAUCAAAUUCCAAUGUUUUUUAAUCAAUAGUUUUUCAAUAAAUCCAACUAAUUUUAUUAAAAUUUACAAUUUUUGUAUAAAAAACAUAAAAAAAAUAUUUUUAUGAAACAAUUUUUUUCUUCUAAAACUUAGGAGUAUUAGAGUAAUGAGUUGACUUUGAUUUAAAAAUUUCAUAUUUUCUUUAAAGAAAAUGAAAUUUAUAGGAAUAUGUUGGUUUCGUAUGUUUUGUAAAUAAAAAGUUUCAGCGGAAUAAAAGAUAAUCUGAUGUUUCUUUUCUUUUUCUUUUGCUUUUGUGAAAGUAAGCAGUAGUAAAAUUCAACUUACCACUAUUUUCUUAUACCUAGUCAAUGCCUUGUUAAUGCUUAUGCUUUUAGUCUUUAAAAACGGCAAAUAAAAAAUAUACGACCCAUUUCGUUGGUCAGUAACUACAUGCAAUCGAUCCUUAAAAUAUAGAUAUACUAUAUAAAAGAAACAAUUCUUUUUACCUUUUUAAAUUCAAGUUCAAUAGUCACUCACUCAUUUCUUUGGUUCGUCUCAGUGAAAACUUUAUAGGUAGUCAAAAUCCAGAAAACGUGUUGACUCGCGUCUCAUAUUAUAUAUGCUACUAACUAAGCUAGUAAGCAACGACUCUCUUCUUCUUCCCUCUCCCUCUUUCACCUAACCUCGCAAGCAAAAUAAAACAUCUUUCGAGUAGGUCUAAAAAUGGCGUCAAAGAAGGCAAGAAAACAAAACCGAGCUGAGAAGAAACUCAAAAGAAACCAUUUCAAGAAACAACUUCCACAACACAAGAACACCGACAAAACUACUGUUCUCGAUCAUACUUCUUCAUCUACUGCUGUCUCUCCAUGUUCUUCCAUAACGACGUCGUUCGCUCCGCAAGAUUCCAGCUACCCUGCUCCCUCUCCUUCUCCGGCGGUGUUGAAGUCACCAGAUGAAGGUGGCGGCGAUGGUUGUUGUACCCCGAAAGCUCAGAAGUCUCGGAUACCGGAGAUGCUGACGUGUCCACCAGCGCCGAAGAAGCAAAGAGUCUCAAAGAACUGCGUGUUACGGCGGAGACAGAUCGUUUUCUUUGCUCCUGCGGAGAUAGAGCUCUUCUUCGUCAAAGCAUACGAUUGACGAACAUAUCUGAACUAAUAUUUGUAGUAUUUUUCGUUAUUUGUGAUACGAUCGAUCGAUAGAGAAAGUAGUAUGAGAAGAUGAGUAACGUUUCAUCUCUUUGAUUUUGUUAAUACAAUAACGAAGGGUGUAUUAUAAUGUUUUGAGUGAUGUUUUUAUUUUUCUUAUUAUUUUGGUUUGUUUAACAUUUUGUUCCUUUGGCGCUUGUUUUUUGGAUUAAUUUGAAUGAAGUCGAUUUGAGUUUUGUGGUAGGGUAUUAUCAAAGAGUAAUUCUUGGGUUCACCCCCUAAGGUGAACUUUUAGGUUCACCAACCAAUAGGAUUUCAUUAUUUCAAAUUUGAUAUCUUCUAAAAAAGGAAACAAAAUAUUGUCAAGUUAUAUUAUGUUUUUAAAAUAAAAAGGUAAAAAAAAUAAUAGUUACAAAAAAAAGUUUUUUUUUUUAAAUAUUGUUAACGUCGUCAGCAAAAUACUAAACCCUAAAUCCUAAUCCCUAAACCCUAAAUUCUAAUCCCUAAACCCUAAAUCCGAAACCCUAAAUCCUAAUCCCUAAACGCUAAAACAUUCAAGGGUUUAUGAUUUUUGUGUUCAGUGUUUUUGAUUUAGAGUUUAUGAUUUAUCCAAGGGUUUAGGAUUUACCCAAGGGUUUAGGAUUUAUCCAAGGGUUUAGGGUUUCGGAUUUAGGGUUUAGGGAUUAGAAUUUAGGGUUUAGGGAUUAGGAUUUAGGGUUUAGUAUUUUGCUGACGACGUUAACAAUAUUUUUUUUAAAAAAACUUUUUUUUUGUAACUAUUAUUUUUUUUACCUUUUUAUUUUAAAAACAGAAUAUAACUUGACAAUAUUUUGUUUCCUUUUUUAGAAGAUAUCAAAUUUGAAAUAAUGAAAUUCUAUUGGUUGGUGAACCUAGAGGUUCACCUUAGGAGGUGAACCCAAGAAUUACUCAUUAUCAAAAUCUACUACGACUUAAUCUAUAAUUAAAUUAUACUUUUCUUGAUUCCCUUUUUUUAAGUGCUAUGUGUUAGGUUGCUAAUGACUUUAGGUUCUGUGCCUACUAGCUUUGUCGAUUUUUUCCGUUCCGUUCACCUAACGUACGUAUAGUUCUUCGCUUGAAUUUUGUUCACUUUCAUCAUUCGUUUGAUAGACAGAAACCACAGAAACCGUCACUUUCUAGCCUCUAGGCGGAACAUCACACAUGAGUUUACACGUCCCAACAACGUUAAGACAACAGCGAUCACCUUUAGUAACAUUUUUACACUGCUGAAAUUGUGAUUCUCAAACUAUUUAUCAGCAAUUCAGCACCGCCAGAAAUUUUUUAAAUGCAUAUGCAUGUAUGCAUACACUUUGUAUUAUUAUAAAUAAAAAUAAUAGAAAGUAGUUUCUAGUAUAUUCCCCUGUUAUUGGAUAUGCAAAAUAAUAUGCGAAGGUAUCAUUAAUUAAAUCCACCACAUUGAUAAGCUCGAUUGGUUUUUUGGUUAGUUACAAAUAUGUUAACUUAAUGUUCAAAAUUUUUUUUUAUAAUAUUUAUAUGUAUGUAUAUAAAAAAUUAGAUGUGUUAUAUUAUAAGGUUUCGAACAAUUUUUAAUCCAGUUUUCUCCCUAAUUAAGUUCAGAUUUCUUUUUUACACUUCAUUAAUAGUUUUUUGUAUUAUUCCACUAAUUAAAAAUAUAUAGAUAUGUUUUUAAAUUUAGUGAAAGCAAAGGGACGAGAAAUAUGUGAAGAGUUAGUGGGGAUGGCCACAGUGUCGAGCCAGAGGAUAACAUCUGCCAAGGGAAUCCAAUGAAGUGACUCGUGCAGCCUUUCUCAUCAUUUUAUCUUUCUUUUUUCUUCCAUAAUUUCUUACAAAAAGUAAGAAUCACAUCUUUAUUUGAUCAUCUAAAAAGACCAUCCUUUCCGCAGAAAUGAUAAUUCAUUAUUGACUAAUUGGGUUACAUAUCCAUAUUAGGGUCAAGGUAAUAAAAAAAACUUAUAACUAUAGUUUGAAUUGUAUCAGACAUGUACCAAACAUAAAAUAUAAUUUAAACAAAAGUAUAUCGAGUAAUGCAGAAAAUAAGAAACUUAAGAAGGCCAGAUAAUUUUAGAAAAAAAAACUAAUUGAUUAACUUAUCUCAAGAAAGAAGAAGAAAGAUUUGACAGAAAGAACAAAGAACACCAAACAUGAUGAUUGUGAUUUUAAUUGAUAACCGGUACAAUAAUAGAAUGAUUUUGCAAUUCUAUAAAAGUCCAGUCACAUAGCUAAAUAUGUUUCUGAUUUAUACUUGACUAAUUGGCCACUUUCGUGAUUAAAAAUUGUUGUUCAAAUUUUAUAGUUAAUUUAUUUUUUUCCCUUAUUCUACUUAUUUAUUUUUAUGUUUCACAACAAUUUUUUUAAUUUGUAUAUCACUGUUUUAAGAUACAAAUUAUUUUUCCUACGUAGUAUAUGUUAUCAUUGUCCUAUACUAUUGUUUAUGAUUUUUGUUGUAGUAAUGACCCUAAAUUCACUAACUAGAUUUGAGCUUUAUGAUCCGAGACCAUUAAUAGUGUACUGGAGCUUGGGCCCUCAGACAAAUAAUCUAAAAUUUAAGUAAUUCAAUUGUAGGUUUUCGUUUUCUGAUAAUGUUGCCACACUAAUAGAAACACAAUGAGGUAAUUGUAAAGACUUAAUGGUUAGGAGGAGAGAUUCCAUAUUNNNNNNNNNNNNNNNNNNNNNNNNNNNNNNNNNNNNNNNNNNNNNNNNNNNGCUCUUGAACUUGUGGUAGUGAUCUAGAGUAGACACGAAUAGGAAUAAGUAGUCUGCACAACUAACAACAACAUAACGAUAAAUAACUAGGUAACCACGAUAAGACAAUCCCACAUAUUAAGAGAAGCAUGCCAUGUACACAAUUUAUUUAGGCGAGUGUGAUCUCCCCAUCACUCAACAAUUGAAAUAUGCUUAAAACUAUACAUAUUACAAUGAACUGGCCAAGUUUGAAAUGUCAUAUGUAUACAUGUGAUGUAAAUGAGAACUUGUUGAGUUAGAUAAAUGUAUGGGGGAUGCCAUAAUCUAGUUACUAGUGUUAAAAUAUAAAUUACUAGUGUUAAAAUGUAAAUAGUUAUUCUUUUUUUCAAGCUUUUUUGGUUUUUGGACAACAAAUGUUUGAGAUGCUGUGAAAUAAAAAAAAACAGGCCUUGUGAUAUAGGGCUUCUGAAGCCUGUUGUAGGCUCAAAAACAACUAUCAGAAUCGAAUUUAUCCUAUUUAAUAUCUCUCCAUUGUUCAAAAACAAAAAAAAAAAUCUCCAUAAAAAUAAAGUCAAAAGUAUUUAUGUUGCCGCGUUCACGUGGCGAGCACGUGGCAGCCAAAAUCCAAAACAGAACAAAAACUCAUACUUCCUGCGACGAUCAAACCAACAAAUAAAAUAAUUCAAUUCAAUUCAAUUCCAUAAAAAAAAAUGGUUUUCUUCGUCUUCCUCUGACUGAAAACUUGCUCAGAUCGUUCAUCUUCCAAGCGGAAGCGUCUCCUUCCAUCACCGUAGACGCCUUCCGUGACGGUCUCUACUCGUUCUUUCCCUGAAUGGUAUGGUUAAGCUUACCGAGUAUCAUCACCUUGCAUGAGCUCUGUUCUGUCUCCUCUCAGUUUUGUUUCAAAAGUUUUGAAAUUUCUAUCUGAUUUGGUGAAUUCAAUCACUGAGUGUUUCUGGGUUUUGCUUUGUUUACUCGUUACUGAAUCUUUUCUUGUAGUUUUGAAAUUGCUGAAUCUUAUUGCCUUUUGACCGAUACAGUUGUAAUCUCAGAGCAGGAAACUGAAGACAUGCAGUCAAAAUCUGAAAGUGGGAAUCAGAUCGUUUCAGAGGCUCAUCAUCAUACAUCCAUCAACAGUUUAAACCCUUGGCUACGUGCUGCUGCUGCCUGUAAUGCAAACUCUUUCGUGGAAGAAGCUGGAGAUAAGUCAUCAAAUGGGUCCAAGUCACCAUCUAACCGAGAUGAAAAUGGUAACAAGGAGUCACAAGUCACAACUUCUCCCCAACAGUCAGGUGCAGUUGACUUGUCUUCCCUCGGUGCUUAUUACAAAAUUUGUUUUCUUUUAGCUAGCUUUGUUACUGUGUCUCGAUAUGCAGCUGGAGAUUACAGUGAAAAAAGUCAAGAACUUGUGCAUACUGGCAGUACACCACCUCCUCACCCUCAACUUGUUAGCCACACUGUUGUAAUUUUCCCAACACAUAUCUAUUAUCUAACUGAUAAUUUUCAAUAUGUUACUUACGAUAUUCUUUAUUUGGUUAUUAAUAAUCAUGCAGGGAUGGGCAUCCUCAAAUCCAUACCAGGAUUCAUAUUAUGCUGGAAUGAUGGGAGCCUAUCCCUUGGUAUAUUACUUUAUUUUUUUCCAAUGUUCGUAGGUGCUUUGAAGUCUAGCAUGUUUAAGAUUGCGUUAAAAGUGUUCAUGGUGUGAGGAUUGUACAAGUUAUUCUUUCCAUGCGAUUUACUGAUAAGUUAUCACAUUCCCUAUCAGACUUAUGUUCCAUACGGUGGGAUGCCUCAUUCAAGAAUGCAACUGCCUCCUGAGGUGGCACAAGAACCAGUUUACGUGAAUGCUAAACAGUACCAGGCGAUUAUGAGGCGAAGGCAGGCACGCGCCAAGGCGGAGCUAGAGAAGAAGCUAAUCAAAUCCAGAAAGGUGAUAAAAGCUAAUUAGUUUCAUGGCAGCUCCGAUAUAAUUGUGAACACAUCACCACUGCUCAUUGCAUCAUUUUUCUGUGUGUUUCUCCACAGCCUUAUCUACAUGAAUCUCGGCAUCAGCAUGCUAUGAGGAGGCCUAGGGGUACUGGAGGACGGUUUGCAAAGAAGACGAACACCAAAGCUUCACAGCAAAAAGAUGGAGAAAAGACUACCGAGUCCCCAACUUCAUCUAAUUCUGAUCAACCUGAAGGUUGUAGUGAUGAGUAUAGAACACAUCAGUCCGAGGAGAUGCAGAGCUCAGCUUAUAAGAGAAGGGAAGAAGCAGACUGUUCAGGGCAGCAGUGGAACAACAUUUCCUCAAACCAUCCUUCUCAACCUCUUUUAGCUAUCAAGUAACCUCUCUGGCAGGCAAAUCAUUCUUGGCUCUAUCUUUGUUGGCUUAUGUGUUAGCAGCCAUUAAAGAGUUUUCUCAGUCUUCUUUCUUGUUUUGUACAAAUACUAUUGUGCUUUUGUUAGAAUGCUUCUUAGUCAACACCCUUUGGGUUUAGUAAGAGACUUAAAGUUUUGAAUCCAAAAAUAUGUGAUUAAUAACUAAAUUCCAGUGUGCUAAAAUGGAAAAAAAAAGGAGUAAUGUAGUACUACAAAACCUUUAAAGACUUUCUUGUAAGGGCUUUACCUAGUCUUGGUCACAUAGGCUGACUUAUUGCUACAAUGAACAUUUCUAUACUUUUUUAUGUUUUUAUAUCAGAGUUGGUCAAGUCUUCAGCUUCCUCCUCGCCUUGAGUUUCGUCUAGGUCAACUUCUUCAGUAUGGUCUGAACUUGCUGCAUCUGAGGAGUUGUUAGCCGCCUCUGUGAUGUUCACAGGUGGCUGAUUCUCCAUUAAACCAGAGAGUGCUAGCUUUGGUGACCACUCAAGGACAUCAUCAAUGAUGUUGGACAUCCUUCUUUGAUACCUGUAUGCACAAAAAGUCAUCACAAGUCAACCAGAGAACUCAUAUAUAACUUAGAGAAAACAAUCUUCUCUUGAGGAGAGGGAAUCACUUCAAUUAUUGUUAUCUUGGUUUAAGUUAAUAUACCUGGCACGAGCAGCCUCAUCAGGAGCGUGGCGCCUGAGCAGCAUGACAACAACAACAGCUACAACCGUGUAGAAAAGCCGAGACGUCCACUUGGGAGGUUCUUCCUCGUCUUUCUUUGGCCAGAAACGGAAUAGUUCCUUCAAUGUGGCUUCCUCUGCAAGAAUGUUGGGGAAGAACCAGACACGCUUUCCAAAAAGAAUCCACAUAGCACCAAAAGCAACUGCUCUCACUGCAACAUUCAUGGUAAUGAAGAAAGCCUAAUUUCAGUAUAAACCAAUUUAAAACUAUAUAUCACAUCAGCAGUCAACAAGUCUAGCAGUGCUAUGAGUGGCAAUUAACUAAACAGUGUCAUCAACGAGAUUUAGAACCAAUAACAGAGUCAUCAGAGUGAAAGAGCACACUCAAAAACAAAAGAAAAGCAAAAGCAGAUUAUACAUGUAGAGCUUACCGAAAAGCAAAGAGAGAAUCAUCAAAAGAAUGCCAGCACACGAGUAGAGAACAAUGAGUUUGCAACGGUGUGGGUACACAGGAAACAAACAGAUAGCGAGAGUCAAUACAGGCCAGAAGAAGGACAAAAGUGUUUGCCAGAGUGGAUGCCGUUUCUCAAACGUCCAUGCAAAAAACGCAUCAGUCUCAGAGAAAGCUUGAUCAUCCUGCAUCAGAAACAACAAAAAGAAAUCAAACGCUGAUACAUUUGAGCUACUGAAUGCAUAUCUUAGCUAAGAUGAGACAACAUAUUCACUAGCAAUUGUCUCUAGAAGCCAUCUCUCGAGUCAAACACAGGCACUUUUUUAUAGGAUCAUACUCUUAGCAUAUGAACCAACUUACACGGAAAAUCUCAAGAUGAGCAGGCCAAGUAGAGAGCUUUUUCUUCCCUGGACGAAGGGUUUUAGUAACACGAUCACAUCUCACCAAAAGGUUCUUCCCCAACAACACAUUAGCGAUAUCUUCAGCGUCGAGGUCACUAUCUUCUUCAAGAACCUCUUUACACUCAGGGUGAUUCUUCACGAAGCCCACGAAAUCUUUCCCUCUGAAGUACUCAACUCGCGCUUGCUCCAUAACAGCCCAUCUUGAUUCCAACCCCUUGUUGUCUCUAACUUUCUCAGCAAACAACUGAAACAAAUCCUUCGUCACACCUUUCUUCUAACAAAAAACAAAAACAAAACAGUGUUUGACAUUCAGACAAGGAACAUAUACAUGUGUCUGCACAUUAAUAUAGUGACGAACAAGAGACCUUAAUUUUCAUAUAAUCGUAGGUUCAUCGAAGCAGAUCAAAAGCAAAGGUUACGUAAGCAUAGAACAAGUUUUUAUUUGGAAUUUUGAUUUAGCAAAGCAAUGAGAGAAGAGAGCGAACCUUACGUGGAGCAUCGGAUGAUCGUUUAACCCUCUUCUUCUCGGUUCCGGCCGACUUCUUCAUCUCUCUCUCUCUCUCUUCUUUCGAGACAAGACGGAGAGUGUUUUUUUUUUUUCGUUUUUUUUCUUCUUUUACAGAUCCAAAGUGUUUUUUUUUUUUUUUUUUAAAAAAAAAACUGAUUUUUUUUCUUUUACAGAUCCAAAGUGUUUUUUUUUUUGUUUAUGACAAAAAAAACUGAUUUUCUGUAACCCGGUCGAAGUGUUGAAAUCAGGCCGCAUAACCGGUUGAGUUAUACACAGAUUAGCACGGUUCCAUAAGAUUAUAGACUAUAAGAGCAUCCACAAUGGUGGUACUCAUUGUGGAGUUUUUAGGAUUAGAAUAAUAGUUUUUUUUUUUUUAAUAGUUAAGGAUUCUUGUGAGAAAUGUGUGUACAAUGGUGAUCCCUAAGUUGGAAUCCUUAGGUUAUUUUUUUUUUUUUUUUGGUUUUUUUUUUUUUUAAUAGUUAAGGAUUCUUGUGAGAAAUGUGUGUACAAUGGUGAUCCCUAAGUUGGAAUCCUUAGUUUAUUAUUAUUAUUUUUUUUGGUUUAGUGAAAUAUAAAUUUUAUAUAUUAGAUGAUUAAAUACAAUAACUUAACAUAAAAUACAAUAAAUAAACAUAAAAUACAAUAAUUAAACAUAAAAUACAUUAAUUAAACAUAAAAAUACAAUAAGUAAAGAAAAAAAAAUAAUUUUACAUAAAGAUAGAAUAAUUCCUAAUCUUCAUCACCAAAUUUAUUCCAAAUAUUUUGAAUUAAAUCAUUUUUCAAUUGUUCAUGCAUUUGCCUAUCACGAAGAUCAUUCCGACUGGGAAAGAUAUUAUUCAGAUUUGUUGGCCUCUCCGUUUCCACCUCUGAACAUCUGGGGACGUCUCCUUCUUCAAAUUCAGAUAUAUCAAUACGAGAGUAUCCAUCCCGUUCAUCUUCGACUAUCAUAUUGUGGAGUAUGAUACAUGCUCUCAUAAUCUUCCCUAUCUUUUCCUUUUCCAAUGUUUUUACCGGGUUUCUCACAAUCGCAAAUCGAGCUUGCAAUACUCCAAAAGCCCGCUCCACAUCUUUUCAGGUUGCUUCUUGGACUUUAGCAAAUAACUGUUGUUGAGGACUUUGAGGGAGGGUGAUAGAUUGGAUAAAUGUUGACCAUUUUGGAUAUAUACCGUCUGUCAGAUAGUACGCCAACUUAUACAUGUGUCCGUUGACCACAUACUUUACCCUGGGAGCUCGACCUUGUAAAAUGUCAUCAAAAACAGGAGACCGAUCGAGGACAUUGAUAUCAUUUAAGGUACCUGGAGGACCAAAAAAAGCGUGCCAUAUCCAAAGAUCUUGUGAAGCUACAGCCUCUAAGACAAUUGUCGGUUUUCCUGAUCCACGUGUGUACUGACCUUUCCAAGCGGUUGGGCAAUUUUUCCACUCCCAAUGCAUACAGUCAAUGCUCCCGACCAUCCCAGGAAACCCUCGUGCCUCUCCAAUAUCGAGUAGUCGUUGAAGAUCCUCCGGUGUGGGUCGUCGUAGAUACUCAAUUCCGAAUAAUUGUAUUAUUCCGUCAGUGAAAUUAUGUAAACAUGAAAGUGCAGUGGUCUCACCAAGUCGGAGAUAUUCGUCAACGGUGUCAGCCGCAGUACCAUAAGCAAGCAGACGAAUAGCUGCAGUACAUUUUUGAAGUGCAGUAAGACCCCACCUCCCGGUCGCAUCUCUUCUUUGCUGAAAAAAUGGAAAGCGCUCUGAUAGACCAUGAACAAGACGCAAGAAUAAUCUCUUAUUCAUGCGGAAACGGCGUCUGAAUAAUUGAGACGAGAAUGUCGCAUCUUCGCUGAAAUAGUCAUUCCAUAAGCGGUCUUGUCCUGUUUCGCGGUUUCGUUCUACAUAAGCACGUCUCCUUUGCGGUCUGCUUUGGGCCUCCACUAUGUCGUUGUAUGUUUCUUCCAAGUAUUCGUCGCAAAUUUCGUCUAAUCUUUCAUCGACUUCAUCGGAUGAACUCGAUGAUGACAUAUCUAGAUAUCCUGGUUCGGAAAAUAAUAAAAUUAUGUACAACCUUUAAAAAGACUUGCCACUAAUUUUUUUUUAAAAUUUUUGUAAAAUUCUUGUAAUCUCAAAGUGGUUGGUCCAAGAAAUUCUUGUAAAAUUCUAAAAUUAUCAACUAUUAGGGGAGUACUCAAAUUCUAAAAUUCUAAAAUUAUCAUUUAACAAAUUUUUUAAAUUUUUUAAACACUCAAAUAUAUUUUAUAUAGACUAUGAUCGGUAAUAAUUAUGCAAAAUGAAGUGAUCCGUUUUCAUGUUUUUCUUGUUAGAUUGCGAUUCAUGUUAAAUGAUGUGAUCCGUUUCUUUAAAACAAUUACUACAUGAUUGUUUCAUCAAAUGAAGUGAUCCGUUUCUUUAAAACAAUUACUACAUGAUUGUUUCAUCAAAUGAAGCUAUCCGAAUAUAAAUGAGUCUUAAUGCAGAAGCAAGUUACAUUACAUCAACUUAAGCAAGUCAAAUAUAUUACAAGAAGUCGUUAAGAGAUAGAGUUACCUAAUUAAAACAGAAGCUAGUGAAUACAACAACUUGGUAGCAACAAGAUUACACCUUCUUGUCAAGAGUAGUAGCAAAUGGAAAUAAAAGGAAGGAAGGAAGAAGUGAUGGAAACAAAGCAAACGAGACACAAAUUUAUAGAAGUGAAGGAAGAAGUGAUGGAAACAAAGCAAACCCGUGACUUGGUUUCACAACUCCAAAUUCACCCGUGACUUGGUUCACAUGUCCUACUGUUGAACCUGAAACAAAAAGACAAGACUUAGUAAAGCAACACAACACGACAUGUAUCUACGCAACAAGUACCAUUGUAAUAAAAGACUUUGCAAAGCAACACAAGCCGACAUGUAUCUACUACGCAAACAAACAAGAAUAACAUCAUACCAUAUCAGACAUAAGUUUGAGUUUGAGAGAUGUUUCCAACUCAGUUAAUGGCUCUUUUUUGGCUAAUAAACGAUGGAGUAAUUUCUGGUUAGACAUAUUUUGUUUCAUCUCCAUGAUGACUUGUAGAUGUGACAACUCCUCUUCUUUACCACUCUUCUUCUUCUUUGUAGCUGCUUUCGCAGCCUUGACCCCGAUCGGUCUCCCCUCUUGUUGUCCCACUUCCUCGUCUGUAUCAACCUCCAAGACUAGCUUCCGCUUUUCCUUCCCACCGUCUUUAUCGACAAUAGUGGAGCACCAUUUCUGGUCAUGCCUCAACUCCCUCCAGGCGUGUUCCAGACCGAACUUGUGGCCUUGAUCAUUGAAGAAGUAGUCUAGUGCAGCUUUCAUGAGGUCAUCAUCAUUUUGACCACUUCUCUGCUCCCUCAUAGCGUGGUCAUAGCAACCAACGAACUUGGAGACUUGAUCGUUAAUCCUACCCCACCUCUUCUUGGCCGGAAUAAUCUCUCUCGGUAUUGUCCCGACGAGUUGAGGGCUUGCAUUGUAGUACUCGAUAAUCCUCUGCCAGAACUUACCAGCUCUCUGCUCAUUGCCCACCACUGGAUCUUUACUGGUGUUGAGCCAGGCACCAAUAAGUAUUUUAUCCUCUUGCGGUGUCCAUUUCCUCCAGCUGUUGAUAGCAGAGUCGACAACAGGCUCACCAGACCCGACAACAGGCUCACCAGACUCGACAACAGGCUCGGUAGCUUGGCUACCGAGCCAAACUCGUUCGGGUGAAUCAAGGUCAAUAGAACAUUGACUAUACAUGUAGGGUUAACAUAACCACCGGUGUUAUUCAUUGUAAGAAAAAGGAAUCAGCAAUCAAAUCUACGCCUUAUACAUUGACUACACAUGCCUUAUAUAAGCGAGCUACAAGUAAGAAUUUAAAGCCAAUUAAAUCUAAGUAGUUAGAGCAGAUAGCACCAAUCAAAUCUCACUUUUAGCAAUAAGUUCUCUACAACCAAACAAGUACCAUUGUAAUAACGUUUUAGUCUAAGUAGUUAGAGCAGAUAGCAUUUAUCACCAAUCAAAUCUCACUUAUAAAUGUUUCUCUACUAGAAACAUUUUACCAAUAAGUUCUCUACAACCAAACAAGUACCAUUGUAAUAACGUUUAAUAACCAAUCAAAUCUGAGGAUUUAGGAAGGUUAAAAGCAUUUAACACAAAGAGUUUCACUUUAAAGACAGCAGCGUUGUCAGUUAUUUUUCUAAGAGAGUACGAUGUUGUACAGUGUCUAACCUUAAAGACAGUGUCGAGGUCAGAUACUCUUCUUGUAAUCCUUCAAAGCUCUUCCUGGAAAACAUCCAAUAAAACAGGUUAAUUUUUAAAAAAAAAUAACAAGAAAAACAUUCAAAAAACACAACGAAUCGAUAUGAAACAUAAACGGUGAUGAUAAGAAGCAAAUCCAAAAAGUCCAAUAAAAUCGAGAGACAGAAAGAGAGACACCUAGACUGGUCAGCAAAGAUGGUAGACAAGAGGAUAUAGAAGAUGAGUAUCAAGAGCAAACCGAGAAGAAAACUACAAAUCUAUAUAAAUUCCCAAUAACUAACCUUUAAUCGUGUCGUUAACAACAAACAAGCGAAUUCAAAAAGAAGAAAAUUUUAAACCCAGAAGAAAACCCUAAUUUCGAUUGAAAUCCCAAAUCUGAUUUGAAACCCUAAAGCUAUUAAAACCAAACAAUUGAACCCUAUCUAGUGAUGAAAUCGACAUGCAUCAACCAGAGAAGGAAAAAAAAUAAACUACAAGCUUGGAUUCACCUUGAAGAAAGUCGAACGCGAAUCGCCUCUGUUAUCGCCUCUCUCUCGACUCUGCUUUUUUUUUUCCUUGAAACGAUAAAAUGACGCGGCUCGCGUUAUUUCCACCCCCUAACCAAACCAACCCUAAACCGGAACCAAUCAGCUGUUGCCAGCGCAUGAAGGACUUGCUCCUUCGUUCUCUUAACGAAGAAUUAAUCCUUCGCUCGUCCGGUUUUUUUAAUGUUUGUUUAAUCCAAAACCUUAAGGAUUUAUCUUAAGGAAUGCUCUAAGGAGCAGCGUUGUACGUGCUCUAAAACUAUAAACCAUUUAAAUAUAUAAAAAAAAAUUCGAAAAUGCAAGAUUGAUUUUUACUGACAUUUAUAGUUUAAUAUAAGGGAUUUAGGAAUGAUGUUAUAAAAAAGGAUUUAGGAAUACAAAAUACCUUUAAUGAAUGAGAUAUUCUAUUGGAAUAUUCCUUUUAAUAUCUCAGAUAUAUAUAAAAUAAUGAAAUCAAAAUAAUAAAAAAUCGUUUAGUCAAAAGAAAAAUCUAAAUCAAUUAGAUAGCGAUAUAUGCUAUUAUAGUUUUCGUAUUUUAAAGUUUUGUUAAAAAGAAAGUAUCUUACUAUCUUUUUUCAUUUUUAAAGAUUUUUAAUAUUUAAAUACUCUGUGAAAUGCUAUUGAAAAUAGUGCUCUAAUAAAUUUUAAAUAAGAAAAAGAGAUGCAACCAAGUUAAGCCUUUUAUAAGCCUUCUUCAGUUCUUCUAUUACUAAGGCAAAGAUGGUUGAUCUAAUCGUUAUCCAAGGUUUUGUGGAAGUGAGUUUCUUGUUUGAUCACGCCUUGUGGGAAAGGAAGGAAGAUGAUGUCUCCUACAUCUUUUACCAGCAUGUCGUUGACCUUUGUAGUGAAAAGGAUGCAGAAAUGUGUUAUUUCUUGGCAGUUCAAACAUGGGGGUUUUGUUGUGACCUCGUUGGAUAUUGCGCCAAAAAGUUAGCUAGUCUGUGAUACAACAUUAAUGUUUUUCUCCUGAAUAAAGCUAACAGAUGAUUACUGCAGGUCAGCAGGUGUACCUGGUGUUCUUGCUGUCGUUCAGGAUACUGCUCUUAGGCAUUUGAUAACAGUUCAUAAUCGUUACAACUUACAAGUGCCUUUAUCUAUAAUUACACUCAUGUUGUAACUUUGGCUCUCUUUCCUUUGGAAAGACGACGUAUUUCCACACCAUAACUAUCAUAUAGUAACAAAUGUACACAAUCUUUCAACUUCAUCGUAAUUGCACACCUUAUAACUAUCACAACCAAUUUCCACACACGAUAAUAGUUUGAAACCCGUUUCCACCUAAACUUUCAAGGACGAACUGAUACCAACAAAUAGCGGUUUAAAGUUGGUUAGUGUUACCUAAACCUGAACUUAACCAAUGAUUGACUUAACUAAACCAUAAAUGACCCGAUUAGAUAAAAUAAACCGGAUUAAAUGAACCUAAUUCUUUGUCUCUCUCUCUCUCUCUCUCUCUCUCUCUCUCUCUCUCUCUCUCUCUCUCUCUCUCUCUCUCUCCCUCUCCCUUUCUUUGUGUCGUUAUUGUAUUGUCUCUCUGUGGUUUUGAUUUUCUGUCUCUCUGUUUUGUAGAAUCGACAAUGGAGUCAUGGACUGAUGUGAAUGUUGAGUGGAAUGAUGUACCAGAGUUCGACCUCUUGCUCGAGCGCUAGAGACUCCACUCGAAUUUCCAGAUUCAUUACUCAUACUUCUGAAUCUUUGCUCUGAAUCUCUGUUCUGAAAUUUUCAAUUUUAGGGUUCUAAGAGAUAAAAUCGAUUUUGGGGUUUUUAAAACGAGUUUGGGUUGGGUUUAAAUUGAACCUUAGUCGGAUCUUCGUUUGGGUCGGAUUAUACCAAUAUCAACCGAUACAAACUGGUUUACUAUCAGUUAGUAUCAUAAACCAUUAAAACCAAGCCAAAUUUUGGUUUGUGUGGAAACGGGUUUCGAACUAUUAUCGUGUGUGGAAAUUGGUUGUGAUAGUUAUAAAAUGUGCAAUUACGACGAGGUUCAAAGAUUGUGUACAUUUGAUACUAUAUGAUAGUUUUGGUGUGGAAAUACGUCGUCUUCCCCUUUCCUUUUUUUUCAGAAGGCGAUUAUAGUACACAAGAUUGUAUAGAAAGUUCAAGAGUCUCCUCCUGUUAAGACGAAAAAACUGUUCAUAAACUUGAGAACCGUAUGUAUGCUUUCGGUUACAUAGCACUAUAGCAGCAUCUAUUAAGUCACCCAUACUCAACGGUUGAAGGAAAACUCAUGCUUCUCUCAAGUCUCAAUUCAUUACUCACAUCUUAAUUUACAGAUAAGUUAAACAUUUACUGAUGUUAAUUCAUUACAUGUAUCUUGGUACAUUUUACAUUUAUCAACUACUGCUUUGGUUGCAUUAUUGUCGAAACCCAUCACUAACUGUUGUUGAUCAUCACUUGCUUAACCGGAUCAAGCCACCUAAAUUAAACACUCACCCCAAUUGUCAGGAACCCAACCCGAUUUGAAAACUCCGUAUCAACCCGAUUCAAGAAGUAUAUUGAAUUUUAUCAUAUGAAAUUAAAACGCAUCUGAAGGAACUGACCGAAUACUUAUAUAUAGGGCUGGGCAUAAAAUCCUUAACCCGAAAUCCUAACCGAAUCUGAACCUAAAACCCGAUCCGAAAUGUAAAAAAUACCUCAAUGAAUCUGGUAAGGUGCCAAAGUGUUAUUAACUGAACCGAACGGGUAAUCCGAAAAUCCAAAAAAUAAAAAAAAAAACUGAUCCGAAUGUCCAAAUUAAUAUAUAAUAUAAAUAUUUGAAACAUAAAUAUGUACUUUAAAUAUUUAAUGUCAUAUUUAUUUGGAUAUGAUAUCUAACAAUAAAUAUUUAAAAUUUAUAUAAAUACUUUAAAUACUCCAUUAUAUACAAAGAAAUAUAUAUUUCUUAUGUUUUACUUUUAAAUUUUAGAUUUUACUUUGGAUAUAUCCGAACCGAUCCGACCGAAGUGUUAUAUCCGAAUCUGAUCCGUACUUGUAAAUUUACUAGAAUGAAACCUAGGAAGUGUUACAAAAUAGAACCGAAAUUGAAAAAACUCGAUCCGAACCCGAACGGGUAUCCGAAAACCUACUGCUACUUGUAUACAUUCUCUAAUUGCGCUAAACGGUUUAGCCUAAACCAAACCAAGAAUCGAACCAAAACCGAACGCCCGCUCAUUUGGUGAUUUUCAAAAUCUAACUUAGGGUUUUCGGUUCAUGCGUAUAUAGAAAGUGUCAGCUGAGUCGAAUAGUUUAUUAAUCGCUUUCCUCGCUCCAAGAGAAUAUUCUUAAAAAAAAAAAAAAGAUUUAUCGAAACCCAAAACCCUGACGGUUACAGCAAUGGCGGCGGCGAAUAAACAAAUCCCUCUUUCCGAUGACCUAAACUACAAACAAUGGGCUCCGAUCGCGAAGAAGAAGCUAGUGGAGAACGGAGUAUGGGACGUCGUCACGAACGGAGUCCCCUUCGAUCCAACCAAGCUCCCAGAGCUAGCCGCGAGGAUCACUCCCAAGGAGCUCGCCGAGUGGAGAGACCGCGCGAUCAACGACAUGAAAGCGCUCAAGAUCCUCCAAUCCUCUCUCCCAGCUUCCACAUACCGCAACACCUUCUCCGUCGCCUCCGCCAAGGAUCUCUGGGAUCUCCUCAAAUCAGGUAACGAAGCACCGAAUCGCCCUAGGCUAACGAAGGAGUUCGAAGAUCUCGCAAUGUACGACGGAGAAUCGAUGGAUAGUUACUUGGAAAGAGUUUUGGAUAUCGUCGAACGGUUCCGCCGUUACGGGAAUCCCAAGUCCGACGACGAAGUCAUCACCAAGCUGCUGACCUCUCUGUCAUGGUUGUUCGAUGAUUCCACGACGAUGUUGGAGGAGAUCAUGAGUCUUCCCGAUAUGACUCUCAACGAUCUGAUAGCGCUUCUUGAGUUGUUUGGAGAUCAUCCAGGCGAAUACAUGACUCAACAGCUGAAGAAGCAUCACAAGAGUCUCGCGAAGGCCAAGUCUGAGCAGAUGUGGUGUGGCUUGUGCAAGAAGUACGAUCACAAUCAAGAAGACUGUUACCGCAGCGACACGAGCGGACAGUGCCAUGUUUGUGGAGCAAGAGGAGGGGAUUGUGCGAGAGGUUGUACAGUUAAGAAGAACGGGAAGCCUGAGCAUUUGAUGUUGGCUGUGACUACGGGUGAUUUUGCAUACGAUGAUGGGAUGUGGAUGGUGUACUCGACUGCUUCGGACCACAUGACUCCGUAUCUGAAGGUUUUCGCUACGCUUGAUAGAACGUACAAAGCUCGUGUUGGGAUGGCUAAUGGGAGUGUUGUUAUGGCGGAAGGGAAAGGAGAUGUGAAGAUUACGAUGAAGGGAGUGAGGAAGGUGAUCAAGAACGUGCUUUUCGUUCCGGGGAUCAACAGAAACGUGUUGAGUAUUAGUAAGCUGACGUCAGGGGGAGGUUCGGUGGAGAUUGGUGGAGGGGAGUGCACUAUUAAAGAUGAGACUGGGAAAGUGUUUGCUAAGAGUAGGUUUGAUGAGAGAGGCAUUGCUCUGCGUUUGAAGGUGAUUAGGUAAUGUUGUGGUCACCGCUUGAUAGGUUUUUGCUUGAAUAAAAUUGGUAGUAGUUUUAGUUUCAGUUUGGAUUUGUCUGGUGUUAUAACCUUAGGACGGUUUAGUUUUCAGAAACUCUAUUGUAAUUCUCUUCUUUUAAGUUUUCAUAAUAAUGAAAAGAAGACGAAAUCUAGUUGAAGAUUAUAAGAUUUUGAUCAAAUUUAUGAUUACAUACCAAAUUUGAGAAAAAUUUACCGAACAACAGAGAGAGAGAGAGAGAGAGGGACAUGAAAGGUGGGAUGGUUGGAUCAGUAGCGGCAGAUCUUGGCGGUAGGCAUUGUGACGCAGACCUGAGCGUAUUUCUUCUUAGCCGCCUCUGUCCCUCGCUUGGGCUCCUCCUCGUCCGCCAUGGCUGCUUUAGCCAAGGAACAAACGG
RNAcentral lists this long non-coding RNA (118772 nucleotides) under Brassica napus (rape). RNAcentral describes it as "long non-coding RNA (BNAP_LNC002704)". Lineage: Eukaryota; Viridiplantae; Streptophyta; Magnoliopsida; Brassicales; Brassicaceae. The record is from RNAcentral.